GACCCAAUCCUGUCCUAAACUUGUUUUCGUGGUGAGACUAGUAUGUUGUGCUACAAAUGUGCAAAAAUGAUCGUAAUUUCUCAAGACGACAUCAAUGUUGAAGAAAUUGGACAGAAAAUUUUUUGAGCGAGCAUUAACCUCGCGGAUUACUGCGCAUGUUCUUUGGCCCAUUUUUCUCCUCUUAAACAAAAAAGAUUGAGGAUUAUAGAAUAGUAGACUUCAUAAGAGUUUAGCGGACUCUAACUUUUUCAAAACGGGAGUCCAUGUUUAACCAUUCAAACACAGUAUGAUCCUUGGUAUAUGAUUUGAACGACCUCAUAAUUGUCUAAUAGUUCCAAAUAAUAUAGACAAUCUGCAGAAACAAACAAUGUUGUCUUGAUUCUUCCAAGAUCUCAAUCACAAUAUAAGCGAAAAAUAUGGAAAGAAAUGGGUAAAAUACAUCUAAGAUCUACGUAGAAGUUGAAACAACUUUCUCAAGUUCAGAACUUCAACUAGAUAUCUAACUCCACCAAUAACAAUGACAGGCUCUGUUAUGCUAUUCCUUUUGUGUUAUUGUCUGAUUAUUAUUUAUUACGUUAUCCAGCACCAGACAAAAGCACAAAAUAAGAUCUUAUUGAAUAAAUUUUCAGUUGGACAAUCAUCACAAUAUAGCCAGGACUUAAGUCCUUUGUGUUGUUACUCAAAAGAUCAUCAUAUAACCUGAAAUGCAAAUUACUCUUCUAUUGCAAUUAGCUUAAAAUUUUCUACUAUUACAUGAAUCCAGUAAAUGGACGCCGGUAAAUGGACGCCGACGCGGUAAAUGGACACCGACGCGGACCGUCUGAUCCGGCUUUGAAGGGUCCAUGGGGAUAUCCUCUACCUCAUCUCCAGUCUCUAGCCUCUGGGCUUCUCGGUUUGCUGAGGAUCGAUACAAUCGAUUGAAAGGAUAUUGGACCUCUUUCCGGACCUGGGCUCGGGGGCCGACGUAGAAGUGGCUUGCAAAGUAGCGAGGUAACACUCUCGCGCUGCACAUACAUCGCUGCUAACCUCGACGACUCCUGUUGGGGUUGGGAACUUAAAGGUUAGGUGGUAUGUGGAAUACACCGCACAAGAGCAUUAAGCGUGGGUCGGCCCAUGAGCAAGUUGUAGGGAGAAUCGGUUUUGACCAACGAAGUUGACAGGAAUGGUUCGGCAGCGAGCGAGGGUGGCGACCCACCGUCACUGUUAGGGUCACCACCCCUUCUGAAUAUACGACGUGUCCCCGAACCCUACUAGGGCAUCCUAACGGCGGACAAUUGUUUCUUGUCAGGUUCAAACUUUCAAAAGUUCGGAGAUACAUGACGUCCACCGAACUUCUCGGGUCAACGUAGACCUUCUUAACGAUGUAAUUGUUGAUGAGGAUCUCGAUCACCAAAGCUUCAAGGCUGCUCGAGGCGGCAGGAACGGGGUCGCUGGGGCCAUAAGAUAUCACUUCGGACAAGCGUGAGAUCGGCUUGGCCUGCUCAGUGUUGGCCUGCCAGUAGGUCCUCUUCUGGGAGUUCUGGCUGUUCCCUCCCGUCGGACCUCGGCAAUGGCGUUGAUGACCCAACGAUGUUUGCGUCCAUAUCCUAACCCAUGGCCUGAGGACUCGUCUGUGGGAGGUUUUUUCGUCUCCCUGGGGUCCUCACGGGGUCGGCAACUGCUACUCGACCCUCGUCUGUCUUCUCGACGCCGAUCACCCUCGGUCACCACGUCGAGAGUCGGCGCGUUGGUAACCUCGUCUUGGCGGAUAAACUGCUUCCAGUGUCCUUGCUUAAUGAGGCGCUCAAUCUCCCUCUUGAGGUCAUUGCAGUCCUCCGUCUUGUGCCCGAUGUCCGGUGGUACAAGCAGUAGAGGUUGGAGUUCCUCUUAUCUCUACUCCCAGCCAUCUUUGAAGGGACAAGCCCGAGUUCUUCUGCUCCAUGACGUAGAGCACUCGGAUCGGGCAGUGUUCAAAGGCGUCAGGUCGGACUCGGGGAUAGAUGUCUUCCCCGUAGAUAUCUGGUCGAACACAUUUCGACGAUCCCGGUUGGGGCUUUGAAAGCCACCAAUAGCGCCUACCUCACUUAGGCCGGAUUCCUUCUUCCUUUUGGAUCGGUUCCCGAGCGAGUUGCUUGGACCUCCUUCUUCAUUCGAUGAGAACUUCGGCUUGUAUGCCUUUUUCGACCUUCAACCAGAGUUCAUAGAGUGUACCAGGAUACUUCUUGUGUAUCCCUGUGUUAAAUACCCUGGCCACGAGUCCAUGGUGAACGUAACUAUAGUAACCUGUUCAUUAGGAUCAGGUAUCUGCAUGCUUUCCUCAUUGAAUCUCCUGUACAUAGGACCGAAGUGAUUCUCCGGAGUUCUGCUGCAUAUUCAGCAGGUAAGACGAGGUCCUAGUUGUGGGUCUGAAGGACACGAAUCGGUGAAGAAAUCUCUCCAUGAGCUCUCCUAGGAUGGAUAUGCUCCUAGGUUCCAGACUCCAGAACCAUUUUCGAGUUGUCCCCUGAAGGAAUACUAGAAAAGCCCGACAUAUAAUGGGGUCGGGAAUGCAAUAUAAUCGAAAUGCCGAAAUGAAAACGUGAAUGUGAUCUUCAGGAUCACCUCGGUCGUCGUAUGGAUUUAUUGAGGGAAGCUUGAAGUUGGGAGGAAGCCUUUCCUCGUUGAUUUCAUCCAGUGAAGGGUGGGGCCCUCAUAUAAUCCACCCACAGCCUCCCGAGAUGUCGAGCCUCUUCUCCGCUUCACCUCCCUAGCAAGUCUCGGAGAACGCCUUUGUGAUAGAGGCGAUUUUGGAAGUGACCUUAGAAGAGACUCGUUUCGGGGCGCUUCUAAUGGAGUGUCUUCCCUUAGAUUCCUCAUCAGAGGAGUCUUCAGGGGACCCAUCUGAUUUUCUUUUAGAGGACUCGACCUUUUGUUUGCUUUGUCUCUUGAAAUAUCUUCCCAACUCUUCAAAGAUAUUGGGGUUUUCACGUACAAACUCGGUCAUACGAGCUAUGGCUUCUUCAUUUGCGAGUUGAGUUCUAACAAACUCCUGUCCUUCAGAGGCAUUCUCCUGUUGGGCGCGCAGCACUUUGCUCAGCUCCAAUGGCAAGAGCCUUCUUGCUCCUAGAACGCGUAGGUUUUAUCUUUUGAUGUUUUCGUUCCCACAAAACGGCGCCAAUUAAAGAGGUGAUUUCUGACCUCACGAAGUGAUUACUGAAGUCGGAGGUGCCCUGGCCUGAAGAAAUCAAAACGCCCGGAUCACCUGCUCUCAGAUACUAAGAAGAGAGGCUGAAUCCCCCGGUAUAGCUCCGAAACUUAAGUUAGUUUGAAUAAGAGUGAGUGUUAUCAGAGAGAGAGUUUUAGCUUUUUUACCAGAGAUUUGGCAUCCCCCCUCUCGAAGGGAGUUUCUGAUAUUUAUAAGAGGCACGAGAGAGGGACUACAGGUAAAGGUCCUUAGAAAUCCGAUACAGGCAGUGUAUCCAAUUGAUUUGAGUAAUCCCUAUCGAGGUCAGGCGGCGCAUGUCAGAGUAGCCAUCUGUCAGACGUCAGGUGUGUCAGAUGUCACAUCUCAUCCCAUUCCGGCUCAAACCCUUAGAUGCCACCUCGACGUCACGAGAGACGACUCGCACCGAAACGAGAACUCAGGUCGGGACCACCUCAGCGAUUAGGCGAAUGAGAUGGCACCCACAGGGGUAGCAGAAGGAUGAAACCCCAGGUAGUUCGAGCCGAAAUGACCAUCCUCAUAUUUUAUUAUUGUUGUUGUUGUUGUUAUAAAUUUUCUUCCGUUAAAUCUUUCAAUUUGGUAAAUGUAAUAAAAAAAUCAUUAGAACAAAAAAGGACUUCAUAAGAGUUUAGCGGACUCUAGCUUUCUCAAAACGGGAGUCCAUGUUUAACCAUUCAAACACAGUAUGAUCCUUGAUAUAUGAUUUCAACGACCACAUAAUUGUCUAAUGGUUCCAAAUAAUAUAGACAAUUGCAGAAACAAAUAAUGUUGUAUUGAUUCUUUCAAGAUCUCAAUCACAAUAUAAGCGAAAAAUAUGGAAAGAAACGAGUAAAAUACAUCUAAGAUCCACGUAGAAGUUGAAACAACUUUCUCGAGUUGAGAACUUCAACAAGAUGUCUAACUCCACCAAUAGCAAUGCCAGGCUUGUUAUGCUAUUGCUUUUGUUUAUUGUCUGAUUAUUAUUUAUUACGUUAUCUAGCACAGACAAAAGCACAAAAUGAGAUCUUAUUGAAUAAAUUUUCAGUUGGACAAUCAACACAAUAUAGCCAGGACUUAAGUCCUUUGUGUUGUUACUCAAAAGAUCAUCAUAUAACCUGAAAUGCAAAUUACUCUUCUAUUGCAAUUAGUUUAAAAUUUUCUACUAUUACAUGAAUAACAGUAUUACAAUCAAAGUCAGGCUGCAAAAUCUCGACCCAUGAAUUGUAGCACAGGCAAAAUUUCCCUCAGUCACCUUGAAUCACAAGAAGAAGAAAAUGAAAGUAAAACCAAUACCAUCGCUCAUAAUUCAUCAAACCCUUCAGUUUUCCUUUUUUCCUCUUCUUCUUUCCACUCUGCUCUGCAGAAUCACUUCUCUCUCCACCAUCAACCUCCCUGCUCUUCCUCUUCUUCCCUUUUUCGCUGCCAACAUUUCUCCAUCAUCUCACCCUCAUUCUUUUUUUCUUCUUCUUCUUAUCCUUACUCUUGACACCUUCAACUCUCCAUCCAUGUCUCUUUCAAUUUCCACAAUCUCUUGCUUAGUAUUAUUCUUAACCUUAUCUAUUUCCUCUCUAUUUCACCUCUCCCAAUCUUCUCCUGUUUCUUCUUUUUCCUUUCCUCCCCAACCCCACUGUCAGGGCUUCGCUCAAUCUGUUCUCUCUGCUCACUCCUCACCUCCGAUUGGCUAUUUUUCUUUCCUUUUUUGCCAACAUUUUCUCCAUCCUCCUCAUCCUUCUUUUUCUAUUCUUAUCCUUCCUCUUCACACUUUCACCUUCAACUCCAUCAAUAAUGUUCCUUUCAACUUCACAAUCUCUUGCUUAGCCUUAUUCCUACCCUCAUCUCUUUCCUCUGUAUCUUCACCUCUCACAAUCUUUUCAUGUUCUUCUUUUUCCUUUGUCCCCAACCCCAUCAGGGCUUUGCUCAAUCUGUUCUCUCUCCUCAUUCCUUAACUCCGAUUGGCCAGUUCUCUUAUCUUUUUGUUCUUGUCCGAACUUCUUGUACCUUAACUUUGUCAAGCCUAUCUGCUUCUUGGCCAAUCUUCAACAAGCCUUCAGUGCUCGGCUCAAAUUCGCGAUUUUUCUUAUGUUUUCCCUUCUUUUCCGACCUUUUCACGGCGUUAACUUCAUCAAUCCCUCCUUUAUCCUUCUCAAUCUUUAACGGUUCUUCAUCAUUUACCUCUAAUUCGCGAUUUUUCUUCCGCUUGCCCUUACUUUCCACAUUCUUGAUCUUUUCUUCAUCUGGAUUUUUGUCAACGGUGGCUAAAGUUUCAAUCUUUGUAUCAACAACAAGAGGUUGAGAUGCCUUACGUUUGCGAUUCGAAUGGGGCGCUUUUAGCUCCUUGUGGAAUUGAACCAAGUUGUGAAGGCAUCAGAAGCGCGUUUCAGAUACACGCGGACGGCAUCGGAAGCUCCGUUCUCCUCUUCUAGGGAGGCGAAGUGUGGAGGGUUUUUGCUGCUGAAGAUAGAGAGACUGACUUUGUUGAUACCACUUGGCCUGUGACAGUCUUCAUUGGAAUUUGACAAUUUUGAUACUUUUUGGGGUUAAUUCAGCUGCGAUUUAGGGUUUAAGGGGUUUUCGUCGGGGUGGCGAUCGUUCAAAAAGCGGUUGGCGGUCGGGUUGAGAUUUGGAUAUAAUAGAAAAUCCCGCUGACUCGAACUCGAAAAUUUUGGAUUGGAUUAGCGAGUGAUAUGAAAUGAUUCAAAAUUUAAUUUUAAUUUAUUAAUUUAUCACUGUAUUUUUUUAUAAAACCAAUUUCACACAAGAUUAAUUACAUAAUCAAGUAAUAAAAUUUUAAAUAAAUAAUUCUAAAUCAAAUAUAAAAUAAAUAAAAUAAUAUAAAAGUAAAAAAUAAUAUAAUACAGUAUUUAUUCAAAUGUAAUAAUUUCAACUUCACACAGGUUAAAUAUAAUUCAUUUAAGAUUAAGUGAUUAAUGUCUUUGGAAAAAAGAAUAACUUAGUUUAGUUAGAUAAAAUAAUUUUUAUGUUUAUCAAAUUAUUUUUAUUCAUAAACGGAUUACGGAUCACCUACGGGUUGAUUCGAAUUCGACUCGUUUUCUUUUCAGGAUUCAUCGGGUUUGACCCGAUUUUGAUCCGAACCCGCAAGACCUCAAUAAAAUCCAUUAAUUUCGUUAAAUUCAUGUGCGUGUCAAAAAUUGCCAUCGCUAGGUUUUCGAAGGUGAAGUCAAACGGGGUCGAAGACAAUGACAUUUGGUUUGGGACCCUCAGCCAACCGGAAUCUCAAACGGAUCAGACCCAAUAAAACAAGAACUGCUAAAGCAAGGCAAAAAUUUUUCUGAAUGAAAAUGUAACACGUUAAAAUAAAUUUCCCGCUGCAAAAAUAGGAAAUAGGAAACUUAGGAGUCAAUAGCAUGUACAAGUUUGAUAAGACCAUUGAAAUGCACACGAGAUCUUCGGUCUUCCUCAAAAAAAAAAGUAUACGUUGUCAUACGUACAAACAUGAAUGUGAUACAUAUUUACAUAUAACAAUUGAUUUAGGAUUCUCUUGAUGGAAUACACUUGAGUAAUAACAAGUAAUACUGAUAUCUUGCUCAAUUUCAUGUUAGCAUCACAUAUUAUAAGAUACAGAAUAAAAUAUAAAUUUGUGUUGAAUUAUCUUCUAAACUUCACCCUUACAAAAUGGAGAAAAAUUAAAACAAACCAAAGGGGGAGAAAGGGAAAAUUUUCAAUUAUAUCAUGUCAAUUGGUCAUUCUUCUCAAUAAUAAAUAUAAAACUGUUUUCAACUUUCUUACAAAAUAAUAGAUAACAUGUAUCUUAAAAAAUGUUAUUACUUUUCUCCUAUUCUUAAUGUAACAACGUUAAUUUUGUAGUUAUGAAUGGACUGAAUAUACAACGUAUGAAGGGAAUGUUUGGUUGAAUGAUAAGAUAGAAGAGAUUAUGAAUGAGAAGUUUUGAAAAUAAAGUUAUAUAUCUUACUUACACAAAGUUUUAAAAAAAUACAAAGGUGUAUGCUUGUGUUUAUUUACUUAAAUUACACAUUUAUCUUGUUUCAUGUUUUCCAUUUACUCAAAAUCUUACAUUGAUACCUUCCGCAUCUUUUUCAUCUUGAAAUUCUUAUUAUUUUAUCUAAAGAAAGCUACUAUUAGAAAACUUCCUCCUCAAUUUUCAUCUUGAAUUCUUAUUUUUUCUCCUCUUAAUAUUCCUGUUAUUUUCUCUAAAGAAAGCGAGCAUUAGAUUUACUCUUUGGAGGGUUAGAAGGCAUCUAAACUCCUUACAUAUUAAACUUCCAUAAAAUUUCAAUAUCAAAGAUUAAAAUGAACACAAAAAUUUAGAAAAUUCAUUAGCUAUUUUUGGUACAAAGUCCUUUUAUCUUUCUAUUUGCUUAAAAGGGGGUGAGGAAAAUAAGAAUAACAAAUUUAAUGGCAAUUCCGUUUGUUAGACUCGAUCCCGCAACCGCCUUCGACGGAGGAAAAAUGAGCAAUCGAACCUUGCAACGUUCUCACUCCACCAGCACACCGUCUUGAAAACUAGGUCAACCGUUCGCACAAAUUUUUAGUUCAGCUAUUGACUUUAUAUGCUGUCUCUGCCAGCUUUAUUUAUCAGUUCUGCAACCGCUGAGAAACUCUAAAACCCUCCCGCCUAAUUCUUAAACCUCAGUUUUUUGCGUAAAUUAGCAAACAUUAGGAAAAAUGACGAGGAUAGCGCAAGCUCCGAUUCAAUUCACAAAACAGCCCUACAUUGAAGAUGUCGGCCCCCACAAAAUGUAACUGAUCUCUACUGCUAUUGCUCUAUUUUUUUUGGGUUAAAUCUUAAAAAGUGAAAUUCCAACGUGUUUGAUAAUUUCUUUAGUUUUUUUUUGUGGAAAUUUGUGAACAGAGAAAGUAUUCAGUUUUCUACAUUCGGAGAAUCCGAGAUUCUGAAAGCAGCUGAAGUACAAGUAUACCGCGGUGUAUAUUAUGAUUCUGCGAAAAAGCCUUGGGAGAAUGGCUUAUUAGACCCUCAUAUGGUAUCUUAUUUAACGUUCAUUGUUUCUUUUAACAGUGGUGAACUAUUUUUGCGUACGAUGAACUGAUAGCCGUGAUUCAUUUUCCACAUUUUCUAUCUGAUGAGAAGACAAUGUAUCUGCUGUUGUUAUUUCACAUUUAAAAGAAGAAGAGAAGGGGAGUUCGAAUAAAUAGCAUUUUCUGGGGAGCUGAUGAUGCAUUAGUUAUUUUUUAGGUCUCUUUUGCGGCUAGAGUUUGUUUAAUCUGUCAAAUUAUGCGAUAGGAAUUGCUUUGUUCAGUAAAUUACUUGUAAUAGUCUAUUGAUAAGGGGAUCACUUCCAGUGACUUUCUAAUUUUCUAACAAGCUAAAUCAAUGUUGUUUUUGAAUGUAGGUACUGCUGCUGUUGUUUCCAAUUUAUUUAUAGUUCUGGAGUGUAUUAAUUUAUUGGUUACAUUUUUGAGUUUCUGAAAUUGAUAUUAGAAAUCUUCUGAAAGGUGCUGUUUGGUCCAGGGCCCCGGAAACAAGAAUGGAAUUUGUGAAACAUGCCAUGGGAACUUUAGAGAAUGUCCAGGGCACUACGGAUAUUUGACUCUUGCUCUACCAGUUUACAAUGUUGGAUACUUGAUUACUGUCAUCGACAUCUUGAAGUGCAUUUGCAAGGUAGAUGCUUAUAGUUCUACUUAUAUGUUUGUGCAUAGUGUUUACUUUGACGCUGCAAAUCUCUCUCUCUCUUCUAUCUCUCUCUCUUUUGGAUUCAAGUUGAUGCAAAGUAUACUUCUGAUUUGUUGUUGGUUCAUCAUUUUGUACGUAGGAUUGACUUGAAUAAUUAUGGAGAGUGCUAGGAUGACAUUCUUUUGUCUGAAAAAAAAAAUUCUUUUACCAAUCUGCCUUCUAUUUGCCACUUGUGUCCUUAUGUGCCCAAAACAAAUCUCCUUCUCCUUGCACUCAGAACACGCAAAGAGGUGCUGUUUCUAGAAGCGACUACUUCUGCACGCAGUAAAUGCUAAAUUUGCUAAUGGGAGUUGUGGCGACCCCACUUUCCCCUAAGGCGAACGAGAGUUGGCGGGCCAUCUGCCUAGCUCUCGCCAGGAUUCACGCAAGCAAGCUAGCAAAAAUCCUUCCGAAGUAUAACCUAAUCUAUUACACAUCGAUUUCCUCCAAAAUAAGCCGGUUUCUAGAUCACAUUAACUUCAGAGAUAACAGUGCCUUAAGAUCCAACGUCGAUUCUUAAAAUAGCUUCCCGAUACAACCCAAGAAACAAAACAUCAAUUCAAAUACAUCCUUACAAGCCAAGUAACAAAUUCAUACAAGCCACAUACAAAUCAGGGUUUACACUUUUCAACUUCAAGUGGCAACCUAACAAAACUACAAUGUUUAAUUCGAACUACAUGCUUAAAGUACAAGUAGAUCUCAAGUCUUCCUCAGUUGUCAGAACCUGUAAAAGAAAAACCACAACGUGGGAUGAGCUACACAGCCAGUGAGGUUCCAAGACGCUCUAACAGUUCAAAUAGGUCAAGUAAGUUGUGCAUAUCAUAUGCAUGAUUCGAGGUUACACAAUGGCAUGUUACCAUGAGGUGAUAAUCAUUACACGGGUAAUUGCUACUUGAAAACACAUGUAGAACUAGUACUUUUGGAAUGAAUGGCCAUAUAAUUAUAUUUUCAUAAAUUUUCAGUCAAACAAAUAGUGGCUCGUCCAACUAGAAGAACAUUACAAGGAUUGCUUCAUCUCAGAGGUUAAUGCUCAUGAGGAGUCUUACCCGAGAAUGCCAACUAGGAGAGCAAUAAUAUUAUUAAUAGUAAAGCAAGCACGAAAGGAUACGGUGUUCCAGUGGAACUUUGUCGGUCAUCGGCACCUUAUAACUCCCGGAUCCCACGGUUGACUGGCCAUCACCUUAUCCCUCCAGUGGUAGUACUCGAGUAUACCGAAACGGUUGUCCAGGGUUCCAACCUACCCGACCGAGCCCAGUCCUGGCUCGAGUAGGUCAGUAACCGAGGCAGGGCCAAGUUCAGCUUAUAGCUUACAACAUGCACAGGUAAUCAAGUAAUUCGACAAAAGUAAAAUUCAUCAUUUGAAUAGGUCGAGUGAGGUAAAGUACACACUCGCCUAACAAUGAUGGACAACUUCAUAUAACAUGUGAUUCAUGAUAAUCAAGUAAUCAAGUGGACACUUAGCACGUAAGCAAUACAAGUUGAUUUCAUGGGAGCAUAUAAUUCACGGAUAUCGAAUAAUCAUAUAGAUUAGAAAUCAUGUGAGCAAAUAGUCAGGUAAUCAGGUAGUCAUGUGGGUUGGUAAACGGUUAACGGUUAACGGUUGACGGUUAACGGUUGAGUAAUGACGGUUAUUUGGCAGGCAUUUGCCAUAUUAAUAGGCCAUCAUUGGCCAUUAUCCCAUUUUUACCAUGUGAGAGUCGAGGAGAUUCACUCCAACGACGUUACUACAUUUAGAUUCACGAGAAAAUGUUUCACGCAAGUCACCACUCGAACGGCUAGUGUGAUAAAGUACACACUGCGCACUUCGAUGGAUCGGAACUCAUUUUCCAAAUUGUCACAUAACGAGUCACAAGAGCACUUUAACCAAAUAAGCAUAAAACAAGCAGGCUAAGCACGUAUUGAGUUUACAAGAUCAUUUGAUAGGGUUAAUCAUUUAACCAAUUCAUGUCGAUAUGCAAUGCAUAUAUAUUUCUUAAAUAGGCACGAGUAUGGUAAAUACUUAACGAUCAUGAAAUGAGCAUGUCCUAGACUUACUCAAUUACGUAUUCCUAUAUGGAACACUCACCUAGUCAAACAAGCGCAAUAGGUCUCAAACAAGCGUUUUAGGAGUCCGCUCCGAGUUCCUCUUGGAGAUCUCCUCGAUUGCCUGAGCAAACAAUAAUUCAAGUACCACUCAAUAUCGCUAGAAAUUCUCUAGUUUUCGAUGAAAGAUUGUACGCUAGUGAAAUCUAAGAAAUUAACGCGGAGACGAGCCUAAGAAUUCGUGUAACUCGAGGUUCACAAGUGGGUUUUAAAAUACAAGACAAAUCUGAUUUCCAUCUCUGGAUUCAAAUGUAAAACAAUCAAAUGAUAUUGACAGAAAUGAAGAGUUCGAAACCCCUUAGUUUCCUUUAAGUUAGAAAAUUCCAGAUUUAACAAGUAAUCUUUGAAAAAUCAUAUCUUACUCUCUACAAGCCCAAAAUUGGAAAACUUGGUACUAUUGGAAACCUCUUUGAAAGUACUAAAAGUCCCUAGAAUACACUUUUCCAUGAUUCUAAAUUGGAAGAUAGUCAAAAAUGGGCUCAAAGUUACUGUUUUGGUUCAUAAGGCAGAUUAAAGUUGGUUUUGGCCAACUUUGGAAUUUCGGCAAAAUUCACUUGUUUGGAACUAGCUUUUGAAAUUUUCAACCCUAUAGUGUUGUAAUCCAAGAGUAUAACAAAACAAACGGAACGAGAAACGGGGUUUUGAGCACCAAGAUACGGUAGCUCAAAGUUACUAAAUUCCCAUGUGAAACAUGGGUUUUUCAAACUCGAGUCAUGAACUUUGGUAAUUUAUUUGACCCAUGAACGGUCAGAAUAACACCAUAAUUAUAAUACUACCAUAUAAGGGUUACUCCUCUACCAAAUUUCAUGAAAAAUAACUUCGGAAAGGUGGUCAAUCAAACACCUAAAUUUCGCAAAUACUAAGACAAAACUGCCUUGAACCUUUUGUUUUUCCAUUUCAGACAUUUGGUCAAAGAAAGAUUCCUCCAAACCUGGUUCAUUUGUUUAGGCAAAACUUAAAGAAUGUUCAUGGUACAUUUGGUAAGUGUUUAGCAUCAAAAUAUUCAGUUAGCAAGACUUUGCCAAACCUUGCAUCAAAUCUGUCUAAAAAAUCAGGGUUUUAAGGGCAGAGCAGGUUUCAUAUUUUGAUCACAGAUCACUCAAAUUAACUCAGAAUUUGGCAUGGUUUAAGGCGUUAGAAAACACAUUCAUAGAGCUAUAAUUUCAUAGAAGAAAUCAUUUGAAAUUUGGCACACAACUAGCUCGAAUUCGAGUCACAAGUUGCAGCCUCAGCAUUUUGUUCUUGUAAAACAGAGAGACAGAACAGCCGACUUAAAAUAGUUGGUUUGGCUCACAUACAUGGAACCAGAAUGUGAAUUUUAUAUCGUCGGAAAGGUUGGAAUGUCUAGUUUCAAAUGCCGCUAACGGCACUCGAUUUCGACAUCGGAGUUAAAAUUAUGGCCGAAACACGAAAGCUGGUCAGAGCAUUUCGGAAAUAGUUCCAGAUUUACUAGCUUUGUUAAAUCGAUUUAUUUGACCAACCAAACCUCAAUAUUUUUCAAUGAAAACCAUAUACAACAUAUCAACAUGAUAUACAAGUCAUGAAACUCUCAAAAUUUUGCAAAAAGGGGUGCGAUUAAAACAGGGCAAAUCUGAACAUUUUUGAACAAUGCAUCUUUUGGAGUCUAGACUAGCUAGGUAUCAUUAAUCUACCUAUUUAAACACUAAACUAGCAUUGUAUCCAUCAUCAAUCCAAGGGUGGGAGUUCAUAGAGCCACCAUCAAAAUUUUCCGACACGAAAUAAAACAAAUAACAUGUAAUUUUAGCAAAUAAUUCCACCACAAUAAAUCUGUCAUCGGCUAAACAGAAUUUCCAGCAGCUAAUUGGUCAUAAAACCAACUUUUUACUCGGCUAAUACAUGAUAUUAAGUACUCAAAUCCGACAAGCAAAUAUUUGACUAGCUAAUCAGAUCAUCCAAGUCAUUGUGGGAAUUCAUAGAGCCCACUCACCAAGUUUCCAUUAAAACUCAAAAGAGCCACCAUCGGCUAAGCUGGGAAAAAAAAUUGCAGCAGCUAUGUUUCAACAUUUUUGGUCAAUUUAUCCAACGGAUCAAGUACUUUACAACUGAAUAUCUUACAAGACUUAAGACACAUAUAUUUCAUGUAUUUCUAAACAUUGUUUGCUAAUGAAAAAUUCCAGAAACAACUGCAAAUUCUGGUUUCACUCCCUUGGCAAGUCACGUAAAUUUUCCAGCAUUUACUCAGUCAUAAACAAAAUUUUUCUUCGGUUUCAAUCCACAAUUCAACUUUUCCUCAGAUUUUCUUCCAUUAAGCUUCACUUAAUACUUAAAGCUAACAAUCUAUAUGCAAUUCAUAACAAAAUUUUCCAUUUGACAGCAAUUACAAAUGCAAACAAACAUGAAGUCUCUCGGCUAUUCCAGAAAAUUUCCAGCAGUUAAGUUAGACGCAAAUCUGGAUUUUCUUCAGCUAAAACCUUGUAUUAAGUACUCAAAACCAACAUGCAUGACUAAUUAAUGGAAAUUACUAACAGCUCUGGUUUAAAUCAAGUUCGGACAGCAACUACUAUCAUCCACAAUUCCAGAAAUUCCUACGACUAUUCUCGGAUGAUCUUGCAUGCAACAGAUUUUCUUGUUCAUCUUUAUUUCUUGCUUAACCGAGCAAAUGAGCUGCAUUCAAAGUUUAAUCAUCUUGUCUUAAGUUAGGGAAACACAUAUAUACAUUCAGAUUGCAUCAGGGAAACAGAAUUAAAGCUGCAUCUCCAUUUCAGCUUUUCGGCAAAACCAUUUACUUCCAAAACAGAUUUUUCUAAUGCUUUGAUUUCAUCAUCCGAUUGCACAAACAAUACAUGCAUGCCCCUAGAUGGCUCAAUCUACCUCUUGAUCAACCUAAAAUGGUCCAGAAAUUACCUCACAGUGCAACUCACUCACACGACAGAGCUGAAUUUUUUUUCUUCCUCUCGCACGCGCGCAAGGCCUGAAGUGCUGGUUCUGGUUGCAAUAGUUGCGGCUGGGACUGAUGAAGGUGGUGACGAUCAGCAGCUCCCACGACUUCCACUUGCUCUCUCCUUUCUUCCCUCAAGCUCACGGACAGACCAGAGAAGAUUCAGCUCGCGAUUUUUCUUUCUUUCCUCUCGGCUGCAAGAUGCAGCUCACUCUCUCUCUCUCGUCGAUGAUCACGAGGUGAAGCUCUCUCUCUCUCACUCUUGGUCAAUGCUCACGGUGUGAGGAAAUGGAACUGGUUGUGCGAGGUUGAAGUGAAGAAAUAGGUGCGGUUAAGGGGUUGGGUGUGCAAGAGGGUGGAGUGUGAAGAUGUUUUGUGAUAUAGGAAUGAAGGUGGAGUGGGAUGGUAUCGCGGUUUUGUGAUAUGAAACGGAAAGGAAAUGGUUUGCGGUUUGUGUUAUGAAUUGGAGAGUAUGGUAUAAGGUGUCGUGGUUUAAGAGAAAGGAUUGCGUGUGUACGAGUAGGUUGCGUAUCGAAUUGGAUAAAAUGUAAUUGGUUGAUAGUGCGGUGAUUAGAAUUCUUGUCAGAGGGUUCGUUUGGUUUGCAUGGAAAUGUAAGGGCAUUUUAGUCUUUUCACUUUGCUCCCUAACCUCAAUUUAAUUUCUCAAAUCCAACUUAAUUCUAAAAAUUAUCCCCAAGCGUGAUUUGAACGCCUAAAUAUACACUAGUAUACUUAAACCAUUUUUAUCGAAUAAUUAUCGAUUAAACUUGAAUAUUGGGAUUCCUAGUAAUUCUUAUAUUAUUUAGCGAUUAAAUUAAUUAUUAGAAUUUCCAAUUAUUAUUUCUCAAGGAAUAGAGUUAGUCUAACUCGAAAUUUAUCGAUUUAGUAAUGUAAAGUCAAGUGAAAUAAUAAUCAAAUCCAAGGAUGUCAAUAUGCACAUAAAAAUUAUUUUUACGUACUUAAUUGCGAACAAUUAAAAGUAAUACUAAAAAAAAUUAUCCAAGAAUAAAAGAAAUGCAAAUGAAAUAUGCACUAGUUUAUAUAUCCAUUUUUCAGGGUUCUCACAGGAGUCAUCUGUAGAAGCAGCUCUGAAUAGUUUAAGACUAUCAUCUUGGAAUGUUAAGAGGUUAAAAUGGCCUUCUCUCAUUUUUCUGUUGGGAUUGUAGCUAGUGAUAUGGUAUUUGGUAAGUUCUUCUAAUGAAAAUUUCAUCUGAAUUUUUGAGAUAAAGUUUCUUUCGGAAGUUUCCUUCCAUUACUAGGAGUCAAAACCCAAGAAUUUUUCCGAGGUGACUCCAAAAAUAACAUUUUUUGGAGUUUAGCUUCAUCCGAGUCUCUCGUAGGAUCUCGAGAACUUCCUUCAGGUCGGAUAUGAAGGUGGAGGUUUUCUGGCUCUUGAGGAGGAUGUCGUCCACGUAGGCUUCCACAUUCCUUCCUAUUUGGAAUUUGAAGGCUCGGUUUACCAAAACGCUGGUACGUGCCCGGCGUUCUUCAAUCCCAAAGACAUGGUAGUGUAGCAGUAUAACCUCGAUCUGUGUAGAAGACUGUCUUCUCCUUGUCUUCCUCGCUCAUCCCAAUCUGAUGGUACCCCUUAAAGGCGUCAAAAAAAACAAAGGAUCUCGUAACCCAUAACCGAGUCCACCAGGGUUUCGACUCGGAGUAAUGGGUAACAGUACUUGGGACAGGCCUUGUUCAGGUCGGUGAAAUCCACGCACAUUCUUCAGGUCCCGAUGUCCUUCUUGACCAUAACCGGGUUAGAUAACCACGUCGGGUAUUGAACUUCUUGGAUUAUCUUGGCGGGAAGGAGUUUGUCCACUUCUUCACCAGCGGCUCGGCUACGUUUCGGGCCGAGGUGCCUUCUCUUCUGCUGAAUCGGGCGUGCCUGAUGGUCUACAUUCAGCUUAUGUAUCAUGAGGUGAUGGGGCACACUUUGGAUCUCGUCGGCAGCCCAGGCAAAGACAUCCCGGUACUACUUGAGGAGACCCACUAUGUCUUUCUUGAUUGAAUCCGGUAAAUGGACGCCGAUGCGGACCGUCUGAUCCGACUUUGAAGGGUCCAUGGGAAUAUCCUCUAUCUCAUCUCCAGUCUCUAGCCUCUGGGGCUUCCUGAUUUGCUGAGGAUCGAUACAAUCGAUUGAAAGGAUAUUUGUCCUCUUUUCGGACCUGGGCUCGACGUAGAAGCGGCUUGCAAAGUAGCGAGGUAACACUCUCGCGCUGCACAUACAUCGCUGCUAACCUCGACGACUCCUGCGGGGUUGGGAACUUAAAACUCAGGUGGUACGUGGAAUAUACCACACGAAGAGCAUUAACCGUGGGUCGGCCAUGAGCAAGUUGUAGGGAGAGUCGAUUUUGACCAUAACAAAAUUGACAGGAAUGGUUCGACAGCGAGGGUGGCGACCCACGGUCACUGUUAGGGUCACACCCCUUCCGAAUGCACGACGUGUCCCCGAACCCUACUAGGGGCAUCCUAACGGCGGACACAACUGUUCUCUUGUCAGGUUCAAACUUUCAAAAGGUCGGAGAUACAUGACGUCCACCGAACUUCUCGGGUCAACGUAGACCUUCUUAACGAUGUAAUUGUUGAUGAGGAUCUCGAUCACCAAAGCUUCAUGGCUGCUCGAGGCGGCGGGAAUGGGGUCGCUAGGGCCAUAAGAUAUCACUUUGGACAAGCGUGAGCUCGGCUCAGCCUGCUCAGUGUUGGCCUGCCUAUAGGUUCUCUUCCGGGAGUUCUGGCUGUCCCCUCCCGUCGGACCUCCGGCAAUGGUGUUGAUGACCCCAACUAUGUUCGGUCCAUAUCCUAACCCGUGGCCUAAGGACCCGUCUGGGAGAGGUCUUUUCGUCGCCCUAGGGUCCUCAGGGGUCAACAACUGCUACUCGACCCUCGUCUGUUUUAUCGGCGCCGAUCACCUUGGUCAUCACGUCGACAGUCGGCGCAUUGGUAACCACGAUCUUGGCGGAUAAACUGUUUCAAGUGUCCUUACUUAAUGAGGCGCUCAAUCUCCCUCUUGAGGUCAUUGCAGUCUUCCGUCUCGUGCCCGAUGUCCCGAUGGUACAAGCAGUAGAGGUUGGAGUUUCUCUUAUCUCUGCUCCUGGCCAUCUUUGAAGGGGCACACCCGAGGUUAAUCUGCUCCAUGACGGAGAGCACUCGGAAUCGGAUAGCAUUCAAAGGCGUCAGGUCGGACUCGAGGAUAGAUGUCUUCCCCGUAGAUAUCCGAUCGAACACACUUCGACGAUUCCGGUUGAGGUUUUGAAAGCCACCAACAGCGCCUGCCUCACUUCAGCCGGAUUCCUUCUUCCUUCUAGGAUCGGUCCCCGAGCGAGUUUCUUGGACCUCCUUCUUUAUUCGGUUGAGGUCUUCGGCUUGUAUGCCUUUUUCGACCUUCAACCAGAGUUCAUGGAGUGUACGGUGAUACUUCUUGUGUAUCCCUGUGUUAAAUACCCCGGCCACGAGUCCGUGGGUGAACGCAGCUAUAGUAACCUGUUCAUUAGGAUCUGGUAUCUGCACGCUUUUCUCAUUGAAUCUCUGUACAUAGGACCGAAGUGAUUCUCCGGGUUCUGCUGCAUAUUCAGCAGGUAAGCCGAAGUUCUAGUUGUAGGUCUGGAGGACACGAAUCAGUGGAGAAAUCUCUCCACAAACUCUCCUAGGGUGGAUAUGCUCCUAGGUUCCAGACUCCAGAACCAUUUUCGAGCUAUCCCCUGAAGGAAUACUGGAAAAACCCAACAUAUAACGGGGUCGGGAAUGCAAUAUAAUCGAAAUGUCGAGAUGAAAGCGUGAAUGUGAUCUUCAAGAUCACCUCGGCCGUCGUAUGGAUUUAUUGAGGGAAGCUUGAAGUUGGAAGGAAGCCUUUCCUCGUUGAUUUCAUCCGUGAAGGGUGGGGCCCUCAUAUAAUCCACCCCAGGCCUCCCGAGAUGUCGAGGCUCUUCUCGCUUCGCCUUCCUAGCAAGUCUCGGGAAAACACCUUUGUGAUAGAGGCGAUUUUGGAAGUAGCUUUAGAAGAGACUCGCUUCGGGGUGCUCCUAAUGGAGUGCCUUCCCUCAGAUUCCUCAUCAGAGAAGUCUUUAGGGGACCCAUCUGAUUUUCUUUUAGAGGAUUUGGCCUUUUGUUUGCUUUGUCUCUUGAAAUAUCUUCCCAACUCUUCAAAGAUAUUGGGGUUUUCACUUACAAACUCGGCCAUACGAGCUAUGGCUUCUUCGUUUGCGGGCUGAGUUCUAACAGACUCCUGUCCUUCAGAGGCAUUCUCCUGUUGGGCUGCAGCACUUUGCUCAGCUCCAAUGGCAAGAGCCUUCCUGCUCCUAGAACGCAUAGGUUUCAUCUUUUGAUGUUUUCAUUCCCACAGACGACGUCAAUUGAAGAGAUGAUUUCUGACCUAACGAAGUGAUUACUGAAGUCGGAGGUGCCCUGUUUGAAGAGGUCAAAGCGUCCAGAUCACCUGCUCAGAUACAAAGAAGAGGGCUGAAUCCCUCGGUAUAGUUUUGAAGUUUAAGUUAGUUUGGAUAAGAGCGAGUGAUAUCAGAGAGAGAGUAUUAACUUUUUUACCAGAGAUUUGGCAUCCCCCUCUCAGAGGGAGUUUCUGAUAUUUAUAAGAGGCACGAGAGAGGGACUAUAGGUACAGGUCCUUAGAAAUCCGAUACAGGCAGUGUAUCCAAUUGAUUUGACUAGUCCCCAAGGAGGGGCGUGUCAGAAAAGUCGUCAGAGUCAGGCGGCGCGUGUCAGAGUAGCCAUCUAUCAGGCGUCAGGUGUGUUAGAGGUCAUAUCCCAUCCCAUUCCAGUUCAAACCCUUAGAUGCCACCUCGACGUCACGAGAGACGGCUCGCACCGGACUAGAACUCAGGUCGGGACCACCUCGCGAUUAGGCGAACGAGGUGGCACCCAUAGGGGUAGCAGAAGGACGAAACCCCAGGUAGUUCGAGCCGAAAUGACCAUCCUCAUAUUUUAUUAUUGUUGUUGUUGUUGUUAUAAAUUUUCUUCCGUUAAAUCUUUCAAUUUGGUAAAUGUAAUGAAAGAACCAUUAGAACAAAAAAGAACUUCAUAAGAGUUUAGCGGACUCUAGCUUUCUCAAAAAGGGAGUCCAUGUUUAACCAUUAAAACAUAGUAGGAUCCUUGGUAUAUGAUUUAAAUGACCUCAUAAUUGUCUAAUAGUUCCAAAUAAUAUAGACAAUCUGCAGAAACAAACAAUGUUGUCUUUAUUCUUCCAAGAUCUCAAUCACAAUAUAAGCGAAAAAUAUGGAAAGAACGGGGAAACUACAUCUAAGAUCCACGUAGAAGUUGAAACAACUUUCUCGAGUUGAGAACUUCAACAAGAUAUCUAACUCCACAAUAGCAAUGCCAGGCUCUGUUAUGCUAUUGCUUUUGUGUUAUUGUCUGAUUAUUAUUUAUUACGUUAUCCAGCACCAGACAAAAGCACAAAAUGAGAUCUUAUUGAAUAAAUUUUCAGUUGGACAAUCAACACAAUAUAGCCAGGACUUAAGUCCUUUGUGUUGUUACUCAAAAGAUCAUCAUAUAACCUGAAAUGCAAAUUACUCUUCUAUUGCAAUUAGCUUAAAAUGUUCUACUAUUACAUGAAUAACAGGUAUUACAAUCAAAGUCAAGUUGCAAAAUCUCGACCCAUGAAUUGUAGCACAGGCAAAAUUUCCCUCAGUCACCUAUGAAUUACAAGAAGAAGAAAAUGAAAGUAAAACCAAUACCAUCGCUCAUAAUUCAUCAAACCCUUCAGUUUUCCUCUUUUUCCUCUUUUUCCUUUUUCCUCUUUUUCUUUCCACUCUGCUCUGCAGAAUCACUUCUCUCUCCACCAUCAACCUCCCUGCUCUUCCUCUUCUUCCCUUUUUCGCUGCCAACAUUUUCUCCAUCAUCUCCACCCUCAUUCUUUUUUCUCUUCUUUUUCUUAUCCUUACUUUUGACACCUUCAACUCCAUCCAUGUCUCUUUCAAUUUCCACAAUCUCUUGCUUAGUAUUAUUCUUAACCUUAUCUAUUUCCUCUCUAUCUUCACCUCUCCCAAUCUUCUCAUGUUUCUUCUUUUUCCUUUCCUCCCCAACCCCACUAUCAGGGCUUCGCUAAAUCUGUUCUCUCUGCUCACUCCUCACCUCCAAUUGGCAAUUUUUCUUUCCUUUUUUGCCAAUAUUUUCUCCAUCCUCCUCACCUCAUCCUUCUUUUUCUUUUUCUUAUCCUUUCUCUUCACACUUUCACCUUCAACUUCAUCACUAAUGUUCCUUUCAACUUCCACAAUCUCUUGCUUAGCCUUAUUCUUACCCUCAUCUCUUUCCUCUGUAUCUUCACCUCUUACAAUCUUUUCAUGUUUCUUCUUUUUCCUUUCGUCCCCAACCCCAUCAGGGCUUUGCUCAAUCUGUUCUCUCUCCUAAUUCCUUAACUCCGAUUGGCCAGUUCUCUUAUCUUUUCUGUUCUUGUCCUAACUUCUCUGUACCUUAACUUUGUCAAGCCUAUCUGCUUCUUGGCCAAUCUUCAACAAGCCUUCAGUGUUCGGCUCAAAUUCGGAUUUUUCUUAUGUUUUCCCUUCUUUUCCGACCUUUUUACGGCGUUAACUUCAUCAAUCCCUCCUUUAUCCUUCUCAAUCUUUAACGGUUCUUCAUCAUUUACCUCUAAUUCGCGAUUUUUCUUCCGCUUGCCCUUACUUUCUACAUUCUUGAUCUUUUCUUCAUCUAGGUUUUUGUCAACGGUGGCUAAAGUUUCAGUCUUUGUAUCAACAACAAGAGGUUGAGAUGCCUUAUGUUUGCGAUUCGAAUGGGGCGCUUUUAGCUCCUUGUGGAAUUGAACCAAGUUGUCGAAGGCAUCAGAAGCACGUUUCAGAUACACGCGGACGGCAUCGAAGCUCCGUUCUCCUCUUCCAAGGAGGCGAAGGCGGAGAGGUUUUUGGCUGCUGAAGAUAGAGAGACUGGCUUUGUUGAUACCACUUGGCCUGUGAUAGUCUUCAUUGGAAUUUGACUAUUUUGAUACCUUUUGGGGUUAAUUUAGCUGCGAUUUAGGGUUUAAGGGGUUUUCGUCGAGGUGGCGAUCUGUUCAAAUCGCGUUGGCGGGUCGGAUUGAGACUUGGAUAUAAUAAAAAAUCCCGUUGACUCGAACUCGAAAAUUUUGGAUUGGAUUAGCGAGUCAAUAUGAAAUGAUUCAAAAUUUAAUUUUAAUUUAUUAAUUUAUCACUGUAUUUUUUAUAAAACCAAUUUCACACAAGAUUAAUUACAUAAUCAAGUAAUAAAAUUUUAAAUAAAUAAUUCCAAAUCAAAUAUAAAAUAAAAAUAAUAUAAAAGUAAAAAAUAAUAUAAUACAGUAUUUAUUCAAAUGUAAUAAUUUUACCUUCACACAGGUUAAAUAAAUUCAUUUAAGAUUAAGUAAUUAAUGUCUUUGAAAAAAAAAGAAUAACUUAGUUUAGUUAGAUAAAAUAAUUUUUAUGUUUAUCAAAUUAUUGUUUAUUCAUAAACGGAUUAUCGGAUCACCUACGGGUUGAUUCGAAUUCGACUCGUUUUCUUUUCAGGAUUCAUCGGGUUUUACCCGAUUUUGAUCCGAACCUGCGAGACCUCAAUUAAAAUCCAUUAAUUUUGCGUUAAAUUCAUGCGUCAUGUCAAAAAUUGCCACCGCUAGGUUUUCGAAGGUGAAGUCAAUCGGGGUCGAAGACAAUGACAUUUGGUUUCUCGACCCUCAGCCAAGACCGGAAUCUCAAACGGAUCAGACCCAAUAAAACAAGAAUUGCUAAAGAAGGGCAAAAAUUUUUCUGAAUGAAAAUGUAACACGUUAAAAUAAAUUUCCCGCUGCAAAAAUAGGAAAUAGGAAACUUUGGAGUCAAUAGCAUGUACAAGUUUGAUAAGACCAUUGAAAUGGACACGGGAUCUUGGGUCUUACUCAAAAAAAAAAAAAAGUAUACGUUGUCAUACGUACAAUCAUGAAUGUGAUACAUAUUUACAUAUACCAAUUGAUUUAGGACUCUCUUGAUGGAAUACACUUGAGUAAUAACAAGUAAUACUGAUAUCUUGCUCAAUUUCAUGUUAGCAUCACAUAUUAUAAGAUACAGAAUAAAAUAUAAAUUUAUGUUGAAUUAUCUUCUAAACUUCACCCUUACAAAAUGGAGAAAAAUUAAAACACAAACCAAAGGGGGAGAAAGGGAAAAUUUUCAAUUAUAUCAUGUCAAUUGGUCAUUCUUCUCAAUAAUAAAUAUAAAACUGUUUUCAACUUUCUUACAAAAUAAUAGAUAACAUGUAUCUUAAAAAAUGUUAUUACUUUUCUCCUAUUCUUAAUGUAACAACGUUAAUUUUGUAAUUAUGAAUGGACUGAAUAUAUAACGUAUGAAGGGAAUGUUUGGUUGAAUGAUAAGAUAGAAGAGAUUAUGAAUGACAAGUUUUGAAAAUAAAGUUGUAUAUCUUACUUAUACAAAGUUUUAAAAAAAAUACAAAGGUGUAUGCUUGUGUUUAUUUACUUUAAAUUACACAUUUAUCUUGUUUCAUGUUUUCCAUUUACUCAAAAUCUUACAUUGAUACCUUUCUCAUCUCUUUUCAUCUUGAAAUUUUUAUUAUUUUAUCUAAAGAAAGCUACUAUUAGAAAACUUCCUCCUCAAUUUUCAUCUUGAAUUCUUAUUUUUUUCUCCACUUAAUAUUCCUGUUAUUUUCUCUAGAGCAUUAGAUUUACUCUUUGGAGGGUUAGAAGGCAUCUAAACUCCUUACAUAUUAAACUUCCAUAAAAUUUCAAUAUCAAAGAUUAAAAUGAACACAAAAAUUUAGAAAAUUCAUUAGCUAUUUUUGGUACAAAGUUCUUUUAUCUUUCUAUUUGCUUAAAAGGGGGUGAGGAAAAUAAGAAUAAUGUAUUUAAGGCAAUUCCGUUUGUUAGACUCGAUCCCGCAACCGCCUUCGACGAUUGAAAACAGAGCUAAUAGAACCCCACAACGUUCUCACUCCACCAGCACACCGUCUUGAAAACUAGGUCAACCGUUUGCACAAAUUUUUAGUUCAGCUAUUGACUUUAUAUGCUGCCUCUGCCAGCUUUAGGCUUCAUUUGGAUAGAAAGAAAAGGACAGAAAAGAAAUGAUUCUGAGAGAAACCCGUACCGUUUCAUUCAUUUGGGAGUUUUAAGAUGGACAGAAGAGAAAAGGAAAGAACGGAUAAGAUUCCCUCCAACUGGUGAAAAUUUUUUCGGCCCAAAAGUGGGAAGAAAAGGACGGAAAUAACUUGGGCGCCAAAAGACAUUUCUAAUAUGACAAUUUUGUCCUUUAAAAGUUGAUACAAAAAUUCAUUAUACCCAAUAUAUCCUAAAGUUCAUUUGUAAAACCACCGGUGCAAGGCUUUCUCAGCUCUUACUUUCAAUCAAUGUUUUCAAAUCCGGAUCGGACCGGUCGGUUCGGCCGAUUCGAUCGCAAACCGGACAUGUGUCCGGUCCGGUUCAUAGCCUUUGUUGACCUAAACCAAAAACCGGUCAAAAUUGCAAAAAAUCGUAAAAACCGUUAAAAUCGUUCAACCCGUGAACCGCGGUUCUCCAAUUUUUGACCGAAUUUUCAAUUUUGACCGCAAUUGUCUAAACCUAAUCUUCACUUCUUCAGUCAUCAGUUCACUCUUCUCUUCAGUUAGGGGUGGCAAACGGGUCGGGUUCGGGUUGGCGGGUCGGGUUAAGGCUUAAGUAUAACAAAGAACCUGCUGACCCGAACCCGACCCGUCAAUCCGAAACGAGUCAGGGUACCUGACACGAACUCGAAAAUUUCGGGUUGACGGGUUGACCCAAAAUGACCCGAAACUUAAUUUUAAUUUAUUAAUUUAUCACUAUAAUUUCUAAUAAAAUCAAUUUUUCACAAAAUUAAUUACAUCAUCAAGUAACAAAAAUUUAAAUAAAUAAUUUCAAACCAAAUCUAAAAUAAAUUAAACACCAUAAAAGUUUUAUCUCAAACCAAAUAUAAAAUAAAUUAAAAUAACAUAAAAGUAAAAAAUAACAUAAUAUAUUAUUUGUCCAAAUAUAAUAAUUUUAACUUCACACAAGUUAAAUAAAUUCAUUUAGAAUUAAGUAAUUAAUGCCUUUGGAAAAAAAGAAUGAUUUAGUUUAGUUAAAUAAAAUAAUUUUUAUGUUUAUUAAAUUAGUUUUAAUUCGUAAACGGGUCACAUCGGGUCAUAUCAGGUCACCACGAGUUGAUUCGAAAUUGACCUGUUUUCUUUUCGGAUUCAUCGAGUUCGACCCAAUUCUGACCCGAACUCCCAAAACCUCAACCCAAAUCCAUUAAUUUCGUGUUAGAUUCGUAUCGUGUUUUCGAAUCGUGUUAGGAAUUGCCACCACUAUCUUCAGACUUCACGACGCUCUUCGCUUUGCCGCUUCAGUCUUCGCCGCUGCUUCAGCUUAAUUCAUUUGUUUCGAUUCUUAUUUCUCAGCUGCUACCCAGCAAUUCAUCUCAACUGGGUUUUGGUUGUCCCUUUUUCCCUUUUUUUUCCUUUCAUCUUCGCCGCUUCACGUUUGGUUAUUGGGUUUGUAGCCUUCACCGGUUCAUAGCCUUCCGUCCCCUCGGCCCUCUUUCGUCCCCUUCGCCGGUUUCGCUUCAACUCAAUUCAUCUUCGCCGGUUCAUAGCCUUCGCCGCUUCACGACACUCUUCGCCGCCGCUUCAUUUCUCAGCUGCUACCCAUCUCAGCUUAUACCAGGUUUGUUUAUCCUUUUUCCCUUUUUUUUUUCCUUUUGUUGUUGAUUACUGGGUUUUGGUUGCCCUUCCGUCCCCUCGGCCCUCUGUAUAAUGUAUAUGUACUGCUAUAAUUUUUGGGCAUAUGAUCCUUAUUAACUUGGCAUUGCAGCAGCGGCUAAAUGAUUAUAUUAUAAGCUGAUCAGCCUAAAUCAUUUUUUUUUUGGUUUGUCCUCAAAUUAGAUAAGCUGUCAGUCUGUUUGUCCUGCAGUUUUCGUUUUUUUUUUUUGACUCGGUAGAUAAUUUGGUUGCCCUGUUGUUUAAGUUGCGCCGCUGGUGAAACCGGAACUUAAUUGGGAGGUAGACUCCCUGUUAAUGUUUUUGGCCGACAAUCAAAAAUGUCAAUUAAUUAGUGGUCAGGUAUCAGAUGUUGGAACUAAACUGUACUUCACUGCUAAAUUCCACCAACGGCCUCAGUAAAAGUCUUUUCUUUUGGUAUUAUCUGAAAACUGGAUUAAAAAAAAAAAAAAAAAAGUCCUCGGUCUUUCAGUUGGACAGCCUAUCAUAUGGUCCCUUCUGUCACUUAAUUCAGUAAUUGAUAAUUGAUAACCAUGUCAUUGUGGAGUUGUAUUAUAAUUUGAUAUUGAAGCAUGUAGAAAGUUUCCCUUGCUUCAAGUACUUCCAUUUGGUGAAUUGGGAUGAAUUUUUGACACGUUUGGUUACUUGGUCAAGUGAAGUGAGAAUUUGACAGAAGCUUCCAAAACAUGUUUUUCAGUUGUUGAACAAAUCUUCUUGUUUGUCUUGUCAGGUUAAUAUAACAGGUUAACAUAGAUAUAAUAACCAUGACUCUUUCAGUAAUAAUCUCAUACUACCAUUUAUCAUAGUUGCCAGUCUUUCAAUCUUUAGUUGUUAUAGGUAAACACGUAAUCCUAUAAUUAGAAAACUUUAUUAACCAAAGUGCAGUGACACAAAGAUUCUAUGAUGAAACAGAAUUUGAUUUUCUGUACAGCAAGGUUCUUUUCUUUCUUUAGCCAAAGCUUUUUCUGCUUCUGUCUAUAAGACAAAAUGUUUACACAUAUCCGGUUUCUGUCCUUUUGGUUUAUAUUCUUCAAAUCAUCUUUUCUACAAUCCACCAUUAGUGUAUUUCGCAGAAGCUCAAAUGCUACUCCACUUAUUAAAUAAUAUAAGUCCCUUGCUAGGCUCUUGCUACUAAAUCAUUCCGUGACCUCCUGUUUCUGAAAGGUAAACAACCAAAUCUAUUGUUGACUAAUUAGAGCUCAUUAAAUUAUGCACAACCUACAGUUGGAAAACUAUUAUGUCUACAUAUUAAGACUGCUGUCUACUACCAAACAUGUACAAGGAGUCUGAAUACUAGAGAAGCAACCAAAAGCUGCCAGGUGUAACCAAGAAUGUUAGAAUAUAAAUUCUAUCCUAGGGUAGAAUUACUUCAGAAUCUUUGCAGUGCCAAAUCCAGAGUAGAAUUACUUCAGAAUCUGGAUUUCCAUCUUAGCAGUGCCAAAUCACUAACAGGAGAUGCAGAUUAGGAUAUGUAUAUAUAUAUUAUUUAUUUAUUUAUUUAUUGAACCAGGGUUGAACCGGUCCGACCGGUUGAACCUCGAUUCUUUCACUUCACCGGUUCGCUUGACGGUCCGGGUUUUAAAACAUUGCUUUCAUUCCUUGCAACUAGAUUCACCUGGCUUUCUUCCGUUCAACACCGACAAUUCAAUACAAAAGGUAUUUCUUUAACUCAAUCUCUUCUUUCUUUCUUUCUUUGUUCAAUCUUCUCAAGAAUUAUGAAAAAAGGAUUUUUUGUGUAGAUUGUUAUUGUUUAUAUUCUAAAUUUUUUUGUUCAUUUUCUGUCAUAAAAUUCUUGUCCACGAGAAAUCUUGAUUUUUAUAUUAUUGAUUUGUGAUUAUAUCGUGCAUGGUUAUGGUAAAUGUAAGUUUCAGUGGUGAUACAUGAAUAUGAAAUUUAAAUGCAUACAUUCUGUUUGUUUAUUUGUCUGUGUAAGCUUCAAAAUAUUGUAUAAUGAUGAAUACAGAGUGUUUGGCUGAUGUCAAUAUUUGUCAAAGUGUGGCCAUGUAAACUUUUGUGUAAUGUUUGUUAAUUCUUCUAGACUAAUUGUUGGGGUGGCUCAUGUUGAAGACUUCGAAUCAAUAGCUGAGCCAGAGAAACGUGCGAAUUGUGAACAACAAGCUCUCACCUUUGCAAAACUGCUUCUGAAAGAAAGGCGAAGGUUCAAGAGCAUUGGUGAAGUUGUUUCUGCCAUUCAGCAGCCUAAAUCAUGAGAAAUUCCUCCUCAAAUUUAUGAUUUUAGAUAUUGCAAGGAUAAUUGAGUUAAAUUGUGAUACCUCCAAAGGACAAGCAGAAUGUAUUCAAGGUAAUAAGAGAUUUCUUCGGUUUUGCAUCCCAAAAAAAAUAAAAAAUGAACGGGCAAAUACGUAAAGUUACAUUCUGAGAAAAUUCUUUCUUUCCAUAUCUCUCCAACUCUCAAACAAGGGAUGUAGCAGUAUACACCUCGAUCUGUGUAGAAGACUGUCUUCUCCUUGUCUUCCUCGCUCAUCCCAUUCUGAUGGUACCCCUUAAAGGCGUAAAAAAAACAAAGGAUCUCGUAACCCAUAACCGAGUCCACCAGGGUGUCGACUCGGAGUAAUGGGUAACAGUACUUGGGACAGGCCUUGUUCAGGUCGGUGAAAUCCACGCACAUUCUCCAGGUCCCGGUGUCCUUCUUGACCAUAACCGGGUUAGAUAACCACGACGGGUAUUGAACUUCUUGGAUUAUCUUGGCGGGAAGGAGUCUGUCCACUUCUUCACCAGCGGCUCGGCUACGUUUCGGGCCGAGGUGCCUUCUCUUCUGCUGAAUCGGGCAUGCCUGAUGGUCUACAUUCAGCUUAUGUAUCAUGAGGUAAUGGGGCACACUUUGGAUCUCGUCGGCAGCCCAGGCAAAGACAUCCCGGUACUACUUGAGGAGACCCACUAUGUCUUUCUUGAUUGAAUCCGGUAAAUGGACGCCGAUGCGGACCGUCUAAUCCGACUUUGAAGGGUCCAUGGGAAUAUCCUCUACCUCAUCUCCAGUCUCUAGCCUCUGGGGCUUCCUGAUUUGCUGAGGAUCGAUACAAUCGAUUGAAAGGAUAUUUGACCUCUUUUCGGACCUGGGCUCGGAGGCCGACGUAGAAGCGGCUUGCAAAGUAGCGAGGUAACACUCUCGCGCUGCACAUACAUCGCUGCUAACCUCGACGACUCCUGCCGGGGUUGGGAACUUAAAACUCAGGUGGUACGUGGAAUACACCACACGAAAAGCAUUAACCGUGGGUCGGCCCAUGAGCAAGUUGUAGGGAGAGUCGGUUUUGACCAUAACAAAAUUGACAGGAAUGGUUCGACAGCGAGGGUGGCGACCCACAGUCACUGUUAGGGUCACCACCCCUUCCGAAUGCACGACGUGUCCCCCGAACCCUACUAGGGGCAUCCUAACGGCGGACAACUGUUCUCUUGUCAGGUUCAAACUUUCAAAAGUUCAGAGAUACAUGAUGUCCACCGAAUUUCUCGGGUCAACGUAGACCUUCUUAACGAUGUAAUUGUUGAUGAGGAUCUCGAUCACCAAAGCUUCAUGGCUGCUCGAGGCGGCGGGAAUGGGGUCGCUAGGGCCAUAAGAUAUCACUUUGGACAAGCGUGAGCUCGGCUCAGCCUGUUCAGUGUUGGCCUGCCUAUAGGUCCUCUUCCGGGAGUUCUGGCUGUCCCCUCCCGUCGGACCUCCGGCAAUGGUGUUGAUGACCCCAAUUAUGUUCGGUCCAUAUCCUAACCCGUGGCCUGAGAACCCGUCUGGGAGAGGUCUUUUCGUCUCCCUAGGGUCCUCAGGGGGUCGACAACUGCUACUCGACCCUCGUCUGUCUUCUCGGCGCCGAUCACCUUGGUCAUCACGUCGACAGUCGGCGGAUUGGUAACCGCGAUCUUGGCGGAUAAACUGUUUCAAGUGUCCUUACUUAAUGAGGCGCUCAAUCUCCCUCUUGAGGUCAUUGCAGUCUUCCGUCUCGUGCCCGAUGUCCCGGUGGUACAAGCAGUAGAGGUUGGAGUUUUUCUUAUCUCUGCUCCUGGCCAUCUUUGAAGGGGCAUACCCGAGGUUAAUCUGCUCCAUGACGGAGAGCACUCGGAAUCGGAUAGCGUUCAAAGGCGUCAGGUCGGACUCGAGGAUAGAUGUCUUCCCCGUAGAUAUCCGAUCGAACACACUUCGACGAUUCCGGUUGAGGUUUUGAAAGCCACCAACAGCGCCUGCCUCACUUCGGCCGGAUUCCUUCUUCUUUCUAGGAUCGGUCCCCGAGCGAGUUUCUUGGAUCUCCUUCUUUAUUCGGUUGAGGUCUUCGGCUUGUAUGCCUUUUUCGACCUUCAACCAGAGUUCAUGGAGUGUACGGAGAUACUUCUUGUGUAUCCCUGUGUUAAAUACCCCGGCCACGAGUCCGUGGGUGAACGCAGCUAUAGUAACCUGUUCAUUAGGAUCUGGUAUCUGCACGCUUUUCUCAUUGAAUUUCUAUACAUAGGACCGAAGUGAUUCUCCGGGGUUCUGCUGCAUAUUCAGCAGGUAAGCCGAAGUUCUAGUUGUGGGUCUGGAGGACACGAAUCAGUGGAGAAAUCUCUCCACGAACUCUCCUAGGGUGGAUAUGCUCCUAGGUUCCAGACUCCAGAACCAUUUUCGAGCUAUCCCCUGAAGGAAUACUGGAAAAACCCGACAUAUAACGGGGUCGGGAAUGCAAUAUAAUCGAAAUGUCGAGAUGAAAGCGUGAAUGUGAUCUUCAAGAUCACCUCGGCCGUCGUAUGGAUUUAUUGAGGGAAGCUUGAAGUUGGGAGGAAGCCUUUCCUCGUUGAUUUCAUCCGUGAAGGGUGGGGCCCUCAUAUAAUCCACCUCAGGCCUCCCGAGAUGUCGAGGCUCUUCUUCGCUUCGCCUCCCUAGCAAGUCUCGGGAAAACGCCUUUGUGAUAGAGGCGAUUUUGGAAGUAGCUUUAGAAGAGACUCGCUUCGGGGUGCUCCUAAUGGAGUGCCUUCCCUCAGAUUCCUCAUCAGAGAAGUCUUUAGGGGACCCAUCUGAUUUUCUUUUAGAGGAUUUGGCCUUUUGUUUGCUUUGUCUCUUGAAAUAUCUUCCCAACUCUUCAAAGAUAUUGGGGUUUUCACUUACAAACUCGGCCAUACGAGUUAUGGCUUCUUCGUUUGCGGGCUGAGUUCUAACAGACUCCUGUCCUUCAGAGGCAUUCUCCUGUUGGGCUGCAACACUUUGCUCAGCUCCAAUGGCAAGAGCCUUCCUGCUCCUCGAACGCGUAGGUUUCAUCUUUUGAUGUUUUCGUUCCCACAGACGGCGCCAAUUGAAGAGAUGAUUUCUGACCUCACGAAGUGAUUACUGAAGUCGGAGGUGCCCCUGUUUGAAGAGGUCAAAGCGUCCAGAUCACCUGCUCAGAUACAAAGAAGAGGGGCUGAAUCCCCCGGUAUAGUUUCGAAGCUUAAGUUAGUUUGGAUAAGAGCGAGUGAUAUCAGAGAGAGAGUAUUAACUUUUUUACCAGAGAUUUGGCAUCCCCCCUCUCAGAGGGAGUUUCUGAUAUUUAUAAGAGGCACGAGAGAGGGACUACAGGUACAGGUCCUUAGAAAUCCGAUACAGGCAGUGUAUCCAAUUGAUUUGACUAGUCCCCAAGGAGGGGCGUGUCAGAAAAGUCGUCAGAGUCAGGCGGCGCGUGUCAGAGUAGCCAUCUAUAAGGCGUCAGGUGUGUUAGAGGUCAUAUCCCAUCCCAUUCCAGCUCAAACCCUUAGAUGCCACCUCGACGUCACGAGAGACGGCUCGCACCGGGACUAGAACUCAGGUCGGGACCACCUCGGCGAUUAGGCGAACGAGGUGGCACCCAUAGGGGUAGCAGAAGGACGAAACCCCAGGUAGUCCGAGCCGAAAUGACCAUCCUCAUAUUUUAUUAUUAUUGUUGUUGUUGUUAUAAAUUUUCUUCCGUUAAAUCUUUCAAUUUGGUAAAUGUAAUGAAAGAACCAUUAGAACAAAAAAGGACUUCAUAAGAGUUUAGCGGACUCUAGCUUUCUCAAAAAGGGAGUCCAUGUUUAACCAUUAAAACAUAGUAGGAUCCUUGGUAUAUGAUUUAAAUGACCUCAUAAUUGUCUAAUAGCUCCAAAUAAUAUAGACAAUCUGCAGAAACAAACAAUGUUGUCUUUAUUCUUCCAAGAUCUCAAUCACAAUAUAAGCGAAAAAUAUGGAAAGAACGGGGAAACUACAUCUAAGAUCCACGUAGAAGUUGAAACAACUUUCUCGAGUUGAGAACUUCAACAAGAUAUCUAACUCCACAAAUAGCAAUGCCAGGCUCUGUUAUGCUAUUGCUUUUGUGUUAUUGUCUGAUUAUUAUUUAUUACGUUAUCCAGCACCAGACAAAAGCACAAAAUGAGAUCUUAUUGAAUAAAUUUUCAGUUGGACAAUCAACACAAUAUAGCCAGGACUUAAGUACUUUGUGUUGUUACUCAAAAGGUCAUCACAUAACCUGAAAUGCAAAUUACUCUUCUAUUGCAAUUAGCUUAAAAUGUUCUACUAUUACAUGAAUAACAGGUAUUACAAUCAAAGUCAGGUUGCAAAAUCUCGACCCAUGAAUUGUAGCACAGGCAAAAUUCCCUCAGUCACCUAUGAAUUACAAGAAGAAGAAAAUGAAAGUAAAACCAAUACCAUCGCUCAUAAUUCAUCAAACCCUUCAGUUUUCCUCUUUUUCCUCUUUUUCUUUCCACUCUGCUCUGCAGAAUCACUUCUCUCUCCACCAUCAACCUCCCUGCUCUUCCUCUUCUUCCCUUUUUCGCUGCCAACAUUUUCUCCAUCAUCUCCACCCUCAUUCUUUUUUCUCUUCUUUUUCUUCUCCUUACUUUUGACACCUUCAACUCCAUCCAUGUCUCUUUCAAUUUCCACAAUCUCUUGCUUAGUAUUAUUCUUAACCUUAUCUAUUUCCUCUCUAUCUUCACCUCUCCCAAUCUUCUCAUGUUUCUUCUUUUUCCUUUCCUCCCCAACCCCACUAUCAGGGCUUCGCUCAAUCUGUUCUCUCUGCUCACUCCUCACCUCCAAUUGGCAAUUUUUCUUUCCUUUUUUGCCAAUAUUUUCUCCAUCCUCCUCACCCUCAUCCUUCUUUUUCUUCUUCUUAUCCUUUCUCUUCACACUUUCACCUUCAACUUCAUCAAUAAUGUUCCUUUCAACUUCCACAAUCUCUUGCUUAGCCUUAUUCUUACCCUCAUCUCUUUCCUCUGUAUCUUCACCUCUUACAAUCUUUUCAUGUUUCUUCUUUUUCCUUUCGUCCCCAACCCCAUCAGGGCUUUGCUCAAUCUGUUCUCUCUCCUAAUUCCUUAACUCCGAUUGGCCAGUUCUCUUAUCUUUUCUGUUCUUGUCCUAACUUCUCUGUACCUUAACUUUGUCAAGCCUAUCUGCUUCUUGGCCAAUCUUCAACAAGCCUUCAGUGCUCGGCUCAAAUUCGGAUUUUUCUUAUGUUUUCCCUUCUUUUCCGACCUUUUCACGGCGUUAACUUCAUCAAUCCCUCCGUUAUCCUUAUCAAUCUUUAACGGUUCUUCAUCAUUUACCUCUAAUUCGCGAUUUUUCUUCCGCUUGCCCUUACUUUCUACAUUCUUGAUCUUUUCUUCAUCUGGGUUUUUGUCAACGGUGGCUAAAGUUUCAAUCUUUGUAUCAACAGCAAGAGGUUGAGAUGCCUUACGUUUACGAUUCGAAUGGGGCGCUUUUAGCUCCUUGUGGAAUUGAACCAAGUUGUCGAAGGCAUCAGAAGCACGUUUCAGAUACACGCGGACUGCAUCGGAAGCUCCGUUCUCCUCUUCCAGGGAGGCGAAGGCGGAGAGGUUUUUGGCUGCUGAAGAUAGAGAGACUGGCUUUGUUGAUACCACUUGGCCUGUGAUAGUCUUCAUUGGAAUUUGACUAUUUUGAUACCUUUUGGGGUUAAUUUAGCUGCGAUUUAGGGUUUAAGGGGUUUUCGUCGGGGUGGCGAUCUGUUCAAAUCGGGUUGGCGGGUCGGAUUGAGACUUGGAUAUAAUAAAAAAUCCCGCUGACUCGAACUCGAAAAUUUUGGAUUGGAUUAGCGAGUCAAUAUGAAAUGAUUCAAAAUUUAAUUUUAAUUUAUUAAUUUAUCACUGUAUUUUUUUAUAAAACCAAUUUCACACAAGAUUAAUUACAUAAUCAAGUAAUAAAAUUUUAAAUAAAUAAUUCCAAAUCAAAUAUAAAAUAAAUAAAAAUAAUAUAAAAGUAAAAAAUAAUAUAAUACAGUAUUUAUUCAAAUGUAAUAAUUUCAACUUCACACAGGUUAAAUAAAUAAUUCAUUUAAGAUUAAGUGAUUAAUGUCUUUGGAAAAAAAGAAUAACUUAGUUUAGUUAGAUAAAAUAAUUUUUAUGUUUAUCAAAUUAUUUUUUAUUCAUAAACGGAUUAUCGGAUCACCUACGGGUUGAUUCGAAUUCGACUCGUUUUCUUUUCAGGAUUCAUCGGGUUUGACCCGAUUUUGAUCCGAACCUGCGAGACCUCAAUUAAAAUCCAUUAAUUUUGCGUUAAAUUCAUGCGUCAUGUCAAAAAUUGCCACCGCUAGAUUUUCGAGGGUGAAGUCAAACGGGGUCGAAGACAAUGACAUUUGGUUUCUCGGACCCUCAGCCAAGACCGGAAUCUCAAACGGAUCAGACCCAAUAAAACAAGAAUUGCUAAAGUAGGGCAAAAAUUUUUCUGAAUGAAAAUGUAACACGUUAAAAUAAAUUUCCCGCUGCAAAAAUAGGAAAUAGGAAACUUAGGAGUCAAUAGCAUGUACAAGUUUGAUAAGACCAUUGAAAUGGACACGAGAUCUUCGGUCUUACUCAAAAAAAAAAAAAGUAUACGUUGUCAUACGUACAAUCAUGAAUGUGAUACAUAUUUACAUAUACCAAUUGAUUUAGGACUCUCUUGAUGGAAUACACUUGAGUAAUAACAAGUAAUACUGAUAUCUUGCUCAAUUUCAUGUUAGCAUCACAUAUUAUAAGAUACAGAAUAAAAUAUAAAUUUAUGUUGAAUUAUCUUCUAAACUUCAUCCUUACAAAAUGGAGAAAAAUUAAAACACAAACCAAAGGGGGAGAAAGGGAAAAUUUUCAAUUAUAUCAUGUCAAUUGGUCAUUCUUCUCAAUAAUAAAUAUAAAACUGUUUUCAACUUUCUUACAAAAUAAUAGAUAACAUGUAUCUUAAAAAAUGUUAUUACUUUUCUCCUAUUCUUAAUGUAACAACGUUAAUUUUGUAAUUAUGAAUGGACUGAAUAUAUAACGUAUGAAGGGAAUGUUUGGUUGAAUGAUAAGAUAGAAGAGAUUAUGAAUGAGAAGUUUUGAAAAUAAAGUUGUAUAUCUUACUUAUACAAAGUUUUUAAAAAAAUACAAAGGUGUAUGCUUGUGUUUAUUUACUUUAAAUUACACAUUUAUCUUGUUUCAUGUUUUCCAUUUACUCAAAAUCUUACAUUGAUACCUUUCUCAUCUCUUUUCAUCUUGAAAUUUUUAUUAUUUUAUCUAAAGAAAGCUACUAUUAGAAAACUUCCUCCUCAAUUUUCAUCUUGAAUUCUUAUUUUUUUCUCCUCUUAAUAUUCCUGUUAUUUUCUCUAAAGAAAGCGAGCAUUAGAUUUACUCUUUGGAGGGUUAGAAGGCAUCUAAACUCCUUACAUAUUAAACUUCCAUAAAAUUUCAAUAUCAAAGAUUAAAAUGAACACAAAAAUUUAGAAAAUUCAUUAGCUAUUUUUGGUACAAAGUCCUUUUAUCUUUCUAUUUGCUUAAAAGGGGGGGUGAGGAAAAUAAGAAUAAUGUAUUUAAGGCAAUUCCGUUUGUUAGGCUCGAUCCCGCAACCGCCUUCGACGAUGGAAAACAGAGCUAAUCGAACCCCACAACGUUCUCACUCCACCAGCACACCGUCUUGAAAACUAGGUCAACCGUUCGCACAAAUUUUUAGUUCAGCUAUUGACUUUAUAUGCUGCCUCUGCCAGCUUUAGGCUUCAUCUGGAUAGAAAGAAAAGGACAGAAAAGAAAUGAUUCUGAGAGAAACCUGUACCGUUUCAUUCAUUUGGGAGUUUUAAGAUGGACAGAAGAGAAAAGGAAAGAACGGAUAAGAUUCCCUCCAACUGGUGAAAAUUUUUCCGCCCAAAAGUGGGAAGAAAAGGACGGAAAUAACUUGGGCGCCAAAAGACAUUUCUACUAUGACAAUUUUGUCCUUUAAAAGUUGAUACAAAAAUUCAUUAUACCCAUUAUAUCCUAAAGUUCAUUUGUAAAACCACCGGUGCAAGGCUUUCUCAGCUCUUACUUUCAAUCAAUGUUUUCAAAUCCGGAUCGGACCGGUCGGUUCGGCCGAUUCGAUCGCAAACCGGACAUGUGUCCGGUCCGGUUCAUAGCCUUUGUUGACCUAAACCAAAACCGGUCAAAAUUGCAAAAAAUCGUAAAAACCGUUAAAAUCGGUUCAACCCGUGAACCGCGGUUCUCCAAUUUUUGACCGAAUUUUCAAUUUUGACCGCAAUUGUCUAAACCUAAUCUUCACUUCUUCAGUCAUCAGUUCACUCUUCUCUUCAGUUAGGGGUGGCAAACGGGUCGGGUUCGGGUUGGCGGGUCGGGUUGAGGCUUAAGUAUAACAAAGAACCUGCUGACCCGAACCCGACCCGUCAACCCGAAACGAGUCAGGGUACCUGACACGAACUCGAAAAUUUCGGGUUGACGGGUCGACCCAAAAUGACCCGAAACUUAAUUUUAAUUUAUUAAUUUAUCACUGUAAUUUCUAAUAAAAUCAAUUUUUCAAAAAAUUAAUUACAUCAUCAAGUAAUAAAAAUUUAAAUAAAUAAUUUCAAACCAAAUCUAAAAUAAAUUAAACACCAUAAAAGUGUUUUAUCCCAAACCAAAUAUAAAAUAAAUUAAAAUAACAUAAAAGUAAAAAAUAACAUAAUAUAUUAUUUGUCCAAAUAUAAUAAUUUUAACUUCACACAAGUUAAAUAAAUUCAUUUAGAAUUAAGUAAUUAAUGCCUUUGGAAAAAAAGAAUGAUUUAGUUUAGUUAGAUAAAAUAAUUUUUAUGUUUAUUAAAUUAGUUUUAAUUCGUAAACGGGUCACAUCGGGUCAUAUCAGGUCACCACGAGUUGAUUCGAAAUUGACCUGUUUUCUUUUCGGAUUCAUCGAGUUCGACCCAAUUCUGACCCGAACUCCCAAAACCUCAACCCAAAUCCAUUAAUUUCGUGUUAGAUUCGUGUCGUGUUUUCGAAUCGUGUUAGGAAUUGCCACCCCUAUCUUCAGACUUCACGACGCUCUUCGCUUUGCCGCUUCAGUCUUCGCCGCCGCUUCAGCUUAAUUCAUUUGUUUCGAUUCUUAUUUCUCAGCUGCUACCCAGCAAUUCAUCUCAGCUGGGUUUUGGUUGUCCCUUUUUCCCUUUUUUUUCCUUUCAUCUUCGCCGCUUCACGUUUGGUUACUGGGUUUGUAGCCUUCGCCGGUUCAUAGCCUUCCGUCCCCUCGGCCCUUUUCCAUCCCCUUCGCCGGUUUCGCUUCAACUCAAUUCAUCUUCGCCGGUUCAUAGCCUUCGCCGCUUCACGACACUCUUCGCCGCCGCUUCAUUUCUCAGCUGCUACCCAUCUCAGCUUAUACCAGGUUUGUUUAUCCUUUUUCCCUUUUUUUUUUCCUUUCGUUGUUGAUUACUGGGUUUUGGUUGCCCUUCCGUCCCCUCGGCCCUCUGUAUAAUGUAUAUGUACUGCUGUAAUUUUUGGGCAUAUGAUCCUUAUUAACUUGGCAUUGCAGUAGCGGCUAAAUGAUUAUAUUAUAAGCUGAUCAGCCUAAAUCAUUUUUUUUUGGUUUGUCCUCAAAUUAGAUAAGCUGUCAGUCUGUUUGUCCUGCAGUUUUCGUUUUUUUUUUUUUGACUCGGUAGAUAAUUUGGUUGCCCUGUUGUUUAAGUUGCGCCGCUGGUGAAACCGGAACUUAAUUGGGAGGUAGACUCCCUGUUAAUGUUUUUGGCCGACAAUAAAAAUGUCAAUUAAUUAGUGGUCAGGUAUCAGAUGUUGGUACUAAACUGUACUUCACUGCUAAAUUCCACCAACGGCCUCAGUAAAAGUCUUUUCUUUUGGUAUUAUCUGAAAACUGGAUUAAAAAAAAGAAAAAAAAAGUCCUCGGUCUUUCAGUUGGACAGCCUAUCAUAUGGUCCCUUCUGUCACUUAAUUCAGUAAUUGAUAAUUGAUAACCAUGUCAUUGUGGAGUUGUAUUAUAAUUUGAUAUUGAAGCAUGUAGAAAGUUUCCCUUGCUUCAAGUACUUCCAUUUGGUGAAUUGGGAUGAAUUUUUGACACGUUUGGUUACUUGGUCAAGUGAAGUGAGAAUUUGACAGAAGCUUCCAAAACAUGUUUUUCAGUUGUUGAACAAAUCUUCUUGUUUGUCUUGUUAGGUUAAUAUAACAGGUUAACAUAGAUAUAAUAACCAUGACUCUUUUAGUAAUAAUCUCAUACUACCAUUUAUCAUAGUUGCCAGUCUUUCAAUCUUUAGCUGUUAUAGGUAAACACGUAAUCCUAUAAUUAGAAAACUUUAUUAACCAAAGUGCAGUGACACAAAGAUUCUAUGAUGAAACAGAAUUUGAUUUUCUGUACAGCAAGGUUCUUUUCUUUCUUUAGCCAAAGCUUUUUCUGCUUCUGUCUAUAAGACAAAAUGUUUACACAUAUCCGGUUUCUGUCCUUUUGGUUUAUAUUCUUCAAAUCAUCUUUUCUACAAUCCACCAUUAGUGUAUUUCGCAGAAGCUCAAAUGCUACUCCACUUAUUAAAUAAUAUAAGUCCCUUGCUAGGCUCUUGCUACUAAAUCAUUCCGUGACCUCCUGUUUCUGAAAGGUAAACAACCAAAUCUAUUGUUGACUAAUUAGAGCUCAUUAAAUUAUGCACAACCUACAGUUGGAAAACUAUUAUGUCUACAUAUUAAGACUGCUGUCUACUACCAAACAUGUACAAGGAGUCUGAAUACUAGAGAAGCAACCAAAAGCUGCCAGGUGUAACCAAGAAUGUUAGAAUAUAAAUUCUAUCCUAGGGUAGAAUUACUUCAGAAUCUUUGCAGUGCCAAAUCCAGAGUAGAAUUACUUCAGAAUCUGGAUUUCCAUCUUAGCAGUGCCAAAUCACUAACAGGAGAUGCAGAUUAGGAUAUGUAUAUAUAUAUUAUUUAUUUAUUUAUUUAUUGAACCAGGGUUGAACCGGUCCGACCGGUUGAACCUCGAUUCUUUCACUUCACCGGUUCGCUUGACGGUCCGGGUUUUAAAACAUUGCUUUCAUUCCUUGCAACUAGAUUCACCUGGCUUUCUUCCGUUCAACACCGACAAUUCAAUACAAAAGGUAUUUCUUUAACUCAAUCUCUUCUUUCUUUCUUUCUUUGUUCAAUCUUCUCAAGAAUUAUGAAAAAAGGAUUUUUUGUGUAGAUUGUUAUUGUUUAUAUUCUAAAUUUUUUUGUUCAUUUUCUGUCAUAAAAUUCUUGUCCACGAGAAAUCUUGAUUUUUAUAUUAUUGAUUUGUGAUUAUAUCGUGCAUGGUUAUGGUAAAUGUAAGUUUCAGUGGUGAUACAUGAAUAUGAAAUUUAAAUGCAUACAUUCUGUUUGUUUAUUUGUCUGUGUAAGCUUCAAAAUAUUGUAUAAUGAUGAAUACAGAGUGUUUGGCUGAUGUCAAUAUUUGUCAAAGUGUGGCCAUGUAAACUUUUGUGUAAUGUUUGUUAAUUCUUCUAGACUAAUUGUUGGGGUGGCUCAUGUUGAAGACUUCGAAUCAAUAGCUGAGCCAGAGAAACGUGCGAAUUGUGAACAACAAGCUCUCACCUUUGCAAAACUGCUUCUGAAAGAAAGGCGAAGGUUCAAGAGCAUUGGUGAAGUUGUUUCUGCCAUUCAGCAGCCUAAAUCAUGAGAAAUUCCUCCUCAAAUUUAUGAUUUUAGAUAUUGCAAGGAUAAUUGAGUUAAAUUGUGAUACCUCCAAAGGACAAGCAGAAUGUAUUCAAGGGUAAUAAGAGAUUUCUUCGGUUUUGCAUCCCAAAAAAAAUAAAAAAUGAACGGGCAAAUACGUAAAGUUACAUUCUGAGAAAAUUCUUUCUUUCCAUAUCUCUCCAACUCUCAAACAAGGGAAAGAUGUUUCUUUUCUUUUCUUUCAUUGAACUCCCAAACGAAAUAUUCAUCUUUUCUCCUCUUUUCCUUUCUUUUCUAAGUUAUCUUUUCUCUUCUCUUCUCUUCCUUCGUCUACUCCCAAACUAAGCCUUAUUUAUCAGUUCUGCAACCGCUGAGAAACUCUAAAACCCUCCCACCUAAUUCUUAAACCUCAGUUUUUCUGCGUAAAUUAGCAAACAUUAGGAAAAAUGAUGAGGAUAGCGCAAGCUCCGAUUCAAUUCACAAAACAGCCCUACAUUGAAGAUGUCGGCCCCCGCAAAAUGUAACUGAUCUCUACUGCUAUUGCUCUUUUUUUUUUUGGGGUUAAAUCUUAAAUAAGUGAAAUUCCAACGUGUUUGAUAAUUUCUUUACUUUUUUUUGUGGAAAUUUGUGAACAGAGAAAGUAUUCAGUUUUCUACAUUCGGAGAAUCCGAGAUUCUGAAAGCAGCUGAAGUACAAGUAUACCGCGGUGUAUAUUAUGAUUCUGCGAAAAAGCCUUGGGAGAAUGGCUUAUUAGACCCUCAUAUGGUAUCUUAUUUAACGUUCAUUGUUUCUUUUAACAGUGGUGAACUAUUUUUGCGUACGAUGAACUGAUAGCCGUGAUUCAUUUUCCAUAUUUUCUAUCUGAUGGAGAAGAAAAUGUAUCUGCUGUUGUUAUUUCACAUUUAAAAGAAGAAGAGAAGGGGAGUUCGAAUAAAUAGCAUUUUCUGGGGAACUGAUGAUGCAUCAGUUAUCUUUUAGGUCUCUUUUGUGCGGCUAGAGUUUGUUUAAUCUGUCAAAUUAUGCGAUAGGAAUUGCUUUGUUCAGUAAAUUACUUGUAAUAGUCUAUUGAUAAGGGGAUCACUUCCAGUGACUUUCUAAUUUUCUAACAAGCUAAAUCAAUGUUGUUUUUUAAUGUAGGUACUGCUGUUGUUUCCAAUUUAUUUAUAGUUCAGAAGUGUAUUAAUUUAUUGGUUACAUUUUUGAGUUUCUGGAAUUGAUAUUAGAAAUCUUCUGAAAGGUGCUGUUUGGUCUAGGGCCCCGCAAACAAGAAUGGAAUUUGUGAAACAUGCCAUGGGAACUUUAGGGAAUGUCCAGGGCACUACGGAUAUUUGACUCUUGCUCUACCAGUUUACAAUGUUGGAUACUUGAUUACUGUCCUCGACAUCUUGAAGUGCAUUUGCAAGGUAGAUGCUUAUAGUUCUACUUAUAUGUUUGUGCAUAGUAUUUACUUUGACCUGCAAAUCUCUCUCUCUCUGUCUCUCUCUCUCUCUCUCUUUUGGAUUCAAGUUGAUGCAAAGUAUACUUCUUAUUUGCUGUUGGUUCAUCAUUUUGUACGUAGGACUGACUUGAAUAAUUAUAGGAGUGCUAGGAUGACAUUCUUUUGUCUGAAAAAAAAAAUUCUUUUACCAAUCUGCCUUCUAUUUGCCACUUGUGUCCUCAUGUGCCCAAAAAAAAAAAUCCCCUUCUCCUUGCACUCAGAACAUGCAAAGAGGUGCUGUUUCUAGAAGCGACUACUUCUGCACGUGGGAAAUGCUAAAUUUGCUAAUGGGAGUCAUCUGUAGAAGCAGCUCUGAAUAGUUUAAGUCUAUCAUCUUGGAAUGUUAAGAGGUUAAAAUGGCCUUCUCUCAUUUUUCUGUUGGGCUUGUAGCUAGUGAUAUGGUAUUUGGUAAGUUCUUCUAAUGAAAAUUUCAUCUGAAUUUUUGAGAUAAAGUUUCUUUCGGAAGUUUCCUUCCAUUACUGGGAGUCAAAGCACAUGAGAUGAAUAAUUUUUCCCACGUUGUCAUUUCUUAGUUGCCUCCUCUCUCUCUCUCACACACAUAUUUUGGUGAAUGGUGCUGGGCGUGUUGAAUGCUUUAUCAGAGUUAAAUUUUGAGCUUAUUCAUUUAUUUUUCUCCUACUGUGCUUUCUAGUUUUGGAUGUGUUGAAGAUAUGUGAUCUAAUAUUAGGAAAGAUAUGAUUAUAGUAUCAUGUAUUAAUUAGGUAUCAUAUGAUUAUAGUAUCAUGUAUUAAUUAGGUAUCAUAUGAUUAUAGUAUCAUAUAUUAAUUAGGUAGUAAAUUGAUUUAGAUUAGCAUGAUUUUAGGAUCUAAAUUAGGUUACACUUGUGUAUAUAUAUAUAUGUAUAUUGUGUAGUCCAAAUAAGAUGAAGGAAAAUAUUUUCUCUCCCUUUUUCUUAGUUUUCAUGGUAUCAGAGCCCUACCAUCAAGGUUAGGCUCUCUGUCCGCUGCCGGAAAAUUCAGUAGUCAUCAUUCGGUUCCUCUGGUUCUGUAUAGAACACAUUUGUGUUCUAUUCUUCACUCUUGUUUUAAAGAGUUCAGAUCUGUCUUUUUUUGUUUUUAUUCUGUUAAUUCUGAACCCAUGGCAGAAACGAAAUCUGUCGUUACGUCUGAUGUGGUUCCUGUGAUGUCUAAGAUCACGGACCACAAACUCAACAAUUCUAACUAUCUUGAUUGGAGCAAAACGGUUCGUCUUUAUCUGCGAAGCAUUGAUAAAGACAAUCAUCUGACUGAUGAUCCUCCAAAAGAUGGUUCAAGACAGACAUGGUUAAGGGAAGAUGCCAGAUUGUUCCUGCAAAUACGAAAUUCUAUUGACAGUGAGGUAAUUAGCUUAAUUAAUCACUGUGAAUUUGUUAAGGAGUUAAUGGAGUAUUUAGAAUUUUUGUAUUCUGGUAAAGGGAAUAUUUCUCGCAUAUAUGAGGUGUGUCAAGCCUUUUAUCGUGCAAAGAAACAAGAUAAGUCCAUCAUGACUUAUUUUAUGGAUUUUAAGAAAACUUAUGAGGAGCUUAAUCUGUUGUUACCGUUUAGUUCUGAUGUGAAAGUUCAGCAAACUCAACGGGAACAGAUGGCAAUUAUGAGUUUUUUGGCUGGUCUUUCACCUGAUUUUGAAGCUGCUAAAUCUUAGAUUCUUUCCAGUCCUGAGAUCUCAUCCUUGCAAGAUGUGUUUAGUAGGAUGCUUCGCACAGAGAAUACCCAGUCUGUUCAGUCCAGCAGUGCUCUUGUUGGUCUUGGAAAACAGCAAUACAAAGGUGGUGGUAAAGGAAUUGACACUCGGGGACAGAAUGCAGAAGUGGUUGUGUGUUACUAUUGUCAAAAGCCGGGCCAUAUGAAGCAUGAUUGUAAGAAAUUGCAGUACAGGAACCAGAGAACUCAAUCCGCACAUAUUGCUUCUACCAAUGAUGCUAUUAACCAUGGAAAGUCUGUUACGAUCUCUGCAGAUGAAUUUGCUAAAUUUUCUCAGUAUCAAGAAUCAUUAAAGUCUUCAUCUACUCCCGUAACUGCCAUCGCUGAGUCAGGUAAACCAAACACAUGCCUUCUGUCCUCGUCCUCCAAAUGGGUAAUUGAUUCUGAUGCUACAGAUCAUAUGACAGGUAAUUCUAGUCUAUUUUCUACAUUUCAGUCACACACAUCUGCACCUACAGUUACCUUAGCUGAUGGGUCAAAAUCUCGUGUUCUUGGAUCAGGCUCAGUUAACCCCACUCCAUUAAUCUCAUUGUCAUCUGUCUUAAGUUUGCCUGAGUUAUCUUUUAAUCUAAUUUCUGUGAGUAAACUUACCCGUGCCCUCAAUUGUUCUGCCCAAUUCUUUCCUGACUAUUGCUUGUUUCAGGAUCUUACGACGAAGCAGAUUAUUGGUAAAGGGCAUGAAUCUGGAGGUCUUUACAUUCUUGACACACAGAUACCAAAGUCCAUAGCUUGUUCUGGAAUUGUAACACCAUUUGAAGCACAUUGUAGGCUGGGUCAUCCUUCUCUCCCGUUGUUAAAGAUACUUUGUCCACAAUUUCAGAAUUUGUCUCUAUUAGAUUGUGAGUCUUGUCAAUUUGCCAAACAUCAUCGUGUUAAUCUGAGUCCUAAAGUCAAUAACCGAGCGGAUGCUCCUUUUGCAUUAGUUCAUUCAGAUGUCUGGGGAUCUAGUCCAGUCAUUUCUAAAACUGGAUUCAAGUAUUUUGUUACUUUUGUUGAUGACCAUUCUCGUAUGACUUGGUUAUAUUUAAUGAAAAAUCGGUCAGAGUUGUUUUCUCAUUUUUGUGCUGAGGUUAAGACUCAAUUUAAGCGUUCUGUACAAAUAUUGCGAAGUGACAAUGCCAAAGAAUAUUUAUUCGCACCUUUUCAAUCUUUUAUGGUGCAAAAUGGCAUUAUUCAUCAAACCUCUUGUGUUGAUACACCAUCCCAAAACGGGGUCGCAGAACGAAAGAAUAGACAUUUGCUUGAAACUGCAAGAGCCUUAUCAUUUCAAAUGCAUGUUCCUAAACAUUUUUGGGCUGAUGCAGUGUCCACAGCUUGCUUUCUAAUUAAUCGUUUGCCUUCAUCUGUUCUGAAUGGUAGGACUCCUUAUAAUACUCUUUUUCCAAAUAAACCUUUGUUUCCCAUCGAACCUAAAAUCUUUGGAUGUACAUGUUUUGUCCGCGACUCUGGUCCCCAAGUCACUAAAUUAGACCCCAAAUCAUUGAAAUGUAUUUUUCUUGGUUAUUCUCGUGUCCAAAAAGGAUAUAGAUGUUAUUGUCCUAGUCUUGGCAGGUACAUUGUGUCAGUUGAUGUUACUUUUCUUGAAAAUACACCUUUUACCCAUUCCUCAUCUCAUUCAUGUCAGGAGGAGGAUGAUGAUUUGUUAAUCUAUACUGUCACAUCUUCAAGAUCUUCCCCUGCUAAACCUCCAAUUACUCAGGUAUAUUCUUGACGACAAAAGUCUCCUGAUGCAUGCCCUGAACCAGUUCCUUCGUUACUAGAUCUUGUCUCAAGUGAUGAUCUUCCUAUUGCUCUUCGCAAAGGUAAGCGUCAAUGCACUUAUCCUGUGUCUUCGUGUGUAUCUUAUAAUCAUUUACCCACCUCUUCUUGUUCCUUUAUUACAUCUAUUGAUUCUAUCUCCCUUUCUAAAACUGUUCAUGAAGCCCUAUCCCAUCUCGGAUGGCGCAAUGCUAUGAUAGAGGAAAUGAAUGCUCUAGAUGGUAAUGAUACUUGGAACUUAGUAAAUUUACCUGCAGGGAAGAAGGCCAUUGGGAGUAAGUGGGUUUUUGCAGUUAAAUUCAAUCCUGAUGGGUCGGUUGCUCGGUUAAAAGCUCGCCUUGUUGCCAAAGGCUAUGCCCAAAUCUAUGGAGAGGAUUAUUCUGACACUUUUUCCCCUGUUGCUAAGUUAACAUCUGUCAGGUUAUUCAUUUCUAUGGCAGCCACUCAUAAUUGGCCUUUGCAUCAACUAGAUAUCAAGAAUGCCUUUCUUCAUGGAGACCUCCAAGAGGAAGUUUAUAUGGAGCAACCACCAGGGUUUGUUGCUCAGGGGGAGUCUGGGAAGAUUUGUCAUCUUCGAAAGUCCUUGUAUGGACUGAAACAAAGUCCUCGUGCUUGGUUUGGAAAAUUUAGUCUAGCAGUUGAGAGGUUUGGGAUGCAGAAAAGCAAAUCUGAUCACUCUGUUUUCUACAAACAGUCUGAAGCUGGUAUUAUUUUGUUGGUAGUAUAUGUGGAUGAUAUUGUUAUCACUGGAAAUGAUGCUGCAGGUAUUUUAUCUCUUAAAACUUUUCUCCAUAGUCAAUUUCAGACAAAGGAUUUGGGACUGUUAAAGUAUUUUUUGGGUAUUGAGGUGGCAAAGAGUAGGAAGGGGAUAUUCCUGUCUCAAAGAAAAUAUGUUCUUGACUUACUAUCUGAAACGGGAAAAUUGGGGGCUAAACCAGCUAGUACCCCAAUGAUCCCUAACUUGCAGCUCACAAAAGAAGGUGAAUUAUUAGAAGAUCCUGGGAGGUAUAGAAGAUUGGUUGGAAAGUUGAAUUACCCUACAGUGACUCGUCCAGAUAUCGCGUAUUCAGUUAGUGUUGUUAGUCAAUAUAUGUCUAAUCCUACUGUUAAUCAUUGGGCAGCUGUAGAACAAAUUUUGUGUUAUUUAAAAGGAGCUCCUGGACGUGGUAUUCUGUAUGAAAAUCAUGGUCAUACUAGGAUUGAGUGUUUUUCAGAUGCUGAUUGGGCAGGAUCUAAGGCAGAUCAAAGAUCCACAACUGGAUUUUGUGUCUUUGUUGGAGGAAACCUGGUCUCAUGGAAGAGUAAGAAGCAGAUUCCUGGUCUCAUAUCUCUUCAUCUGCAACUAAUUCUUGGUUUGUCGGGUAAAUAUUUAACUGCAUGUUAUGGAACUGUUUAUAUAGACUUGAAUUUACAAAAUUUCCUGGGAAUCGUGUACUACAUUCCUGUGAUAGUGGUAUUUUUGGAUAAAUCUAAAUGAAAUUGUUCACUUAAGUCACUGAUUAACAUAGGCGUCGUCAAUCAUAAUUAUUAAAUUAACUAAGUGUAUAUAAUGUAGCUUUAUAUUCUGGGCUUAUGUUCUAGGUUUAUUAUAUCAGCUUAGUUGCAUUAUGAAAAAAUUGGUACUAUAUGGAUGCUAACAUGGAGUAUCGAUCUUGAAAAGCUUCAAGGAAUCUUGGCUUGGUAUACAAACCAAAUGUUGAAAACUUGAACUUUGAUAGUUGAGCUGGCAUAAAAACCUAGCUAGAGUGAUGCAUUGAAUUUUUCUUUUUCCUGCUCAAGCCACAUAGUUUGGAGUGUUGUGGAAGAAUUUAUGCAAUUAAAUUUUAUGUCUGGCAUGUUUGAGGAAAAUUCUAUAUGAUAUUCUGGGAGAUGUAUUUAUGGUUCUUCGAAAAAAGAGGAUUAAAAAUCUUUUGGAUCCUGCUAAAUGCCUGCACAUUGACAUUUUACAUCACUAAUAUGUGCAGUAACGAGAAUGACACUACAGAGAGACUAAAACGCAUUAUCCAAGCUAAUGCUAGUCUUCGUCAAGAAAUAUCAGACACAAGCCUUCCAUCCAAAAGCUUGGUAUGAUUUUUGUUUCCCAAGUUCUAUAUUCUCUGACUUUGGUUUAUUAUUUACUUCCAUAUCCAUUUUGUAAUUAUUUGUCUGCUAGAUUUGUGUCACACAUCUUUGAUAACUAUUCUCUAUGCUUACUUUUCUUUUUGAGUUUUUAUUGUGUCUUUCUUAAUUCUGAAUCUGCAUGCUAAUGAUUGUUAGAAAUGUAAACACAAAUAACUUUUUUUUCCUUACAUAAAAUAGGAUGAAAAGAAAGAGGACUGGCUGCAGUAUCAUCUUUGACUCUGAUUGAUUCUCUUAUUGUUGUGUAAUUUGAAAAGAAAAGUGCUUCAAAUUAAGAAAAAAUGCACAAUGAGAUGACAGGCACUGCUCCAACCCUAUCAACGAAAGGAAAAAUAAGAAAACAAAGACUAUACAUGCUUUUCUUUGCUCCCAACUGGAAAAUCUGAUUGCUCAUUUGUCCUCGUGUUUGGCAAAGCAUGUUUCGUGGGGAUGUUGUCAUGUUUCAGUGAUUACAUUGACCCAAUCCAUCAUAUGCUAAUUUAUAUUCUUGUACUGUGGAUACUAUUGUUCGGGAUGUCAACAUUUUGCUGCAUGCCCUUGCCUGUAGUUGAAUGCAUUGGGUGUAUCUCACUGAAAUCUCCAAUGCCUAUUGGUUAUGUGGGGGUGCUAUGCUAUCUGUGGAUUUCAUCAUUUUGUAUUACCAUGCAUUUUGAGAGAUUUAUGGGCCUUUUAUCCUGUUUUGUGUGGUUUGCAUUCAUUCCCAUGGUUAUACCGACACCACAGCUUCUUGCUUUCCCUGUCCGAUGGUGUAACAAGUUCCUUCCCAGCAAAGCCCAUCAUACCUUCUGAAAAAACUGAAAAUGCCAAAAAGUUAAAAUUUGCAGCUAGUAUCAUUGAUUUAAUUGGCAUUGACAUAAUAGUAAUAUUUCAUCUAUUAAGAAGGUCACCCUGAAUACCUGAAAUAGAGAAUUAUAGCAAGAUUUCACUCCUACAUCUUCUAAAGCCCCUUUGAUAUCUCUUCAUCUGCAACUAAUUCUUGGUUUGUCGGGUAAAUAUUUAACUGCAUGUUAUGGAACUGUUUAUAUAGACUUGAAUUUACAAAAUUUCCCGGGAAUUGUGUACUACAUUCCUGUGAUAGUGGUAUUUUUGGAUAAAUCUAAAUGAAAUUGUUUCUUGGUCUUCCAUUGCAUCUCUUUUUCAAUGUCCAGGAAUACGUCACAAAAUUAAUUGUAUUGUGCCAUUGCAAAUGUAACAUCACUUCUGUCUUUGAGUAUAUCUUCUAAUGCACUUCUAGUGAUUUGUUCUUCACCUGGUUUAGAAUGGUUGGAUUGAUCUGCAAGUGGAGGUUGCACAAUAUAUAAAUAGUGAUGUACGUGGAGUUCCCUUAUCUGCACCAGCUACCAAACCUUUAAGUGGUUUUGUCCAGCGUCUGAAAGGGAAGCAAGGAAGAUUUCGUGGAAAUCUAUCAGGAAAACGUGUCGAGUAUACAGGAAGAACUGUUAUAUCUCCUGACCCAAAUUUGAAAAUCACGGAGGUAUGUUGUUUGAGUUAACUCAUUUCUGACUUAAGAUGAUGGUUUACACCAUGAGAAUAUCCUGUCUAGGUGAUUAAGGUAAAAGUAAGCCACACCAGUUUGUGUCCCUUUUGAUUGAUUUCAUCUAACAGGCUUUCUUUUCCAGGUUGCGGUUCCUAUAUUGAUGGCUCAGAUUUUAACGUAUCCUGAGCGAGUGUCCUAUCAUAAUAUAGAGAAGUUGAGGCAAUGCGUGCGAAAUGGGCCUAAAAAGUAUCCUGGAGCAAAAUACAUCAGGCAGCCAGAUGGUACCGAGAUGUAAGGAGUGUGUAUGUUGGGGCCUUUUUGUUUGUUGGCUAGGUCUUAUGUUUCCUUAUUUCACAAAUGUUGUUGUCCAUUAUGCUGCAGAUCAUUGAAGUUUAGUUCUAGAAAGCGUCAUGCUGAUGAAUUGAAAUUUGGUUACAUAGUUGAUCGUCAUGUAGAAGAUGGAGAUGUUAUUCUCUUUAACAGACAACCGAGUCUGCAUAGAAUGUCCAUCAUGUGUCACAGGGUAAUUACUGCAGUAUAAAUACUGAAGCAUUAGAGUGUACUUAUUUAGUUUUUAAUUUAUUUGUCCUUUUUUAUUGGCAGGCAAGAAUAAUGCCAUGGCGAACAUUGAGAUUUAAUGAGUCCGUCUGUAACCCAUAUAAUGCUGAUUUUGAUGGUGAUGAGAUGAAUAUGCAUGUGCCUCAAACAGAGGAGGCUCGCACAGAGGCGCUAAUGUUGAUGGGAGUAAGUAGUUAUUCAUGUCUUAUUUAUAGAUUUAAUUUAGCACCAAGUUUUAGAACAUCUUUUCUCGCGAUUGCUAGUAGAAUUUCAUCGCUGUGUUUUCAGCUUUUUGUUUUGUAUGUGAUUUUCUUUUCUCUUUGAAAUGUUAUUGACAAUUCUGCAGGUGCAAAACAAUUUAUGCACUCCAAAAAAUGGAGAGAUUUUGGUUGCUUCCACACAGGACUUUUUGACAUCUUCAUUUCUCAUUACAAGGAAGGACACAUUUUAUGAUCGUGCUUCUUUUUCACUUAUGUGUUCAUACAUGGGGGAUGGGAUGGAUCAGAUUGAUUUGCCAACUCCUGCACUACUUAAGGUUAGUUAAACUGAUGUAAUUAUAUUCUCUAAUUGCUACUUGAUUGAUAAUGUCUUUUUUAUUAUUAUUUUGACCUAUAUAUUCACCUCUUAUUCUUUUGGAUGGAAUAGCAGAUCCUUUUACCUUUAAGUUUCUUAAUACACCAUUUUUUCUUUUACUAAGUCAUAUUUCAUGAAUUGCCUAUAACGUGCAUGAAGUUAAUAUUCUUAACUACUUUAGACCUUUUAGGUUGAAAAAUGAUCAUGGCCUAAUGGCCUAAUAGUAACCCUAAAGUGGUAGAGAAUGUAGUUGAUCUUCUUAUAUUCAGUUCCAAGUUGGAGGCCUAGUUUUUUCCUGUCAAGUGGGCACCAUGCUAGUUCUUGUAGUUUCUUGUUCAAAUUAUAAGGUGCCCUGUUUGGAAAGUAGGAGGAUUUGGGAAAUUAUAGUGUUGGUUCUUUAUGCCUUUUUUUUUGUUGUUUUUGGUGGGGGGGGGGGACGGUGUUGUAUUGUUACUUGCACUUGGUGCUGUUACUGUAUAUAUGAUUUUUGCCUGUGCAGCCAGUUGAACUUUGGACCGGUAAACAAUUGUUCACUGUACUACUGCGUCCAUUUGCAAAAAUGAAAGUCUAUGUGAAUCUAACUGUUGCUGAAAAGAAUUACCAAAAGCCCAAAGAAACCAUGUGCCCGAAUGAUGGAUUUGUUUGCUUCCGUAAUAGUGAGCUGAUUAGUGGACAAUUGGGAAAAGCUACAUUAGGUGAGAUUCUUUCCUUUACUCCAAAAAUAUAAUGCGUGCCUACUUUAUGAAUUUUGGGUUGCUUCUGCUGUUAAUGUUUUCUCUCUCUUGCACUUGUUUUAUGGGGAGCAACCUGUAAGUUAAUUGCCAAGUUUUCUUAUUUAGCCUAAUUAGAGUAUGUUGCAGAGUCAAAGUAUACCACUUUUUGCCUCAGAUUCAGGCUUUUAUGUUGAGAUGCAUUUUCAGUUUUGCAUACUAAAUGACCCACAAACUUUGACCUCUGCAUGAAUUUGUGAUCAUGAGACUUGCCUUUAGAUUUUACAAAAGUCCCUCUAAUUUAAUCUGUGGUCUUUUAUUGGAUUUUUUUGAGCUGAUAUCAUGUUGUGGAAGAGUUGAAGGCUAAGAUUGGGUUUAUUGUUUUAAGGUUGAUGCCUUCUUUUUGAAGGGAUGAUUCUGAAAGUCAUCUUUUCGUCUUGAAAUGUAUUAAGUUGUCAUGAAGCUUUUUUUGGAGAACUAUUGCUUUAUCAUGUUUUUAAAAAAAGUUCCACAAAAAAUAUGAAUGUAGAAGAUUGAAACACAAAAUGGAAUCCUUAUCAAGUUUAUGCAUGUUCUUCUGUUUGUUAUAACUUUUCAUACUGUGAGCGAGAAAACCCAUACUUUCACCAAAAAAGUAUGAAAUGUGAUUUUUAGAGCUGGCUUUAAUGGGCAUCAUGUUCAUUUUAGCUCAGUUUUCAUUUGAUAUUCCAUCCUAAAGCAAGUAGUUUCUGAAUAGAUUCUAAUCCUCAAAUAGAUAGUCUAAUAUGUUAAUGAAAAAAAUAGGGAUGAUUUCACAACCUCUCCCGAGAUUUAUGACAUUUCAGUUAGCUCCUAUCAGAUUGCAAUAAUUAAACUUGCAUUCUAUUUUCAUACUGAUAGAGGUCAAAAAAAAGUUACUUUACUGUGUAAAGUGUCUGUUAACCUUCUCAUGUUCCUUAACGUAAUAAUCUAAAAACAAAGAUAGAAAGAAAGAAAGAAAUUCUACUUAGAGUGUGGCAUCACAACUUUAUAUGCUAUCUGAGGAUGGCAUCACAGUAUUUGUUUGUCCCGUAUAUGCAAUUUGUGCUAGUAUAUCCAUCUUUUGCCUCAUGUUUUUGGCUUUAGAAAGAGCACACUAGAAUAAUUUAAUUCAUUAGGAUAAGAAACUUGUGUAUUUAAGCACAAUGUAGCUCUGCAUUUGUGUGCUGGAAAAGAUUUAAGUUCUAAUUUCUGCAAUAUGCUGUUUUUUGUGUUUAUUGGUAGCUUUGGAUGCCUUAAAAUGUAAAGCUCAGAACAAGAAGUACUUAUGUUUGUGAUUGGAACAGGGAAUGGGAACAAGGAUGGUCUUUAUUCGGUCCUCCUAAGGGACUAUAAAUCACAUGCUGCUUCAGUAUGUAUGAAUCGCUUAGCAAAGUUGAGGUAUGUUAGUAGUGGCUUUUGACUGGCAACCAACCUUUUCCUUGUGUCUCAACAUUGUCUGUUAAUAAGGUUUCUCAUUGAACAGACACAUUAGUGUGUCAUAUACUUUCCAACCAUUCAUUUUGGUAUUUGUUUUAAAUUAUUGAUGCAUGUAAUUUGAACUUUGUUUUGAUAAUGUAAUUGUUAAGAAGCAAACCUCCUGUAAUUUUUCAUAUAUUCCUCUGUAUACUCUCUGCCAUAUCUUACAAGUAAUAUAAUAGGUAGUUGCAGUUUUUGUUGAAAAAAAAAUUCAGAGAGUUUAAUAUUUAUAAGCUAAUUUAUUAAGAAGAUUGUAUAAUCCAAUGCUUUUCAACUAUUGAUUGUUGUAUAUGUGGUUUACUAUUAAAUUUCCAGGUGUUGAGCAAUGGAUUCCUAGUAAACUUGUCAGUUGUCCGGACUCUUAUCCAUAUAGUUUUUCUAUGGUCAGGCUUACCUGACCUCUGCAAAAUUUUGUAGUAACUAUAAAUCGUGUCUUGUUAUUUUCAAAUUCUAUUGGAUACAAGUGAUCAGGAUACCUUCCUGCACAGUACCUGAUCAGGAUAACUUCCAUCUUUAGCCUCAUGAUCUAAUGAAAAUCUACCACUUAAAAAGUACUUUGAACCAAGCUCCUUGUACUUCUCCAGAACAAAAUGAGAUCUGUAACUAAAUAUCGCAUCGACGAUGGGCAUACGGGAGCUCCAUAACUGCUGAAUGUAUCUCUAUCUUAAAUUUACUUAACCCCCUACUCUAGACGGGCUUCAUAUUUUUCUAUGUAUCUGUUCACUUUUAACCCUCUUUAUGAUCUCUUGGUGGCAGUUUUUUUUUUUUAACUUGGAAGUAAAACAUCCUUAAUAUUCUUGUCUUUCUUUUGGGGGGAUGUUCAGAGAUCUUUCCAUACAUCUUGCGCGACUGGCUCUUGGAAUUCAAAAUCAUGUUGUCCAAUGAAGGCCAGUCUUUUCUUUACUUCCCUAGUCAACCACCAUCAGCAAUAUUUUAGCCACUCUUUUACACGCCCAAGCCCCAAAACCAACCCCAACCCCAAAAAUAAAAAAAGAAGGCAAUAUCUAAUUUGAUUGAAUUACUUGAACCUGAAACUGAAGUUAUUUAUCAUACCAAGUUUGGACAUUAAUUUUAGGUUCUUUGUGGAAUACGAAUUUGAGCACGCUGGAUUUCAAGUCCAUUUCUUUUAAAUCCUCGCAUAAAUUUCGAUCUGCCUAUUCUAACAGAACUUUAGAGUCUUUUCAUCUUGUCUACUGCUUAAGGAUAGCUAUUGCCCACUUACUGAUCUUUUAGGUUCUUUGGAAAAUUAUUUUGCAAUUCCUGUACUUUGUUUUGCCCAUAUAUGUUGAGUGCUUUAUGGUUCGAUAUGCUGGAUUUUAAUUUACCUUUUGUACUUGUAUUCAUUGCUAUGCUAAUUGAUGAACAAUGCUAUUUUGGGUUGUUAAGAUGGAUUGUAGUGUCUUUCAUGUGAGGCUGACAGCUUAUUGUGUGAUACAAUUGCUCUUGAAGUCUAUUAUAUUUGCUCCUUUAUCUGGACACUUUCUCAGGACUUAAAUUUCUGUCACAGAUUCAAAGUAGCUCUACGCAAUGAGUAUUAUAUUCAUUUUUCAUUUAAAAUGUCAUUUGCAGUGCAAGAUGGAUAGGGAAUCAUGGAUUUUCUAUCGGCAUUGAUGAUGUGCAACCACCUGAUCGUCUAAUUACUGCAAGGGAUGAAAAAAUUUCCACAGGAUAUGCAAUGUGUGAUGAAUUAAUAGAGAAGUAUAACAAGGGUGCGCUUGAGCUGCAGCCAGGUCAUGAUGCUGCACUGACACUUGAAGCUAAAAUAACAAAAGUUCUAAAUGACAUUCGAGAUAUUGCUGCCAAGGUACUUCCUGUUUUUACCCUGUUGUAGCACUGCUUGCAUAUCUCUGAUCUGAAAGUACCAGUGAACAACUAAGAAUGGGUCAGGGAAGAUAUACCAAGUGAUUCCUCAUUCUUUUGCCAGCCUGUGACCUUGUCCCUGACCUUAUCGUGCUUUAUGGGUGGCAUAGAUUGUCCAGCUUUUGCCAUUGGCAGCAAACCUCUCUUACUGGUCUUCUUUACUUUCCUCUAACUUAACCCUCCAGAGACAUCUUAUAACUUACAGACUGACUAGCUAAGACCAACAAGGCACAAAUAGAAGUGAAGUGAAGGCAUCCGUUUUCUUCCCCCAAUGUUGAGGAGGAUUUAAUUGCCAGCUGUCCAUGAUUACCUUGUGCAUUUCAACACAAACUUCUUUAUGCCAUUAUCAGCUCCUUAUUUUUAAUUACUAUUCUAGAAUUUAUCAUUGGCUGGGUCAUCUGAGUAGUAACUUAAAUUGGCGGAGUUGGACAAACUGAUAGAAAAUAUCAAACUUUAAGUCGUCACCAAAUAUCUUUCUUUCUGCAUUGAAUAUGUGCACAUGCAUAUGUACUGUUUCUGUCUUGUUUGCCUUUGGGGAAAGAGCCAUUGUCUGCAAUAGCUGUCUGUGUAAAAGGUUAAAUGAAGGAAAUGACUGGACAAGUCAGAACAUUACAUCAGUUAGACUACAUGAUGGAAGAACAUUAGGGGGUCAGAAAGGAAUCUGGCUAGAGAUCAAUGAUAAAAUGUGGUUCUGUGUCUUGUCAAAGGAUAUUAGUCUCUCUUCUGCUGCAGCUCUUUCUUAUUUUUGUACUGUUCUACUGACUUGGUUAUGGAUCUCACACAGGUUGAAGUCACCAUGAUUAUCUGUGAUAGAUUUAUAUUUUUCUAAUGUAUUGCCUUUUGUGACUUCUUAUUUCCCCUUUAGAUUUUAUGUAUUGUUUCUCCAUAUAAUGAUCAAGCCUUUUUAAUGAUUUGAAACUUUUUGUAGGAAUGUUUGACGUGUCUGCAGUGGAGGAAUAGUCCUCUAAUUAUGUCACAAUGUGGUUCAAAGGGAUCUCCUAUAAAUAUCAGUCAGAUGGUUGCAUGUGUUGGACAACAAUCUGUCGGGGGUCGUCGGGCUCCAAAUGGUUUCAUUGAUCGCAGCCUUCCUCAUUUUCCCAGAAAGUCAAAGAUCCCGAAGGUUUGUUCAUUUAUUUCAUCUGGAUAAAUUUUUCUGGUCUGCACCAAAGUUCAUCUGUCAGCAGAAGUCUUGGACUAGGAAGAGGGGAAAAAGAAGAAGGGAUUGAAGGUGGAGUCAUGGAUGGAUGACUCUGUGUGGAUUUAACGGGGAAUAUCAUGUAGUGGGAAGAGAAAGGGGUAUGCAUUUGAGGGGGAAAAAUUUGAUUUAGUGUUUAGAGAUCUGAAAUACAUUCUGCAACAUUACUUAAUUUCUCUUACCUUGUGAUUAAGAAUCUUUCAUGUAUCAUUUAUUAUGUGUAUCAGCAUAUGGUUUAAUACUUUAGAAUCUGCGGGUGGAGUGGUGAUAUCAUUGUUAGUUUACAAAUGAUAUCAUAUCAUUUUGCAGCUUAGUUUAUGAAAUCUUGAGAGUUCUUUCAUAUAUUGUUGAAUUUUGAAUAGGAUUAGGGCCAUAGAUUUCAUUGGGGUAAAGAUUGGGAUCACGUCUUUUUUGUUGAAAUGAUUGGUUGGUUCCUGUGGUAGCUUUCUGGCUUUUUUAUCCUGGGCAUUUUCUUUUGGCGAUAUGUAACUUUUGAGCCGAUUGAAAUUUGUGUCUGUCUUAAGAUAAAUUAAAUGUCUUUUCUGGUGAUUGCCACAAGUAUUUAAAGCUUUAAAUUUUAUUGAUAGCCAAUAUAAAAUUGUCCACAAGUCAAUUGCACUUAGUUUAACCAGUUAUGUUGGAUUGUGCAUGUUACAAUGUGGAGUGAGACUUGGAUAAAUAAUACUAUGUAGUUCUUUUUGUUAGGAAAUUGGCUUAAAUUCUUUUAGGUAGAUUUCUUAUUUGGUGUGGGAAGUAACUAGAUUCCUAAUUGGUUUUAGUUACUUGAAGUAAUAGUCAAGUAAAGCCCUAUUUAGCAGGAAUUAGAUGUUAUUUCGAUAUGAGUUUAGGAAAUAAUAUUGGUUUCCAAUUGUUAUUUAGUUUUUUGGCAGCAAUGUUCCCUAUAAAUAGGUGGGUUGGCAUAUUACACGUGACACACAAAAGAGACACAAGGGCAUCAUGUAGCUUUAUACAUGGGGUGUGAGAGAGGGUUCUUGGGAGAUGAGAGAUGGUAUACAAGGGUUGGGUUCAGGUUCAAGUUGUAUUCUUGUAUAGGGUUUCCUCUCAUAAUAAAGAACAGGUUUCUCUCCGUGGAUGUAGGCUCAAUGGUGGAGCCGAACCACGUUAAAUAUUGUGUGUCGUUUAUCUUUCAUGCUUGUGACUUGUUUCCUCAUUAAAUUGUUGUGCACUUGAUGUCUCAAUAGUUGUUUAUUCCGCGCCUGGAUCCUAACAAGUGGUAUCAGAGCCAGGUUGCGAGACUUGACUGCUCAAGGUUCAUAGUUGGAUCCUAGUUAACUAUUGAGAUCAAGUGGAUUGGUAGUUGUCACCAAUUGAACAAUUUAAUGGGUGGUAUCCUUGUUUCAAUGGCUUGGGAAAAACCAUUAAUGGUGAAGGAUGGGAAGUCGAAAAGCAUGGAAAUGCUUGGCAGUGAAUCUAAGCAGGUGAUUCAAGGGUCAAGGAAAAGGUGGAGUCCAAUGUUGAUUUUGGACGUGAAUCGGUGGAGACUUUCUCACAUCUCCAACGGUUGAUUCUUCAUCCCGGUGGAUUUUAAAUUUUGGUUAUGUUUUUUGGGUGGUGUGGCACGUGUCCCAAAGAAAUAAGGAGAUCUAAUUUCUAUGCGUCAGAAGACUCUGACAGGUACGAGUUUUUCGUUUUAGGUGGAGUCUUGAAAAUCACAUGUGGCGAGACAGUCCUGAGGAUGGGAAGAAGUAUGGUGACUUUACCACUUGAUUGCCUCAAUGGUUAGGGUUAGAGCUCACAGAAGGGAAUCCCAAAUUGCAAGUGGUGGUGAGAAGAAAUCCUGCAAAGGGAGACGGUGAAUUGAGGCACCUUCUCACGAGUCAACUGGAGGUUGGACUCGGGGUAACUACACAUGUUCAUUUGCCGAUUGAAUCAAUUUGGUAUCAGGACUGUAUUGAUUCGGAUGUGUAGUUUGGUACCAUAUUAUUUGGUAGUUGAAGACAAAUGGUUUCUAAAAGAAAUUUUCGCCAAGGUGGAGAUUUGUUAGGAAAUUGGCUUAAAUUCUUUUAGGUAGAUUUCUUAUUUGGUGUGGGAAGUAACUAGAUUCCUAAUUGGUUUUAGUUACUUGAAGUAGUAGUCAAGUAAAGCCCUAUUUAGCAGGAAUUAGAUGUUAUUUCUAUAUGAGUUUAGGAAAUAAUAUUGGUUUCCAAUUGUUAUUUAGUUUUUUGGCAGCAAUGUUCCCUAUAAAUAGGUGGGUUGGUAUAUUACACGUGACACACAAAAGAGACACAAGGGCAUCAUGUAGCCUUAUACAUGGGGUGUGAGAGAGGGUUCUUGAGAGAUGAGAGAUGGUAUACAAGGGUUGGGCUUGGGUUCAAGUUGUAUUCUUGUAUAGGGUUUCCUCUCAUAAUAAAGAACAGGUUUCUCUCAAUGGUGGAGCCGAACCACGUUAAAUAUUGUGCGUCGUUUAUCUUUCAUGCUUGUGACUUGUUUCCUCAUUAAAUUGUUGUGCACUUGAUGUCUCAAUAGUUGUUUAUUCCGCGCCUGGAUCCUAACACUUUUCGUGCCUUUUUUAAUUAUUGCAUAGUCUCCAUUACCUGCCCUAUUAUUGUUUGAGCUGCUGAUCUGCAGACUAUGUUUCAGUCUUGUUCAUUCUGGGUUUAUCUUGUGUCCUUUCCUAACACGAUCAACAGUCAUAAGAAUUGUCAUAAUGUGGAAUAAUUAUAAGUGUCGGAUAAAACUCAUCAUAGUUGUCUAUUUAUCUCUUGAGAUUUUAUGCUUCUCAUUAAUGUUUUGUUAAUUGAUCAUCAAAAUCUAAAAUUUGCGUGUUGGGUGUUAUCCUAAAGAUGUCUUGAUGAGUUACUACCAUUGAUUACUUGAAAAGAUGCAUUUUUAUUCUAUUCUUACAUUUUCUCAUUUGGUGUUCCACUUUGAAUCAAAUACUUAAGUUCAUCUAAUAUUUCUUUCAGGCGAGAGGGUUUGUGGCAAAUUCAUUUUAUAGUGGUUUAAGUGCUACAGAAUUCUUUUUUCACACAAUGGGAGGAAGGGAAGGCCUUGUGGAUACAGCGGUAUGUAUGAUCUUUUUUUUUCCCUUUACACAGUUGCCUAGUUAAAUUACAAAUGUUUACACCUUUUCUUUAUUUAUGUGUUUGUUUAUUUUUUGGGUCCUUGAUUGCGAUUUCCUUGUUUCAUUUUUUCUUUUCCAUUUAAUUAUGUAUUGAACUUGCAAAAGUAUUGACUUAGCAAUGUUGUAGAGGUUAGUAUUGAUCUGCUAGUACUAUAUAUAUAUAUAUAUAUAUAUAUUUUGUCUUUUUCCUGAAGACCUUCUGGUUGUCUUUCUUUCCUGCCAAGGUUUUGUUCCAGAGGUUUUUGUGCUGUACACAGAAGCUUUAUUUGUAAUGCGUUUAUAUUCCUGUUAGUGCAGCCUGAGAUUUUCCCUUCAUCUUAUUGUCUAAUACUGCAUCCUCAAUUCUGGUUGUUCUGAGUUUUUCAGCCACAUAACUUUUUGAAAUUUAUUCCUUCCAUGAUCUCGGUUGGAUUGUUAAUUCCUUUCUUUUUCUUCCAUAAGCAAAAGUACUAUUUUCUAUCUUUUCUGCUUAUUUACAUCCUUUUCACUUACUCAAGUAAAUGAUAAAGUUUUUCAGAACUAUUUGUGGCACUCAAAAGCAUGGUACUCUUUGUUUUGUGUUCUAAAACAGUUUGAUAACUCUUUAUCGUGCUUAGAAAAAAGGAUAAUUGCUGAGUGUUUAUACUUUGGUUUAGUGUCUGUUGGUUAGUUUGUUUUGGGGAAUUAGUGUAUAAAUGUCUACUGCUACAUCUUCUAUUUUUGGUGUGAAAUGGACUGCAGAUUCACAAUCAGAUUUCUAGAAAAUCUGUCGAAGUUAAAUUUUAUGUACGUUGUUUCAGGAUAAUUGUUGAAAAUCUAGAAAAGGUUGUUUAGUAUUGAUUGUAAGCUUCCUCUGGACAAUCUUGAAGGCACAUGAAGUUAAAUAUCAUAGGGUUUUGAACAUUUGUCUUGCUUACAUGUUUCCUUACUCUUCUCACUUUAGAACUCUUAUCCGUUUUUGCAGUUCUGAGAUGUUCUACAAUGUCAUAUCUUGUCACUGAUUAAACUGCUGAUUUUGGGAUUUUCUUUGAAUACAAUGCGAUAAUUUGGCAAACUUCUUCAACUAAUGUGAUCCUUCAAAAUCUUGCAGCCUGCAAAAUUAUGAUGCUUGGGCUUCAAUUUUAUAUUAUUAUAGGUUAAAACUGCUGAUACUGGAUACAUGUCUCGUAGACUCAUGAAAGCUUUGGAGGACCUUUCAAUUCAAUAUGACAACACUGUCCGAAAUGCUAGUUCUUGUAUAGUUCAAUUUGUUUAUGGUGAUGAUGGCAUGGAUCCCUCACAAAUGGAAGAGAAGAGUGGACAUCCUCUGAACUUUGACAGAUUACUUAUGAAAGUGAAGGUUGUGUAUUCACAUCUUGAGAUCUCUUAUACCUGGUGCCAUGAAAGUAAAACCAGAUCCUCUUAUACUCGUUUAUUUCCAUUGACAGGCCACCUGUCCUGCCGGUGAUCAGAAGAGCUUGUCCCCAUCGGAUAUCUGCAAAAAGACUGAUGAAAGGCUCUCAGAACGUGAUACGACUCCCGAAGGCGGGUGCUCAGAGGCUUUCAGAGACUCUUUGUCCAAGUUCCUUAAAGUCAAAUGUGUUCAAAACUUGGAAAAAACAAUUGAAAGUUUGAAAGCCCAGGAAGAAGACCAUAACAGCUCUUUCGAAAAUAUCUCUUCAAAUAUAUCCGGCUUUACUUCUAGGCAGCUGGAGGUGAAACCUGAUACUAAAUGUUCUUUUCUGAUAUACAUCUUACAAUUCAACUACCUGAAUGCAUUUCUGUGCAUUCUUGCUGGCCGUCCUGCUUGCAUUAUUAACCUUUCAAUGUGUUCAUUAUUUUUCUAAAUUUUUUAUUGUUGCAAUAAUCAUUAAUUGAUAUCAUCAUGAUGCUAUCAUUAUUAGGUCACUUGCUACAGCCAGGACAUGUGUUUUGGCUUCAAAACUGGAAGUUUCUCUUAGUGAAUUACCAUCAAGUGCACGAAAGGACUGUCUCUGUUUGGGUGAUCUUGGGAUGUUGACGAUCAUUUCAAUUGCUUGAUUUAUUUUUGGUCCCAUCAUACACAGAAUUUUGUAUGAACUGUCACUAAUUGUUCUAAAAAUUUGACAUUAUGUGGACAAAUUCUUGUUUCCCCUGGGAGUCCCGCAAAAGCCCUCCCCUUCCACUCAACCUUGGAUUGCCAAGCGAACACCCGUCUGUAUUAGGCUUAUAACCUGCCGUUGGGCCCACCCACUUUACAAGCCAAAUGAGCAUCCGUUUUGGCCGAACUUCCAAGUCCGUGUGCAAGCUCCCCCAAGAGCCAUGGGAUACAUUUGUUUAACUCUCUUAAUUUCCUGAAACUACAGAGGAGUAGACCCAAGCUGCUCUCCUCGCGGUCCACAUCCGUAGGGGAUUUUGGUAAUUAGCAUCUCCAACGUCUUGGUCCUUACAACAAGUGGUUUUCUACUGGCUUCUCCACUAAUUUUAGUUAACAGUUGUUUGACAAUUAUUGUGAUUAUUCAUUAAUGGGUGUCACAAUUUAGAUUCUUGCUGCUAUGUGGUAGGAGAAUAUUUCCCAUGCAUAGUGCUGCUGUAUUUCAGUUUCUUCAAGAUAUUAAAAGGAGUUUCUUUAUGUAUGUCGGAAAUGUUGAUUGUAUAAAGUUUUGUGUAUUUGUUUAUGAAGCUGGAUUAUUGUGACGACCCUACCUCUUCCUAGGGUGUACUCCAGGAUUUAACAGACCGUCUGCCCAACUUUUGCCAAGAUGCACUUACUCAUUUCAAGAAAACAAGUGAUAACUUCGAAAGGGAAACGAAACAAUAGUUCCAAACUUAGAAUGUAUAUUUAUGUUCAAAUCUAUCUCAAAUAUUCAUACAUUCCUCAAAAUACAAUAAAAGAUUUAAGAUCCAGAUGACUUCCAACUCUAAUCAAGCACUAGUGCGAGUAUAAUUCACAAAAACCAAAAACUAGACAACACUAGCCUGUACCAACCUAACGCCCCCGCUCGUACCCCCUAUAAGGAAAACAAAACUAAUAAGGUGAGUCAAAACUCAGUGAGAUUCCAAACAUCAUGCAAGAAUCAUAUAGCAAGUUAACCACUAUGUAAAACUUGAAAUAUCAAAGUAGCAAGCAUAAGAAUUCAUAAAAGUAGACAAUAACACUUCAAAUAACAAAUCAUUAGAUAUCCAACAUUUCCAGGUAAAAGGAUAUAGUAGUUCUUGCAAGUUAACUCCGCCAUAGCUUCACCAAAUAGUAGUUGACACUCCGUCAACUUUCAAGUAGAGUAACCAGUCCAGUAGAUCACCACUUAGCUCCAAUCUUCAUCCACCAAUCAACCUCCUACUGGGCCCGAACUUCAAAAUAACAGUGGUGGUAAUAUUCGAGUAUACCGAAUCCAGUGAACCAUAUCCAAAGGAUUACACAAUAAAUAAUAAACGAUAAAAAAUAAACAGUACCUAUGGUUCGCCAGUCUCCUCGACCAAAUCCUUACUAGCUUGAUUCGACUAACUAACCAACAGGGUUAGGAUCCUAGGCAGUAUUCAAGUCAUACACAUCUAUAUAUAUCAAAUCAUUUGUAACCAAUGCACAGUAAUAAGUCACAUGUGCGAUAAAGUACACGUUUAUCCUAUCAAACAAAGUGAUUCAUUCAAGUAAUAAGUUCAAACAUGCAUUUGAAAACACUCACUAAUGAUUUAUUGCUUUCCAAAAUCAAACUUAGGUUCAAAUCCUUGGCUGGAAUCCAAAUCUGCGAUAAAAUACCGUUUAACAAUUUACAAUCAACUAGGGUUUCAAAAUAUGGGAGUUUCGCUUAAAGAAAACCAAAUGAAUAGAAUGCAUUUAAGUGGCACUCGUUUUACUUAUCAAAUCCUAGAAAAUUCAUGCUUGCUCUUUUGUUUUCGAUAAAGAAGUGAUUAAAAUGUUUGAGUUCACAACUUGGCUAAAGAAACUAGGAAAUCAUGUUUAAAGUGGUUACUACUUUGUCUUUGAAAAAUAUACACUUUUGAGCAAAAUUUUCGCUUAUAAGUCACUCACAAGGUCAACCUAAGCAUCCCUACAUAACUAAGCCCCAAAUUGAGCACAAGUCACACACUUAUUUCCACUUUCACUCACUUAUCCCACGAGAGAAAAAUCGGGCAGCGUUUCCUUUAUGUUUACCAAUUUUUCCAGCCAUAGAAGGCUUCAUUUUCUUUCCAAAUCAGCUCCACAUCAAUACUACAAGUAAGAAUAUAAAGAUAGCUCUUGAUCUAGGCUAUAAAACCGUCUAACUAUAGCUCAUUUCUAGCAAAUAAUCAUCCAAUACCAAGCUGGAAAAUUCUUACAAAAGUUGAAAUUUCCUCUUUUAAAACUAAAAAGUCACAAUAAGGCUACUAAUCACCUCACAAGUCCAAAGCCAAGCUCAAAACCAACAUAUUAUAGUUAAACAACAUAAAUUAAGGCUGAAAAUUGCAAAACCCCUAGCUGAAAUUUCACUAAUCUACACCAAACCUAGAGUAUCAUCCAUAAUAUUCCAAGAUUCAAGUCAUCUACACCAUAUUUUGCAAGAAUAAGAAAGAAAAAGGAAGUUGUUGAACUUAUACCUUCAAAGAAGUGAAAAACCAAGCUAUUUAUCCAAAAAAAACUCUCCACUACAAGCUUCCUAACUCCCUUGGUACUAGUUUAAUCGGUUUAGUUUUUGUGAUUUAAACUCAAACAAGGAAAAAUCAAGAUGAAGUUGGAAGUUUCUCCUCUCUUUUUUUCUCUCAAAUGGUUCGGCCAACAUGAAGAAAAAAUGGAAGAAAACUGAGCCAAAAGGAAAGAUAAGAAGAAAGGAAUGUCUUGGCGAAACAUCUCUUUGAUUGCCAAUACUUGGUAAUCAAGUUUCUUUUUUUUCUCUCACCUUUUCUUAGUCAAAGAUUUCGGCUGGAUUAAGGGUUAAUUUAGGGAUGAUUAGAUGAAAUAAAAACAAGAAGAUUAGGGUAAGAAAGUAUUGGCCAAGUGAUGUACUCAACCGGUAACAAACGACACACAUCGGUUCAAGCUUAUUUCCUUGAAUCUCUUGUACUUUUGUUUUAACUUAUGAUUCACUAACUUAUUAUUAGCACUUCUAAUCACACAGUUCCUCUUACUUAAUAUUCGCUCUUAUCCAUCAUAUUUAGUACACAUAUCUUAUCAACUGACCACACUACCAAAAUAUGCAAAAACCCUUAUUUAUCUUAACUAUAAGAGUAAAAGUAAAACUUUCGAUUUUAUGAUGUAUUACAACUAUUGAGAGAGUAAAUUAAUAGUAAAGAAAUGAUAAAUGAACUUAUUCAAAAUAAAAGAGAAUUAUAAGGAAAAUAUAGGUGAAUUUUCAAGUGCUCGGUCUUUUCUUUUUUGGAAAAGGUAAAACAAACAAGCACUAAAAUUCAGAAUUUUGAAAUCAAAGUAAAGAUUGAAGAUAAUGAAUAUUGAGUUGACCUUUUCAACAGAAUCGUGUCCCAGCAUCCAGAGACGAUCCCCGGAAAAGAAAAUUUUCAAAUCGAAGCACCCUACAGCUACAGUUGCCUGUGCACGCCUCAAGCUGGUUGUCCAAUACGAAAACAAGUAAUGGCAAAAUUGUUCACAAUAUUACAUCGAUUGGGUCUUUCAAAUUUAAUGCUUGGAAGCCAUACAUAUACAGAUUUAAUGUAGCAUAAUUUUUUGAAAAUUGUAAUAAUUUUACUCCUAACUUUUAAAUACAUAUUGACUAUUCACACGUACAAAUUUUUGUGUAUAAUUUUAGCUUUUUGUCAUACUUUUAGAAAGGAAUCUGUAAAAUAUGAGUGUACAUAAUAUUCCAUACAAUGGCCUAUGUUGAAAGUAAAAUAUAACAUUCAUUAGCUUAAACCUACUUCCACAGUGGUAAAUUCCGGAUUCCAAAACAAAAUGAUUGACGUUCAAAUCAGGCCAAUAUUUUGUUAAAAUAAAAAAAUGAUUCGAACAAAAUAUCUUUCGGAUUUCCAAAAAUAAGAAAAACAUAGCAAAGACACAUACAUGCCAGAAAUAUAUAGUCAGAACCCAGAAAAAUGAAAUAACUUGAGAGAAUCUACAGUUUUGGUGAGUGUCUUUGGAUCCAUAAUUUCAUAAAAAUAGAAAAAAAAUACAUUUAAUAAUUUUAUAAUACAACUUAUACCUGUCGCAUAAAUAGCCCAAAGAUAGAAUAGAGUGAUAAAAAAGGUUAAUGCGUCUCACAAUUGCAUGGUACUGACAGGUUGUCGAGUCUGUGCAAUAAUAAUUACCUACUCAAGUAAAAUACAGAUUUUGUAUAUAGCGGUGAGUAGAGUCGAAUCCACAGGGAUUGGGGAGAAAUUUAUUUCUUUUCAAGUAAAGAUUAAUGGGGGGUUUUUGGGAUUAAAUGCUAACUAAAUAAAUUAAAUGCAGAAAAUAAUUAAUUAAAAGAAAUAAUUAGAGAAACUCUAGCCAAGGAUACACUUCAGAAAUGGUUCAUGCACUGAUCAUCGAUUCACAAAUAAUUCCAACAUUUAUUAAUAGAUUAGUUAUAGUUGUCAUGCACGCGAUAAACAACCAACCUUUCCUUAAUUUCUCGAUAGUUAAGGUACAACCGUUAACUAUUUCUCUAAUCCAGAAACAACCCUAGGUACGACUGUAGGAUUUAAUUUCUAGAUUGUAUUAAUAAUUAGAAAGGCUCAAUCCUAACUAAUAAACACGUUACGAGAGUUUAUUUAAGUUAGAUCAUAUGUUCCCCUGACAUAAACCUAAUUACGCCAGUUGCUACUGAGACAGAGAUAACGAACAAUUACGGAUUCAAUUACCCCUAUUUAGCAAAAUAGCCUAUAUGAAUAAUUAAUUAUUGCGCACUAAUCAAUCACACACACGGCUAUAACAAUUAAAAACAGGAACCAUAUAAAUACCAAUAAAUGAAGAAGCGAUUAAAAUAAAUUCGAUCUCACAGUAAUUGCAGAAUCAAAUCUUCAGUUAUCCCUUGACUAGAACUAAGAAGCUAGUUCUCCAUUAAUGGUUAAUGGAGAACCAGCCGUCCAAGAAUAAAAAUAAUAGCCGGCUUUUCUAAUGUUUUCCUCCCCUUUAAAAGUCGGCUCAGGAGGAAAAAUAAAAGACCUAAGUGCCUGCGAAUUUGUUGCUGGCCAAACUCCUAAUCAAACGUGAAUCCGGCUUUUUUUCCUCCCUCCAAAUCCGUGCCAAGGAAACAAAAGUACUUUUUAUAAACAGAAUUGUACUGAUUUUUAUACAAAAUGUACUGCAAAAAUUUACACUAAAAGAUGUUGGUUUUUGGGGAAAGGACAAUACGGUUGUCUUUUACAACAACUACAAAAUUAAGCAAUCAAAAGUACUUUUCUUUUCCACAAAACUAUAUUAACAUUAUUUGAAUAGUGUGGUUUUAAAAAGGUUUGAGCAGCUGCGAAAUCAUCAAUGUAAAUUUUUAACAUUAUUAUUCAGGAAAUAGAAUUAAAAAUCAAAUCUCCUAUAUAUAGUCAAAACUUUUUGGUGGCCCGUGGAUGGGAGGGGAUCUUGCCACCAGUUUUUCAAUAUUUGACCCGUAAAUUAUCAAUAUUAGAUGGAGCGGAUCAACGAAUACAGGAUCAAAUGCGACUAGGCCUAAAACUAUGUUUCAAAUGAUAGAUUUAUUGUGUAUUUGGUUUAGUAAGUAUACGGAUAUCGUGAAAUUGUAGUUUGUUAUUCUGUCUAUAAAUUAGUCUAUAAUGAUAUAAAACAUUAUCUAUCCUAUAAAACAAGGAUACAUGCCUGUCUAUGACCAUGCGAAUGAAACUUUAAACUUUAAAAGUCCCGAGGACACACUUAACUAUUUUGACUGAUUAAAUAGAUCGCUGAUGACUGAUAAAUGCUUUUAGCAUUGAUAAAUUAUUUUGACUGAUGACUGAUUAAAUAGUUCAGGUGGAGUUUAAUAGAGACCAAAGAGUUGACAAUCAAAUCUAAAAUAAAAAGCCCGCACACAGAAAAAGAGAGAGAGAGUUGAAUGCCAAUAGAGUACAGGACUCCGUCAUAGGAGGGAACACCUAAUGCAGAUUGAACUCCUAAUCCUUGGAAAAUCGGAUAAUUUCGUAGGAUUAGAUGUGAAACCAGUAGCAGAAGGAAGAAUCGGCAUUGAAAAGUCAAGUUUCUGGUGAAGACUUUGUCAGCAUUACUGGUUCAUGCCACCACUAUUCACUUAUGUGUAAGCAUACUUGAUCCCAUGUAAUUAGCAAAGUUGUGAGCAAUUAAGGCCUAAAUAUUAAGUAUUGAUUUGAAGAAGCUUUGGAUACAGAGGGGAAGGAGGAAUGGUUCGAAAAGCGGAAACUUCGAUGGUGUUCAAUCUGCUGUUGAUUGCCAUUUUCUCGUACUCAUUCAAGAUUUCAGGAGCAUCGAAAAUUCUAUUGGGCCGGUGGUAGCCAGUGAGUAUAUAUUCUCGGUUAAUUUUCUAUUGGUUUUUACUUUUUAUAUGAGACCUUAGUAAUUGAUUUUAGGAAAAGAAAGUAAAGUUAAAUAGUGAAAGUUGUAUGUAAUGGAGCAUUAGUUGCUUACAUCCAAGAACCUUAAUGGAGCAUUUAUUAGUUGCUUACAAGUUAAUAGUACAAGAAAAGGAACUUAAAGCAUCGUAAAAGUAGGGGAAAAGUGUAUAUUGAAUGUAUUAGAGCAAUUGCAUAAAGGGACAAUUAUCUAAUCAGAUCUCAAAAUGGUUAAAACAAGGAGGAAUUUUACUUUUAUUGCGAGUAACAAUUGUGAAGAAUUUGAAGGCUAAUUUGAAUCUUAGCAGAAUCUGAACAAAUACAAUAUGCUUUGCUUUCAAGGAUUUCUUCAUUCAUUCUGCCUUUCCAUCUUUGAAACUACAGAUUACCGAGAGAAGAUUCCCCUCGAGGUUCUCAUCCUUGGGUCGACCAUGGGCUUCUAUUGAAUUUGUGAAGUUCUGACGAAGAAAAAACGAUCGCCAAGGGAGAAAGUAGAACAGAAUGGACUACUUUAACACUAACAAGUUAGGAUUAUGAAAUAAAUUGUGCCAAAGUUUCAAGUUCAUUAAUUUAUUAGUAUCUUUUAUUUAACUAGUCAGAAUUGCUUAGGUUCAUGAUAUUCUCUACUGCAGACAUUAUCAAUUAUCUUCUCAACAUUUUGACUCCUAAUUCCCUGUUUAUUGAGAGAAGGAUGACUUCAAUAGAAUGGCCUUCAGUUUUUUGUACGCUUCAAAAGGUGCAUAUGACAUGUCAACAAUUUUAGGGUCUGUUUGAUAACAUAAAAAAGUGCUGAAUCUGAAUUUUUUUAGACAUUCAGAUGUUUUGAGUGUUUGAUAAAUGAAAAUCUAUUUGCUGAACUUGUUAAGCAGUGCUGAACCUAUGUGUAUUUUUUUCAGCACAAGAAUCCUAACUGAAUGCUUAAUUCUGAUAAGAAUCAAUAGAAUUACUUCAACUACCUUAUCUUAUCUACCAAAUCUACCCUUGUUUGUUAAUUAUAUUCAAAAUUCUUAUCUAAUUAAACAAUCUAAUAUUCUUUAUCUAACGAUUUUUAGUUUCUCUUUCCUCCCUUUUUAAUGACUUUCACAUUUUCUCCAUAUUCCUCAUAUAAUAUAUUUCAUCUUUUAUAUUAAUUUGAUUUAAAAAUAAAUAUUGUCAUUUUUAUACCUAACAAUUUUAAACUAAUUAAAUCAUAGAUUCUAUUUCUUUUUCGACUGAAAGGAUAUAAGGGCAAAAUUGUCAAAUUAAACUAAUUAAGCAUUCAGCUAUAAAUAUUAUCAAACAAUAUAAAUAGGUUUAGCAUUAAAAUUCAGACAUUCAUAUAUUUUUUUCAAUGUUUAAAAUUCAGCAAAUUAAUUAUUUCAGUAUUCAGAUUUCAGAAUUCAGACUUCGGAAUUCAGAUUCAGUUUUAUCAAACGGAACCUUAUUGGUCGCCAUACAAGAAUAAUUAUUGAUUAAAUACUGGAUCUUAAAUACUUGCUUUACCUCGUUAUUUAAUCAACAAUCUUUUUUCUUAUUGAUAACUUUCGGUGACUCCCAGCCAAAAAAAAAAAAAAACGAACUGAAGUAAUUAUAAUACUGGAGCCACGAGGGCAGGAAAAAAAUUCUGGGAAAACGUAUCUUGAGUAAAUAAAUAACCUACAUGUGGGUAUACAUACAUACAUCUUUUCAUAUAUAAAACAUGAAGCAUGAGUUUGGUGUUUAAACUUUUUAUCGUCUUAAUUUGCACGCUCCCUAUGUAAUAUGCCAAACGAAAACUUGGAUGAGCAGUUGAUAAAUUUUUAGGCCAUUCCAUGUGUGGAUUUAGUGACUAGAUGAGUUUUCUCAUUUUUAGUGAUCAUAAAAAUUGACGAAAGGAUUUUUGGCAAUCUCAAAAAACAAAUAUCAAAGAAAAAAAUAAAUAAAAUAGGAACACAGGAAUUUACGUGAUUCGGUCAAACUAACCUACAUUCACGGAUAGAGAAGGAGCAAAAUUCCACUAUGAAGAAGAGAGUACAAAAUACCUUAAGAAAGUGUUUCUAUACCCAAAAUAUCUAAUACUUGAAAUACAAGAAAGGCAAAAUAUAUUUUACUAAACAAAAAACUUAAUGACCAAAGACUCAAAUAGUCCACUAAAUCUCUCUUGGUUUAGUGCACAUAAUCUAAUUACAUGUUCAUUAUAAGUAUAGGCAACUAAAGAAAAAACUCCCUCAUACAAAAAGGCGAUGUGGGACAAAUCCAUAUUUAACAAAUCUCUAACUUGGCAUGUCCCUAAUAUUGAUAAUAGCAAAUCUGCUCUACCUUCUCCACAUAAGCUCCAAUGGGUCUAAAUCACCAACAACAAAUACCAACCAAGUCCAAGCACUGUUUGAACUUGUAAAUUGGAAGAGAUUUCAUGAACAUGUUAGCAUGAUUCUCCUUCAUACUGAUUUUCUAAAUAAGAACUUUUUCUUCAACAAUAGUAUCUCGAAUGAAAUGAAACUUCAUAUCAAUAUGUUUUGUCCUCUCAUGAUACAUCUGGUCUUUAGUCAAAUGAAAGGUACUUUGACUAUCACAGUAAAUAGUAGUAACACCUUGAUGCAAACUGAGCUUGCCAACCAAAUUCUUCAAUCACAAGACUUCUUUGAUUAUCUCGAUCAUAGCCAUAUAUUCUGCCUCCAUAAUCCAUAAAACUACAACAAGUUGUCAAAUUGCUUUCCAACUAACUGCACAACCACCAAUACAGAAUACAUAAUCUGAAAGUGAUCUUCUCUUGUCAAGAUCUUUGGCAUAGUCAAAGUCUACAAAACCAAUCAAAGUGUCAUUAUUUAUCCCAAACUCCAAGCAACUAUUUGAUGUGAGGGCUUGAAAAUUUGUUUAUAUUUUCUUAUAAUUCUCUUUUAUUUUGAAUAAUUUAAUUUAUAAUUCCUUUACUACUACUCACUCAAUAGUUGUAAUAAAUAAUAGAACUGAAAAUUUUACUUUUACUUUUAUAGUUAGAGUAAACUAGGAUUUUUGUGCAUUUUGGUAGUGUGAUUAGUUGAUGAGGUGUGUGUACUAAAUUUGAUGGAUAAGAGUGAGUAUUAAGUAAGAGGAAGUGUGUAAUUAAAAGUGAUAAGAAUAAAUUAGUGAUCAUAAGUUAAAACAAAAGUACAAGAGAGUUAAGAAAGUAGGCUUGAACCGACGUGCGCUGUUUGUUACCGGUUGAGUACACCAUUUGAUCAAUACUUUCUUACCCUAAUUUCCUUGUUUUUAUUUCAUUUAAUUCUCCCUAAAUUAACCCUAAAGUCAGCCAAAAUUAUUGACCAAGAAAAGGAAAGAAAAGAAAAAAAACAAGAGGAAAAACUUGGCCUUGCCAAGUGUCAAUGAUCCAAGCAUGUUUGACCAAGACAACUUUCUUUCUUCUUAUCUUUCUUUUGGACCAAUUUUCCUCCAUUUCUUUCAUCUUGGCCGAACCAUAGGAGAGGAAAAUAGAGGAUAAAAACUUCCAUUUCCAUCUUGAUUUUGCCUUGUUUAAGUUAGAAUCACAAAAAUUAAACCAAACAAACUAGCACUAAGGAAGCAAGGAAGCUUGUAGCGGAGAGUUUUUGGAGAGGAAGCCUUGGUUUCUUCACUUUCUUCAAGAGGUUGAAGGUAUAAGAUGAACAACUUUCUUUCUCUUUCUUUUUCUUGCAAAUAGAAGAUGACAUGAAACUUGGAGUUUUAUGGAUGAUAACCUAGAUUUGGUGAAGAUUAGUGAAAUUUCAGCUUUGGGCUUAUGAUUUCAAGCCUUGAUUUGUGUUGUUCAUCCAUGGCAUGUUGGUAUUGAGCUUGGUUAUGGACUUGUGUGAUGAUUGGUAGCUUUAUUGUGACUUUUUAGCUUCUAAAUAGAAAUUUCCAGCUUUCCUAGAGAUUUUUCAGCUUUACUAUUGUGAUGAUAUGUGAUAGAAAUGAGCUCCAAUUAGAUGGUUUAUGGCCUAGAUUAAGAGCUGCUUUUAUCUUAUACCCCCGACAUUUGAAAAUAUUUGAAAAUAAAAACUCCAACAGUGAUCAUUUCAUUCAGUUAGUCAUUUCAUUCAUUGCAUUUCAUUCAUUCAGUGACCUAGGAUUACCAACCUACCCGACCGAGUCUGCUUCUGGCUCGAAUAAGCUAGCAACGAAAGGCAAGGCCCAAUUCAGUCAAUGUGAUAAAGUAUACAUGGCUUACAUUCAUGUACAAGUAACAUUCAAUCAUUUAACCAUUGAAAAUUUACAUUCACUUAGGUCGAGUGCAAUAAAGUACACACUCGCCUGUUUAAAAUCUAUUUAACAAUCAGUGGAAAACAUUUAACACUCAAAUACUCAUUCACAAAUAUUCAAUACAAUAACUUAUUGCACAAACAUGCAAGGAAUACUCACCACUUGAUCACAAUCGUUUCACUUCAAUACUGAUUCAUCCUCUUGGAUAGGUUCAAAUUCUGUCGUCAUGUAAUUCAUCAAAAGUCUAGUUACUUAAAGCCAAGAUGAUGAGAAAAUAUGAGAUUCGAAACUUCACUUAGCACCACAGAAACUAUAGGUUUAACCCUAAUAUUAGAAUACCAAAAGGGCCACGGUUUCCUGUUUAAAUCAAAUUCUUAUCAUGCAUGCUAAGAUUAAAACAUCACUAAAAUUUUCAAAUCAAAAUAUAUAGGAUUUAACCAAAGAAAUUUAGGUUUAAACCCAGAAAAGUUUUCUAAAGUUUUCCCAAGUCCCACUCAAUCCAUUUGAUAAAAUUUUCAACUUUGGUGACAUUCUUUAAAAAGGUAUAACUUGAGUUUCGUAAGUCGAAAAAUCAUAAAACUUAUGUUGUUAAAAAAUAUACUCAAAGCACUAAUAGAUUUAGAAGACAUCUUCAUCAAAUUCAGCUCAUAGAUUAGUCAAAUUUCAGUUUAAAACUCACUGUUGUCACAAGUGCAGAAACAGAACAGUCAUGAUUUUCAAGAAAUUUUGCAAAUUUGCUGGUAUUUAUAGAAAUUGAAAAAAACCUUGAAUUUUAUAUCGUUUGAAGCUCUCUGAGUCUAGUUUCAGAUGCAACAAACGAAACUUAAUUCCAACUUCUCUAUAUGAAGUUAUUGCCAAUUUUCCCAAAACUGCACAGAACUUCCUGUAAAAAUUUUUAGAUUUCUAACAACUAGAGAAAAUGAAAAUUUUCUUAACGAAAUCUCACUCCUAUGGCUCAAAUUCAACAUACAUGUGAAGAUUAAGGUUUUAAAAAAAUGUCUUGAACAAGAUUACAUUAAAAUCACCACAAAAGUUCUGAAAAGAAAGCUGAAAUUCUCUCUCUCCCUCUCGGCCAGCCAUAACAGAAAUUUUUCCAACAAAAUUUUUAACCUUCUUACUUAAUUUUAUGGCAAAUGCACUAUAUCUUAUAACUAACAUGUCAUGAGGCUUAUAGCAUAUGUUCUUGGCAAGAAAAUCCAUCAUAACUUCACAUAUAUAUAAAGUUUCAAGUAACUACAUCAAAGCUGGAAUUUUGCCUCUCAAAACUAGAAAUUUGCAUACCAAGACUAAAAAUUACAUAUCAAAGGUUAAAAUUUCAUAUAAAAACUAGAACAUCUCUUAUGAAAAUUGAAAAUUCAUCUCAAAGCUGAAAAUUGAACAUUAAAGCUGGAAAUUGACCAAACCCUAGCAAAACCAUGAAAUUACUAUAAACAUACUUCCUUUAGAUUCAAUCAUGACAUAUCUUGCAUAAAUCUCAAGAAAUAAGUAAAAAAGAGAUGUUUUCUAGAAAAUUUACCUCAAAAUCCCAAGAUGACAAGCAACUCAAGAGAUUUCUUCCUCCAAAACUCCAUCAAAAGCUUCCCUUCAAGCUUACCUCAAGGUUGAUCGGAGUGUAUUGGGUUGGUUUUUGAAUUUUUCACAAAUCAAGUAAGUAAAUCAAGAUGAAAUUAAAGUUUUUUUCUCUCUUCUAUCUAUCUCUUAGGUCCGGGCAACAAGGAGAAAAAAAAUGAGGAGUUUUUGGCUAAUUUUGGAAGAUAAGCACAAGACUUCUCUUGGUCCAAGUCUUGAUCAAGAUUUCAUGGAUGUACGACACUUGUCAAGACAUGACCAAUGCCUAUCUCUUUGUCUCUCGAUUUAUCUCUAAUGACUAAUCUAACUUGUGUUUCUCCAAUUCACCCUUGACACUUCUAAUCACAUAAUAUCUUUUGCACCACACUCAUUCUUGUCUUCCAAAUUUAUUGCACACAUCUCACUAGUCGGUCAAACUACCAUAAUACUUUAUGAAACUUUACAUGUACCAAAUUAUAAAAAGGAAAAAGAGAAAAAUCUUGACUUAACCUUUCAAAUCAUCAUAAAAUUAAGGCUAGUAAAUAGGCAAGUAAGGUAAAAUAAAAGAAAAUAUAAAUUGAUUAAUUUUUUUUAAAUAAGAGAAAAUAUAAAAUAAUUUUCGGAUCCUCACAGCACUAGUCAAUAAAACCCUUAGAGAAUCAUGGGACUUAAUUGAGGGGAUGGCAGAGACAACAAACCAACUCGAAAAGUAAAUUAGGUAAAUGCUCCUUUUAUUCAGCAGCAAUUAUCUGAGUUAACCUCUGUUGUUUGUCAGUUGACGGUAGGAAAUUUGCAGCAUGUGGAAUUUGCAAAGACACUAGUCAUCCAACGGAUGGGAAUCUAAUGCUGCAAGAGGAAAGUUUGGAACAAUUGAAUAUGGCUAGGAACGUGCCCCGCGCCACACAAGCACUAUGAUCCAUACUCCAACACUUAUAACCUAGGUUAGAGAGAUCAUCCAAAUUUCAGCUAUGGGGGAAUAGACAGCAGAUUUCCUUCCCCUAUAGGCAACAAGGGUUCUAGCCCCAAUAUCCACCAACGCCUCAACCUUCUUCAUCCAACUCAGGAACUUCUCUUGAGGAUAUUGUUAAGACUUUAGCUAUUAAUGUCGUGCAAUUCCAGCAGAAAACAGAAUCGAGCAUUCAAAAUCUAGAAAAUCAAGUGAGUCAAAUUGCGAUUGCACUCAAUCGGCUAGAGUGUAAAGGGAAAGGAAAGUUGCCAUAUCAACAUAAGGUAAAUCCCAAAAAUGUGAGUGCUAUGACCCUCAGGACUAGCAAGGAGGUUGAAGGUCCGAAUCCAAAACUGAUUAUUCCAAAGGAAAAGAACGAGAACCAGAUUGAGCAAGAAAUUGAGAAAGAAGGCAAAGACGGUGUAGACGGUAAGGUAAUUCUUGACUCUUCUGUUAAAGUUAAUUCUAACUCGCUGUCUUUUCCUAAUAAGUUAGAGAAGCCGAAAAAGUUGGAGAAAGAAAAGGAAAUUUUAGAAGUGUAUCACAAAGCGGAGACCAAUAUUCCUCUAUUGGAUGCGAUCAGACAAGUGCCCAAGUAUGCUAAGUUUUUGAAGCACUUGUGCGUCAACAAAAGGAAGUUGCGAGCAGAUAAAAAGAUAGUGGUGGGAGAAAACGUAUCAACCGUAUUACAAAAGAAACUUCAACCCAAAUGUGGGGAUCUAAGCAUGUAUACUAUCCCCUGUAAAAUAGAAAAUACUAGACUUGGAAAUGCAAAACUAGAUUUAGGAGUUUCGAUCAAUGUGAUGCCUAAGACUAUAUAUGCUUCUCUAAAUUUAGGACUGUUGAAACAAACUGAGAUAAUCAUUCAGUUAGCUGACCGUUCUAAUACGUAUCCUGAUGGGUUAAUUGAAGAUGUCCUAAUUCAAGUUAAUGAGCUAGUAUUUUCUACUAGUUUUUAUGUUCUUGACAUAGAUUAUGAGAAUUCUAUGAAUCCAUCCCCUAUAAUGUUAGGAAGACCAUUUCUAAGUACUGCCCAGACCAAAAUAGAUGUUAAUGAGGGGACUCUUACUAUGGAAUUUGAUGGGGAGAUCGCCCAUUUCAAUAUUUUUAAAGCCAUGAGAUAUCCCACUGAAACUGAUUAUGUGUGUUCUACUAGUGUUAUUAACCCUGAUUUGCAGGGGUUAUUUUCAACUUAAUGUUGAAGAUGAACUACAAAUGGCCUUGACCAAUUCAUUCGAGUUGGACACAACAUGUGGGUUGGAAUUAAGUGCCAAUCUUAAACACAUGGUUGAAGCGCUACAGACUUUGGAGCUUCACACCAAGAGGUAUGAAUUUGCCCCAAUUUUUAUGCAUGAGUCUUAUUCAAAAUUGUUACCUUUGUUGUGCAAGCACCUAAAGUGGAGUUUAAGCCUUUACCGAGUCAUUUGAAGUAUGUGUAUCUAGGUGAUAAGGAGAUGCUUUCAGUGAUUAUCUCUGCAAAAUUAUCACCUAGUGAGGAAGAGAAAUUGAUUUGAGUGCUUCGGGAUCACACUUAUUCAAAAUUGUUACCUUCUGUUGUGCAAGCACCUGAAGUGGAGUUUAAGCCUUUACCGAGUCAUUUGAAGUAUGUGUAUCUAGGUGAUAAGGAGAUGCUUUCAGUGAUUAUCUCUGCAAAAUUAUCACCUAGUGAAGAAGAGAAAUUGAUUUGAGUGCUUUGGGAUCACAAGGAGACGAUUGGGUGGACUGUCACUGACAUCAAAGGUGUCAAUCUCUCAAGUAUGCAUCAAAUUGGAUUUGAAGAGGAUGAAAAACCUGUGAGGCAAGUACAGAGAAGGUUGAACCCAAUCAUGAUGGAGGUGGUGAAAAGGAAAUUAUUAAACUUUUGGAGGUGGGAAUAAUUUUUGCCAUCUUCGAUAGCUCAUGGGUAAAUCCAGUACAAGUAGUCCCGAAGAAAGCAAGGGAGACAGCAGAGGCUAACCAUGAAAGUGAGCUUGUACUAGUUCGAAAACCCAUUGGAUGGCACCAAUGCAUAGACUACCUGAUGUGAACCCCCGAUCUAGACAACCAAAACACCAUGGCUUAGGUAGCGGAAAUUUGACCCAACUAAUCUCUAGAAGUCACGAACAAUUUUGAUAUUAUCUCAACCCGUCACUACUUGAAUUAACGAACCAAAUUGGAGGUAGUAGAACGCCACAAUCAAGGAGAUACUCGAUUGAUAAGUUCAGGUGAAUAACUUGAGAAGAUUCUCAAGUAUUCAAAGAAAACUCUCUUGCCAAAAAGAAAGUGAAAACUUACUAAUUGUAUUUAAUAGCCAAAAAACCGAUCCCCAAAACAAAGAGGAAGUGGGGCUAUUUAUAGCCCUUACAAGCAUUAACCCUAAUCCAAAAGUUGACCAAACUACCCUACAUACUUUAAGGAUGAUUUUGGGCCUCGCUUACUAACAAAUGGGCCGCAAUUAAACUAGCUUAAUUACCUAGACUUUCUAAAGUGAGAAAUAACCAAAAUCAAUGAGGAAAAUCAAAUAAUCCUACUAAACUCAAGUAUUCGUGCAAUCAACUAGUCUUCACUUGAAUCUUCCAAUUCUCCAUGUGCUUGAAUGGGCCUUAGUCUUUAUAUUCUCAUCAUUUCCCUCCUCUUAAAGGCGAUUUGUCCCCAAAUCAUGACUCUCUUACAAAACAAAAGUAAUGAGAACAUGUGUAUAGUCACCAAGCAGCCUGCAUGUCGCCUUCUUAAGCGAAGAAUGAUCAUGACAUCCUUGUGUGGAACAAGGACAACUCGUGGUGGUGGUAGAUACAUGUUGCGGACAGCAAGAUUUCCAUGAAAAUGGUCACACAAACGACGUCUCAAUCCUAUGGGUGGAUCGUGAGCGGACACCCGGUGAACCAAGGUUUGGUUGGGCUGCGAGUUGUACGCAUCAAGACGUGCAAAAACUGCAUCAAAGGCCAAUGUAACUUGACUAGUGUUGGUUGGAAUUACUUGUCCAACACUCUCUUCGCAGAUCUCUAUGGUUGCGGGUAUUGCACACUGCAAGAUGAAGGAUAUCUGACCACGAACAACCUGUACAAAUGAAAACACGUUAAACAUCACAAAGGUGGAACAAUCCAGCUCCCAGUGCCCGAUGUUGUCCUCAGAUUUAGCGAGCAUGAUCAAUGUUCGCCCUUUCUUUUCCUUGCCUUCUAAUCGAUCCAACUCCCAUUCCCUCUGUAAAACAUUUUGUUCCUCUCGAACUUGUGUAGGAGAGAGUGGAACAAGUAUGACCCUUGUCCCUUUAUGCAUGAACGAGUAUUUGUUGGAAUGACCUUCAUAAGUAACCUCGCGAUCAAAUUGCCAAGGUCUUCCAAGAAUAAGAUGGGCAGCUUGCAUAGGAACCACGUCAUACACCAACUCAUCCUCAUAUCUCCCAAUGUUAAACUUCACAGAAACCUGCUUGGACACUCACACUUCGCCGCAAUCACUAAACCAUUUAAACUUAUAUGGUGUAGGGUGAUCUUGGACAGGUAGGUGUAACUUCUUGACAAAUAAGGCACUGGCGACAUUGGUACAACUUUCUCCAUCGAUAAUCAAGCUACACACUUUCCCGUUAACUAGACAUCGGGUAUAGAAGAUGUUGGUACGCUGCUCUUCUUCAUUUGUGCGUUGAGCACUCAAUGCCAACCUUGUAACAAGGCCUAGUCCAACUGGUUGGUCAAAGGCAAUUAUCUCUUCUUCCUCAAUCAAUGGUGGCAUGUCUUCAUACUCAUCCUCCUCAUCCGUUAGCACUUCACCACUUGGAAGCAUGAGCAUGGUCCUUCGGUUUGGGCAUUGGGACGCGAUGUGACCAAAACCUUGACACUUAAAGCACUUAGUGUCGCGGUUUCUAGGUUUAGAUGCCCCUAGAUCAGCCUUAAAUUCGGCCCUUUGGGUCGGUGUUGAAGAUGACGAGCUAGGCACCCAUGCUCCAUUCGAAAUCCCACUUGCCUUGGCUGACUUUUGUUCACUCGUGUGGGUAAUCUCGCCUUUAUACCGCUGAGUUCUCCAAUUUCCAGAUUGGACGUUGGAACUUUGGUGGGGAAUACCCCUCCUCUUGAGCCUCCUUUCCACCUUGAUAGCUUUGUCCAAUAAUUCAUCCAUGUCAAGGUAAUGUUGGAGCUCCACAACAUCUGCAAUUUCAGCGUGUAGUCCUCUCAAGAAACGUGCCAUGGUUGAUUCUAUAUCCUCCCGAACAUCAGCCCGCAGCAUGGCCAUCUCCAUCUCCUUGAAGUAAUCCUCAACCGUCAUACUACCUUGGGUGAGAGUUUGCAAUUUAUGGUGCAAAUCCCUGUGGUAAUAUGCUGGUAUGAAAUGCUUUCUCAUGAUCCUUUUAAGUUCUUCCCAGGUGCGAAUGAGUGGUGCUUCAUUUCUCCUUUGUCUGGUGCGAAUCUGAUCCCACCAAACGGCUGCGUAUUCAGUGAACUCAAUGGUUGCCAACUUUACUUUUUGGGACUCUGAGUAGUGGUUGCAAUCAAAGAGCAUCUCAAUCUUCCUCUCCCAUUCCAAAUAUGCUUCAGGGUCCGACUUGCCUGGGAAGGUAGGAAUUUUGAACUUGAUUCCCUUUAGUUCAUCAUCCCCUUGAUUAGGGAUGCGUUUAUAAUUCCGGAAUCGGUUUCCAUCUGCCAUAUCCUACUCAUUGUUCGAAUCACCUAACUCCUCCGUAUGGUUGUCUCUUGGAGGCAUUCUUGCCUAGGGUUGAUUGCUCCACCUUAUCCUCCAGUGUAUCAAUUCUCUGAGCCAUGCGAUCAAUGGCGCCUGUUAAUGCUUCAAGAACAUGUUUCAUGUCAUAAGGGUCACUUGUCGCAUGAGUUUGAGACAUGUUUAUAGAGUACCUGCAAGGCUCAACAAACAGUCAGUAGAAACUGCCUCACUCACUCCCUUAGUGUAUCACUCACCCUCGUGUAUGUCACUCAAAGCGCUCCAAUGGACUUACCAAACACCUUUACCUGUUGGGUUAGGUAGUUUGAGAAAUGCUGCUCAAACCCAAAUAAUUGUCACCAACUUCUUCCUCAAGAGUAAUCACGGAGAUGUAGGAGAAAGUGUAGGGAAGUGUUCCUAAAAGUUAGGAGAAAAUAUAGGAGAAAGUGUAGGAGAGUGUUCCAAAAAUCUAGAAAGAGAAUAUAGGAGAGUUUCCUAAAGUGGAUGAGAGAAUAUAGGAGAGUUUCCUAAAGUAGAUGAGAGAAUAUAGGAAAGUUUCCUAAAAAUAGAUGGGAGACUUUAGGAAAGUUUCCAAAAGAAAUGGAUGAGAGAGUUUAGGAAAGUUUCCUAAAAAGGUAGCAGAGAGAGUGUCCAAGUGAGUACAAAGAGUUAUCCAAGUGCUUUACUUAGUUUCCUAAUUGGAUUUGGAAACAAGUUAAUUUUUUGGAAACCCUUUGAAAAUCCUUUUCCUUUUGAACAACUUUUGGUAACCUUCUUGAAACAACCUUUGGUAAUCUUCUUGAAACAACUUUUGGUAACUUCCAAAUUCUACUCCAAGAAAUAUUGCACAAAUCAGAUUUGGUACCCUAUUCAAAACAAUUCGGUUGCCACUUUCUUUCCUUUCCUUUUUUUUUUGCCAACCGAUUCCUCUUUUCUUUCUUUUUCUUUUCGUUUUUGUUUUCUGUUUUUUUUUACUACAACUAUCAACCACGACACAAAAUAAGGAAAUCCACAAAUAAUAACUACCAAGAACUCCAAGAUCGUUCAAGAACUUUCAAGGAAGUUGUCAGGAACUUCAGAAAUUUCAAGAUUGUGAUCAAGAAUGCAAGAAACUCAAGAUUAUUAUAAGUUCUCUUCAAGAUUCACAAAAUUCCAACAAAUUUUGCCAAAAUCCAGAUUUGAAAACCAAGUAAACAAGUUGGAUAACACAAACAACAAGGCUGGACAGAUUUGUAUUCGGAUGAACAGUAACUAUGAACAGUGUCGAUGAACAGUAACGGUGAACAGUACGAUGAACAGUGUUGGUGUGAACAGUAACGGUGAACAGUGACUCUUUUUUUUUUUGGUUCUAAACAAACGAACAGAUGGGGAUAAACAUAUAUGACUCGAAAUACACGAAAAAAAAAGAUAUAAACUGGUGGUUGUCGACUAGCUCUGGUACCAACUGAUGUGAACCCCCGGUCUAGACAACCAAAACACCAUGGCUUAGGCAGCGAAAAUUUGACCCAACUAAUCCUUAGAAGUCACGAACAAUUUUGAUAUUAUCUCAACCCGUCACUACUCGAAUUAACGAACCAAAUUGGAGGUAGUAGAACGCCACAAUCAAGGAGAUACUCGAUUGAUAAGUUCAGGUGAAUAACUUGAGAAGAUUCUCAAGUAUUCAAAGAAAACUCUCUUGCCAAAGAGAAAGUGAAAACUCACUAAUUGUAUUUAAUAGCCAAAAAACCGAUCCCCAAAACAAAGAGGAAGUGGAGCUAUUUAUAGCCCUUACAAGCAUUAACCCUAAUCCAAAAGUUGACCAAACUAUCCUACAUAUUUUAAGGAAGAUUUUGGGCCUCACUUACUAACAAAUGGGCCGCAAUUAAACUAGCUUAAUUACCUAGACUUUCUAAAGCGAGAAAUAACCAAAAUCAAUGAGGAAAAUCAAAUAAUCCUACUAAACUCAAGUAUUUGUGCAAUCAACUAGUCUUCACUUGAAUUUUUCAAUUCUCCAUGUGCUUGAAUGGGCCUUGGUCUUUAUAUUCUCAUCAUUACUUAUACGUUCCUCGAUCAACUUGUUUCGAGACACGUAGCACGUUUGCCCAAGGAUCUAGCGAGGAUGUCCAACGCUUGGAAUUGCGGGAUCUAGAACCAAACGGACGACAUGAUUGGAUUCAAGACGGUAGUACGACGACUCCAAUGAAGGUGACUACUCCACGGGAUAGGUCGAUAGAACAAUCAAGGACGAUCACGAGAUUGCUCAAGAACCCUUGCCAAUGCAAGUAAUGGAAUUGUACUCUCCAUGGAAGAGAAACAAAAACAAAGUUUAUUAUCAUAAAACGGCCAUCCUUAAUGCUUACAAAGCAAGCCUAUAUCUAGGCACAACUAAUGAAACCCUAAUAUCAAAAAGCUUGAUGGUCGGCCACUCCUUGGACAAGGUGGGCCGAUCCAUGGACUCAAUAAAAAAGGGUCUAGUGGUUCGGCCAUCCUUAGACAAAGGUGGGCCGAAUCCAUGGCUAACAAAAGGACUAAUAUAAACUUACGGCUCCUAACACUAAGGCUUAAUCGGCCAUGGCCCACUUGGCUCUUCACGGGUUUGGUUCAUCGUGUAGACAACUGGGUUAUCACCUUCCAAGCCUUCAAUGUCUCGAUGAACUCCUUGUUGGUCUUGAACAUUCCGCACAAGGGCUUGGAGUGAUUCCUUGAAUUGCUUAGCCCGUGCCCGUGUGACUGGGCCCAAUGGGACAAGGUGGGCCAAGGUCCAUGCACACAUCAGUCCCCUCCUCUUGAGAAGGAUUUGUCCUCAAAUCUAGAUGGGGACGAAAGAUACUAACAAGAGUUUGACAACUCAAAUCGACAGUGCGUUUGGAGGUCAGCCACGUUAGGAACAAAUGAAAGGUCACGAGCCAAGUUAAAUGCCGUUUGGUCAGCUUCAUGAGGCUCUCAAACAAGGACAUGCGCCAAGAUAGGAAAGAGCUUGUGUAAGGCUCGUGAAACUUCUAGGUAGCAACCCAAAGCUCGCUAAUUAGCCUUCGAGCGUGGACAUUCACAUGCACUUCAUAACGAUGUUCAUUGAAACUAGAAAAGCCUCGAACCUGGUUGUGCAAGGUGGUGUAAUUCGGCCCUAGGUACUGAAUCGGCACAACUUGCCACUCUGGAGGUGGGACACUGAGCCACCUGUGUUGCAUAUCCGUAGAAACAUGAACCAGUGAGGUAAGAGCAGCACUCGGAUCUUGAUUGACACAUUUGUGGGCAUCAUCCGACAUAAGUGGCAGCAAUGAAGUGAAACACACUCCAUACGAAUCGCAUGAAUUUGCGCAAGUUGGAGUUGGUAAAGUAAGCUCAUGGUGACCAGCUUUUGGACAUGUGAAAAAGCACGAACGUGUACCACUUUUAGCAGGAAUGAGCACGAAAUCGGGUUGCAAGUCUUUAACCAUGGUUGGGAAGUUUUGGACAGCAUUACAAUCUACAAAAACAAAAUAACCUUCAACUUGAAACAAUUCAGAAAUUGGGUAAAGGACUAAUAGGACAUUAUUAACUAGAUGGGAAGAAGGUGUAGAACAAGGUUUAAAUGAGAAAACUCCCUUUGACACUUCGAUAUUCCUUCCACCAGUUGAUUCAACUUGAGAUUCCAGUUCUAGUUCUUUACUCUUCUCAUCAACACCUGCAUAAGAGCAAUAAGGGUUAGUGCUAGUAACAUGCUCAAAAUGAGGCAAAGGUGAGGAAUGAACUAUAGUUAGAGAACUAGAAGUAGAAUCUGGAAUUUACCCUUCAAGGUGAGCUCGAAUGAAUCCUCCAAUGGUGCAGACAGGUGUGAAUGGACAUUGUUCCAUGAAUUGAUACCAAAGAGAUUUAGUUCCUAGAAGACAAACUCCAUGGAAACUCGCAAAGUGUCCAAGUGACUUGGGAAUGGAACAUGCCAUGACCAACUCUACUUGACUUUGUUUAAUCUACACAAAAGAAGAGAUACUAAACAAAACACAUGUUAGACUUUCAACUUUUGUAGACAUGGUCAACUCCUCCUCCUUACUCUUCACUAAGGCCAAAUUGGUCUUGCCUUUUCCCACUCCAUUCUUCUCGGACCAUUGCUCACUCAUUGUACAUGAGGUUUGAUUUUCAUUGUCUAGCUCAUGUUCAUGACUCGGGUGCAACGCAUUCAUAUUUGGCUCUUCAAUCGACGAGGGAUUAGGAUGAAUUUUCCCUUUAUUAACACCGAUUGACACAUGAUUAAGUUGCUCCAAGUGUGAAUCCAGCACUUUGCUUAUUCUUUCCAUCAUAGAAUCAACCCAUGCUCUAGUCUGACUUCGAAAAUCAUCACUUGACUCACGAAGCUUUGACUCAAUUCGAGAAUUCUCAAACUCCUUGUCUUGAUUGUCAAGGUACCUCUUAGAUGAAUCUCGUUUGCUUGAGGUUGACCUCGAUUUAGAUGCUCUGCGCAAGUUUCUUUGCUCCUUCUCAUACUCAUCACAAUCUCACUUAUACCUUUCAUAUACACAUGGAGCACGGUAACAUUCCAUCUCCUCCUGGAGUGAACAAAACUCACGUUGUGAACUAGAUUUCAUGGAACUGUGCUUGGGAGUAGGCAGCUUGGAACCCCUCUUCUUGAGAGGCUCAUUCUCCAAGAAUUAUUGGUGGUAUGAGUAAGAGGCAACUCUGCUAGGCAUGAUUACGUGACCUGCAAAAAUGGUUAGCAAAAAAAAAAAAAAAAGAGAUUCCUCACGACACACAAGCUCACGUGUAUGUAUUCAUCACUCGUGUAUCACUCAAAACACUCAAAUAUGCUUACCAAAAUUCCUUACCUGUUGGACCGAGUAAUUGAGAAAUGCCGUUCAAGUCCAAUAAUUGUCACCAACUUCUUCCUCAAGAGUAAUCACGGAGAUGUAAGAGAAAGUGUAGAGAAGUGUUCCUAAAAACUAGGAGAAAAUAUAGGAGAGUUUCCUAAAGUGGAUGAGAGAAUAUAGGAGAGUUUCCUAAAAAUAGAUGAGAGAAUUUAGGAAAGUUUCCAAAAAAAUGGAUGAGAGAGUUUAGGAAAAUUUCCUAAAAAUGGAUGAGAGAAUUUAGGAAAGUUUCAAAAAAAAAAUGGAUGAGAGAGUUUAGGAAAAUUUCCAAAAAAAUGGAUGAGAGAAUUUAGGAAAGUUUCCAAAAAAAUGGAUGAGAGAAUUUUGGAUGAGAGAAUUUAGGAAAGUUUCCAAAAAAAAUGGAUGAGAGAGUUUAGGAAAAUUUCCUAAAAAUGGAUGAGAGAAUUUAGGAAAGUUUCCAAAAAAUGGAUGAGAGAAUUUAGGAAAGUUUCCUAAAAAGGUAAGAGAGAGAGUGUCCAAGUGAGUACAAAGAGUUAUCCAAGUGUUUUAUUUAGUUUCCUAAUUGAUUUUGAAAACAAGUUAGUUUUUGGAAACCUUUUGAAAAUCCUUUUCCUCUUGAACAACUUUUGGUAACCUUCUUGAAACAACUUUUGGUAAUCUUCUUGAAACAACUUUUGGUAACCUUCUUGAAACAACCUUUGGUAAUCUUCUUGAAACAGCUUUUGGUAACGUCCAAAUUCUACUCCAAGAAAGAUUACACAAAUCAGAUUUGGUUCCCUAUUCAAAACAAUUCGGUUGCCCCUUUCUUUCCUUUCCUUUUUUUUUUCUUGCCAACCGAUUCCUCUUUUCUUUUUUUUGUUUUUGUUUUUGUUUUUUGUUUUUUUUUCCUGCAAGUUGGUUGAAAGGCAAGAAGGACAAACUAAGGAGUGAUGCUAAAUACUACAUCUGUGAUGAUCCUUAUCUUUGGAAGCAAUGUGCUGAUCAAGUACUAAGAAGGUGUGUUGCCGAGAGUGAGUUUAAUUCUUUACUAACUUUCUGUCAUUCUUUUGCACGUGGUGGCCAUUUUGAAACAGAAAGGACAGCGCAUAAAGUAUUGAAUGGAUUCUUUUGGCCUACAUUAUUCAAUGAUGCAUAUUCAUUAUGUAAGUGAUGUGAUAGAUGUCAGAGGGUAGGUAAUAUCUCUUGUAAGGAUCAAAUGCCUCAGACUCCAAUGAUUUUUUAUGAGAUUUUUGAUAUAUGGAGUAUCGAUUUUAUGGAUCCCUUUACAUUAUCUUUUGAUUUUCUUUACAUUUUGCUUAUAGUAGAUUAUGUUUCUAAGUGGGUGGAAGCGAAAGUCACCCGAAUUAAUGAUUCUAAAGUGGUUGUAAAUUUUGUAACGUCUAACAUUUUUGCGGGCCAUUGUUGGUGAUAGAAGAAAGCACUUCUGUAAUGAGACAAUUGCUACAGUGUUCAGGAAAUAUAAUGUCCUUCAUAAGGUUUCAACAUCUUACCAUCCUCAAACAAAUGACCAAGCAGAGAUCUCAAACAAAGAAAUCAAAUUAAUUUUGGAGAAAAUGGUUCGUCCAGAUAGGAAGGAUUGGAGUGUGCAUUUAGAAUAUGCAUCAUGGGCUUAUAGGAUGUGUAUAAAACACCUAUUGGGAUGUCUCCUUAUAGGUUGAUUUUUGUAAUCAAGAAAACUGCAAUUGCAAGAGUUGGAAGAGUUGUGUAAUGAAGCAUAUGAGAAUGAAGUGAUUUAUAAGUAGAAGAGUAAAGUUUUUCAUGACUAGCACGUCACCCAUAAGACAUUUGUAGUUGGAUAGAAAGUUCUACUUUACCACCCUAAGCUCAAGUUUUUUCCAGGUAAAUUGCAUUCUCGUUGGAUGGAUCCUUUGUUAUCACUAAUGUUUUCCAUUAUGAUGCAAUGGAAAUUCAAAACUUGAAGAUAGAUAAGAAAUUCGUGACGAAUGAGUAUCGCCUCAAACCCUACUAUGAAUAUUUUCUAAUUGAAAAUGUGAAGAUGGUGUGCCUCGAGGACCCAAUCUAUUUGAGUUAAAAAUGUUUGGCCAUGUCUAGACGAAAACAUUAAAGAAAGACGCUUAUUGAGAGACAAAACCAAUUCUUUUUCUAUUGACUAUUCAUUUUUAUUAUGUUUAUCCUCGGUUUUACAUAGUUGGUAGGUUUAAUUUUAGUUUUUGAUAAUUAGCAGACGUUCACCUCAAGGCACAUGCUAAUGUGUAAUUAACCAACUCCACAGUCACAAGACUCUUGACCAACAUGAUGUGUCUACGUCUUGUUGAUGAAGAGUUCAUAUUCCGAUUUCAAAAAUUUCAGCGAAUGACAAGGCAACAAGAGGGUAUGCCAUAAUGAGGGAUUAUUCAAUCUCAACAUCAUAAGACUUUUGACCCACAUGACAUGCCCAUGUCUUGUUCCACCAAGGGAGGGCAAAACAAACUCCAUUUUCUUUCUAUCUUUCUUCUCUUUUCAUUCUCUUUUUCUUUCCUAUUUCUUCUUUCUUUCUCUUCUUCUUUCUUUCUCCGCCAGCCGCCCCUUAGUUUCUUCUCCAACUGCGCCCACCAAGCAUUGCCUACUAUUCGAAGUCGCCGUCCACUGACAUCCCCUUCAUCGUAACUUGACCGCCGCUGCUACGUUGCCACCGCUUGCGCCGCUGCCAUUUGCUAUUUCUUUUCCCCCCCGAGACAAUCACGUGCCACUCAACACUGACGUUGCCGACAAUUCACUCACAUCUCCAUCCACUGUACGAAGCAGAAACGAGCCGUCACCUAUUGCCAUCGUCUGCCGUUCGAAGUCACCAUUCCCUGUCACCCAUCCUUGAUUUUUGCUAACCCCAUGUCCAUUAUCCUUGCUCCCCUUAUAAAUUUCUUCACUAGGGUCACCACUCCAAGGCUAUUCAAGUUUCUAAUUACUAGUCUAUUUCAAUUGUACGAUUUGUACUGCCAUAUAUAAUUUGGGCUAUUAUUGCUAUAGCUAAUUUGGAUUUUUGGUCUGGUUAUGGUUCUCUGAUGUCUUUCUUCCUCGCCUGAUUGAUUUUAUUACUGGGCUUUACUCUGCACUUUACAUUUUUGUUUUCGAUUGCUGGUGAUUGGGAAAAUUGGUGUUGUUUGGUGAUUAGUGGAUGCAUAAACUUUACUAAAUGCACUUGAAGUGCGAUUUCCUUACUACGAUUGUCCUUUUGCAUAGGAGUUCACCGUGCUUGUAAUUUCUUUGACUGUUGGUUACUAAUUGUGUUGAUUUUGCUAUUGCUUUAUUGGAUAUUGCCAUUGAGUCCUCUACACUGCCUUCGUGACUUAUAUUGGGUGUUGUUGCUAUAUUUCUGGUCUUUAUUAAUUGAAAGGUGACCAAGGUCUCGAUUCUUCACUGAUACUAUUUGUUUUGGACCUGUUUGGCUGUCCUCAGCGGUUAGGGGUCACUUGGGGUGUGUAUUUAACCAGUGAAUUUGGCACUUGUCAACUAUCAUUGUUAAUUGCUGAUUGCCUGUUGCCUACAUGGAGAAAAAAAUGACUACAAAAUCUAGGACACCUAGGUCUCAAUCCACCGCCAACUCCCAACCAACUAUUCCCGCCAGUGACCCUUCACACCAUCCCUCCUCUUCAGGUAAAUGGGCAUGCUUAGGUAGAGACAAGGGUGUUCAUCUCUCCUCACCUUCUCACUUUGGGGGUCAUUUGAAUUUCACCAGAGCCGCUGACAAGUAACGGUAUUCUACUUGUUGUGAAUUGCGGAUUAUCCCUUGCAAACAUCUUGACCCUCUUAUUAUGGCUAUUUUAGGCAUUAAGAAUAAUGUUGAGAAGAUGUUCACAGCCAUAGGGUGGCGUGCCUAUGCUGCGAUUCUAUGCUGUGCUUUUGUGGGGUUAGUUAGGGAAUUUUAUGCCACUUUCGAAUUUGACCUUCCCACCGAUACUCUGUCACCACCCCUGAUUUCAUUCGAUAAAAACUGAUGGGCCAGCAAUUUAACUUUUCCAUUACCCAGUUUAAUUUGGUCUUUGGGUUCAUUGAUGAUGAGUAUUCCAAUUCUAGGGAGUAUGUUGAGAGUGUCUGUGAUUAUGUAGAGCCAUUCUUCUCAUUCCAGACUAAAAUCUGGAAGAAUGCGUCUGUCAACGGGGCCCUUUAUGACCCUAGUCAGUUCAAGAGUUCCUAUCUCAAGGAUCUGAGUGCCCGUUAUGUUCAGCGUUUCUUAACUUAUAGUUAUUCAUGUAGGAGGGAUAGUUCAGGGAGCUUUCCCAAACCUGAAUUCUUUUUUAUUUGGUGUAUGCAAAAUAAUAUCAAAGUUAAUUUGGGAUAUUGGUUGGCAUCUCAAUUCAAAACUGCCUUGACUAAGAGAAACAAAACUCUAAUCCUUGGCUUGUAUAUUACUCAUUUGGCAGUUCACUUGGGUGUUCUUGAUUUAUCUAUCCAUGAUUUGCAUGUAGCUUGUCAAAUGGAUCCUUUGGAUGUGGUUUGCCUAGAAAAAAUUGGUGUCGUGGAGCAGGUUAAUAACAUAUAUCAGUUUAUUCCACCGGGACCCACUAAUGUACCCAUUCGUCAUCUUUUUGGGCAUGCUGGUCCCUUCACUACUUCGGGGAGAGUUGAGGACGAGCCUGGACCCUCUAUCUCCGCAGUCGUCGUUAGAUGUUGAGUUGAGACAUCUCCAAGUACAGGUUCACCAUAUCGAUGAGCGGGUGACCAAUCUUGCACUUCAUAUGUUCCAGAUGUCCAGAAUUUGCGGCAUUCUUCCAUCAUGUGAGUUCCAUGCCGUCAUUCCCAUCUAUUCCAUAGUUGUUCGGAGUCCCCCUCUGCGGUAUUCAGGGAAGUCUUGUUAUUCCUUCUCUUUCUUUUUGCUCUUUCUUGUUACAUUGAGGACAAUGUAAUGAUUAGGUGUGGGGGGAUGAUAGUGUAGUAGGUAUUGUUUAUUUUAGGUGUUUUCAUCCUCUUAUUUUCACUUUUGGACAGUUCUAUGGUUGUUUGUGAUCAACAAUGGUUAGAUGGCUCAAACUUUUCUAUUGCUAAGUUUUCUUAUAAGUCGAGGCUAAUAUGGGAUGUCUAAGCAUAUCUCUUUGGUGAAUAUUGAAAAUUUUGUGACUUUUACGGUUCUUGACUAACUUGUUUAGGCAGUGAAAAUAUUUUCUGACAUUUACUAUGUAAAUUGGCCAACUAUUAACCUUAGUUUUCCAUGUUUGAAAAAUAAAGCAAGUUUUCUGAAAAUUUUCUUUAUUUAUUUAUUUUACUGUUCAUUUUGGAAGCUGUUUGAAUGUUGUUCGGCUGUACUCCGCUAGUGUCGUCACCUAGCAACCGGGAGGUUUCACCAAAAGUGUCAACUUUUGCGUCAAAAAGUAGCGAUGUCUAUGAGUAUGUUGUCCUAAGGCGAUGAUAAGUUGACUAAUCAGGCUCCUUCAUUUGGUAGAUGUUAGAGUUCGCAUCAAAAGACUUGAGUGGCUAAGGACUAAGCCACUUCACAAAAAAAAAAAAAACAAAGAAUGAAAAUGAGAGUUGUGAAAAAUGAAAAAUGUGCCUGUUGAUCCAUGGGGUUAAUGUUGAGAUUUUACCGUUUACUAAUAAAUGCCUAUUUAAUAUUCUAACUCCUUAGAUUAGUUAGCCGUGAGUUGGACGAGUCUUUGAUUUUACAAACUAACCGGAGAAUAUGUCUUGGAACUUAGCCACUAAGACUUGAUGUGGGAUAAUUGCGUCUUGGCAAUAGAUGGUUUGAGUAAUGAACAUUGUUUGAGUUUAUUUGCUGAAUUGUUGUUCUCAUGCUUGAGGACAAGCAUGGACCAGGUGUGGGAGGAAUUGAUAGGGUGAAAUUUGGUAUUAAAUUUAUGAUUAAUUUCUCCUUUAUACUUGCCAAAUAUUGUUUUAAUUGUCGGAUUCUACUAAUAUUUAGUUAAUUGUGCUAAUUGUAGGGAAUUAUAUGAGAUGUGAUCAAAAGGAGCAAAUUUCUGGCAUUGUAAGAGUUAAUUUGUUGGUGGCGCGUUCGGGGCUUAUUUCCAAGUCAAAGUCAAACUCAGGGCAGUUUUUGGAGGAAGAUUUUGAAAACUUUAAUUUUCAUUAUGAGUUCUAAUAUUGGAUUAGGGAACCUGGAAUAUUAUCUUUAGUAGUUACCUUUUUCUAUUUAGGAAACAUGUUGUGUUAUUGGUAGUUGAUACCGAAUAGGAAACAAAAAGCAAAAGAAAAGCACGGACCCGUUUGAUUAGGAGUUGGCUAGCAACAAUUUCGCGUUGUGACUCUUUGGAGUAUUAGCAGACGGUCAUCGCUUGUCUCUUUCUUUUUCUUCUUGUUUUUCGUUCACUUUUGAAAAAAAAAAUCAUAAGCAAUUAUUACCAAUGAAGUCUUGUGGAUUUCACUCAAUGAUGCGUGAUUAAAUCACUUUCUAACCUGAGGAUAGCUUGAAGACUUUAUUCUACAAACUGUGACUUUGAAUCGAUUACACUAUUUCUUUUAUUUGUUGAUAUUUAUUCGUUCUUUGGUUUUAAUAUACAUGAUUAUUGUGUUAUUCGAAUGUCAAAGGGCCCGGUAUUUGAAUUGACUUGAUAGUCGAUUGCUAAUUGAAGCGAUUUAAUCCGUAGUUGUGUUAGAUUGCUUUAACCCUAGUAGCAACUGGUAUAACUAGGUUGUGUUAGGGGAACAAAUAACCUAAGUUAAAGAGACCCUUGUAAUGUGUUGACUAGUUAGAAUUAGACUCAUCUAAUUAUUCAUGCAAUCGUGAAAUUAAACUUCUAUGAUUGUACUUAGGAUUGUUUUCAGAUUAAAGAAAUAGUCAAUGGCCAUAUCUUGACUAUUGACAAAAUUAGGAAGAGUUGGCUUUUAUGCUAGAACUAAUUAUUGAAUUCAUCCUUGCAUCUAUGAUCGGUUUAUGAACUUUAUUUGACAGUUAUUCCUCGCGCUAGAGUCUUGCUAUUAUUGAUUCACUUUUUUUUAUCUCAACUAGAAAAAUCUCUGUGAAAACGAUCCUGCUCAUCACUAUAUAAAGUUUUAUAUUUGUCUCAAGUAGGUAAUUAUUAUUGCACAGAUUCGACAUCUGUCAGGAUCGACAACUAAUAUUCCUAUAUUCGAUAAACGAUCUGUAUACUUCAGAAAACAAGGUAUUUAUGUUUUAUUAAAAUUUGGUGCAUGGUAUAACCUCGUCACAUUUUCAAUUCAGAAUCCCCAGAUCGAAACCAAGCCUUGCAAGAACCGGUUUUGCUUUGACGAAAGUUUCAUUUCACUUCAAACUUGCCAGCCAAGAAUCCCCAACUCCAACCGGUUCUUAUCAAGAACCGGUUUCUUCCCCUGUUUUGCAAACCAAAGUUUCAUUCUCGAAUAUUUCUUGUUUUCUUUAUUUUAUCAUCAUUUGUACUUCAUGUUGACUUUCCAAAUGUGCUUUAAUCAUCAAGAAUUAUUCAAUUAACUUCUUGCUUGCCUUUAUUUGAUGAUUUAAUCAUUAAAACCUACAAGAAUAUGAAGUUUUCACCGCUCUUUAGUGCCAUAAAAAUGCAACUUUCUCAUUUUAACCACAAAAUACAACUUUUGACUAUAAAUCUAAUUAUUUAAUUUUGAAUUACCUAGAAACACACUAAAACACAUAUAAAUGACUACACAAAAUGUACAUAAAAUAAAUAUUGUGGACAAAUCAUCAUGGACAAAGACAAGGAAAUUUUGUUAGCCCAAAUAAUCAAAAUCAAUCAUCCUCAUUCAUGGUGGAUGCGUCCAUACUUUUAUACUUAGGUUCAAGUCGAUUGUGGGGAAAGGUUUGACUUGCACACUAAUGCUUCUCGCGGUUAUGAAACUUUGAUAAGUAUUCACAGAUACAAAUCACCUCCGACAAAUUUUCUUACAUGCUAAUUGUGGUCAGACAUCAACUUUUGUGAUUUUUUAAAAGAAAACAUUAAUAAAGAACAAGAUGUAUGGUUGCUGCUUUUUAAUGUGAUCGAAUUUAAUAUCAAUGACUGUUUUUAGAAUUUUUUGUGAGAAAUUUCAUGGGUCGCCCCCUUGUCAUGCACUUAAUAAGAAAUAUAUAGCAGCAAUAUUAUUCUAAACCAUUUGUGUAGAAAAAACAGUUCAAACAAAAACCAAAGAAGCUGAGUUAGCCAACAGACUGCCUGGUCAAUACACGCCACUCUACGCCCCAUCACUCCAAAAUUGAUUAUCAACAUUCGUAAAGAUCUCAAACUCUUGGGGAAUCCAUGGAGAAGGUAAAGCGGGGGAAGUCACUUUGAAGGUAUACCCAAAAUCCAAAUUUUCCUAUAAGCACUUUCCAUAUGUGCACAAAUAAAAACUGAAUGAUUUAGAAAAGAUUCUAAAUCCAAUUUUGAAUGUCUAUUCAGCUUUCGCAUAAAAUGUAACUCCCAAAAAAAAAAAAAAGGAGGACGAAUUUUCUACAAUUUCUUCUUGACGGAGGCAGUGGUUUAGGAUGAAACUGAAAAAUAAUAUAGUUGCCUGAAUUGUUAACGCUAUCUAUGUAUCAUUGUUUUUGUUGCACAUUUUGGGUGUACUUCUUGGAUAGUUGUUUUGGCAUUUGGUGGUGUUGACAAUAGUUCCUUGGUCCUUCUGCCACUUGUGGAGAAUGCCAUAAUGCGAAGAGUAGAAUUUGGUACUUUUCCAAUUUUUUGUUUACUCUCUUCGAACUUUUAUUUUGGUGCUUUUCCAGUUGUUUCCACAAGCUGCUUGUAGAGAAGAUCAUCUAAUCUAUACAUGUGGAAUCUGCUAAGGAGAAUGGUGGCCUUUGUGAUCAAGACAGCAUCACAUAGAGAAUGUUUUUCUAACCCAAUUUCCAGAUUCUGAAGAAUCUUGAACCUGGUCAGAAUUAUAUAGCAGAUGAAAAAAUGAGAAUAUUAUAUACCAUAGAUGUCUAAAGCAGUAGAUACCGAUCCAGUAUAAUCUACUCUCCCUCCACUCGUAUCCCUUUCUAUCUUCGAAUUGCAACAUCAAACCGCUAAGAUUAAAAGGAAUAUUGUAGUUAAAAGCUCAGAAGCAUUCAAAACUAGAUUUAGCUUUACAGUAAUUAAUUAGAUUACUUUAUUUUUUGGGGUAAUGGCUAGGCUAUGGGCACACAUAUGUACGGGAAGAAUGUCAGAUUUUUUAAAAUAUAUCCAAAAGUGCAAAUAAGGUAGCAAUGGCAGCAUCAAGUUGAAAAUGACAGAUCAAAGGGAAUAAAUAGGAAGCACUGAAUGCAAAAGAAAGAUUGAAGAAAGGUGACCACUCAAGUUCUACCGUUUAGCAUUUUUUUCAUUUGGCCCCAUAUCACGACUAGGUUCAUUCAGGUACAAGAUGAGGGCUUGCUUAGCUUAUUGAACGAAAAGCACUUGGGCAAAAAUAAAAUGCUAUCAAUGCACUGAUCACAUAUACAAAUCAUCAAGAAAGAAGCUCUAUAAAUAGCAGCAUCGAAGCUGAUCAAAAGCAUAGGAUGAAUUAACAAAGCAUCAGAUGUCCUCUAGAGUUCCCUCAGAACACUUCACUGGGGGGGACAUGUUUCUUUCUUUGACUCAUUUAGGGCCAAAGAACUUUGCCUACUGAAGUGUUUGGGGGAACUCCUGAGUCCAUUUGAUAUGUAAUGAAUAAGAUUCCAGAUUUUUGUUGUUGUCUUCAAAUUUCUUCCUAGCUUGUGAGCUUGAGCGAGCAUUAGGAUUGCGAAAAGUAGUUAUUCAAGCUAGUUGCUUAUAUGUUUUCUUACAGUUUCUUUUGAGUUUACUUGUGUAGUUAUAUGCCUUCUUUCUUGGUAGAGAUGAGUUGCAUGAAGCAAACUACAUAAAGAAAAGAAUAAGGAACUUCAAUUAGCAAAUGCCCUGUAAAUUACUAGUUCAAAUUACUUAUAGCCUAUGCUCAUUGUUAGUUUCAUGCUGGUAUUAUAUAACAUGUCUAGUUUCUAGCUAAUGCUUUAGAUGAAUUAGGAUGGCCUUCGGAGAUAAUAUCCAAAAAGAAAUGGAGGAAAAAUACGUAAAAUUGUUUCUGUACUGUGCAACAACUUCCAUCGGUUUCAAGUUUAUGUAGAGUUUGUUAGAACUAUAAGAAGUCUCAGUUACUGUUGCUCAAAAAUCAAGAUAAAAUUGUUUUUCUUUUGUUGCAAUUCCUUUCAAUUUGUCUUACAAAUCCAAUCCCCCCUCCCCCCAAAGGUUUCAUAGAAAAAAAAAAGGGAAUUGCAAGAUUUAUAAUGGUGGUUAAGAGUACAGAUACUCAUGCAUGUUGCAGCUUUAACGUUUCCAUUAGUUGUACAUGCUAAAUAGUGCAUACUGCCAUCUACAAAAUGUUUUUGUGCAUAGAUUUUCAUAAAUUUGUAUAAAUGGUUUAACAAAUAGAUAAGUAAAACUACAUAAUCACUUUUUAAAGAUAAAAGUCGUGUACUUUUAUCUUCGAUUAUGUAGUUCGAUUUCAUGAUGCAUAACUAAAGUUAGUAGUGUUAAACUAUUUACAUCCGUAUGUUGGUUGCCUAAUGAUCAUAUCUAUAUUUUUCUCCAAAAUCGAACCUCAUUUGAUAGACCUCUCAAAAUAAAUUUCUUACUUCAGGUAAAGGAAACUGUUAUCGAUUUUACCGUGCCUCAUAUGUUGGACGAUUUGAAGAGCUAGGAAUCUGUCUUUAUGAACCAAAGUUUCUGCCAUAAAGGUUGCAUACAUUGAAUAACAUCAAUGGGAUUAUUUUCACACAAAGGGAAGUCCGGAUACCAGUUCCAAUUUCAUUGCAAUGUUUCCAGGCCUCUCGCUAUAAACUAAAAAGCAUUAGGAAUAUCUGCACAAAUUUCUUUUUGCAAUAAUUCCUCUAAUUCUGAUAUUCUUUUUUGUAUUUUAAUUUCUUUUAGUUGUUCUUCAAUUUUUAAAUAAGAUUUUUCUUCUUUAAUAUAGCUUAUAUGUUGUUGUACUUUAGUAAUGGUAUUUAUUGUUUUAUAAAUAGAGGAUGUCUGUAAUGUUUGUAAUUCUCUUUGUUUUAUUGGAGUUAGAAAUUUAAAAGUAAUAGUCUUUCCCAUUAUAUUUAUCGAAAUUCCUUCAUGACUUACUAAAAAUGGAUAAAUUUGAAUUAAAAAAGGUGUUCCUAAUACUAUAUCAUGAUUUAUAUUUUUUACAAUUAUGAAAUUAUGUUUAAUACAAUAUUCAUUAUUACAUAUUGAUCCUUUUGUAAAUUUAUAUUUUACCUGUAAAUUUUCUCCAUUUGCUGCCAUUAAUGUUUCUUUUGUCCUUUCACAAUAUUUGGUAGGAAUUAUUCCUUCUUUAAUACAACUUAAUUGCAUCAGCUCCACUAUCUAUUAGAGCUACAAAUGUGUCUUUGAAAUCUUCUACUGUAAUAGUUACUAAAGCAAACCAUUUUUGAAAUGUCAUUUUCUCUAUAGUAUUUAGAUAUUGAACUUCAUUUACUGGUUUUUUUGAUAUUACUAUUUCUUCUGUCUUAGAAUUAGACGUUGAGGGUUGAUUUUCCAUUAAUGCUAUUCUUGCUUCUAUUUCUAAAUCUUUUGUUUUUAAUUCUAUAAUUUCUUGUUGUAAUUGUUUUACUUGUAUUUUUAGAUUAUUAAUUUCUGAUUGAAGAUCUUUAGUAGUUUCUUUUUUCAUUAUAUUUAUAUUUGGAUAUUUAUCUAUUAAUUUUGAAAUGCUAAAAGGUUCUAUUAUCUUUGGCAUUUUAUCUUCUUGAAUAAUUAAACCUUUUAAUCUUUCUAAAUAUUCUUUUUUAGCUACUGGAUCAUUAAUUUUCUCUAUUAUAUCUAGUAAAAAUUCUUUAUCUUCUUUUUUAGUUAUAACAUUUAUAUACUUAGGAGUAUUAGAACAAUUACAAUUUUCUUCACUUUCUGAACUAGGUAUAUCAGUAUAAAAAUCAUCUUCUGAACUCUCGUCUUUUUCAUUUAUUAAUAGAUUUAUUAAUUUAUUUUUAAUCUCUUCUUCUUCUGCACAGAUCUCAUUGAUUUUUUCUUUUAGAGUACAUCUGUUUGCUUUAUGACAUAUUUUUUCGCAUUUAUAACAAACAAUUUUCUUUUUAAUAAAUUUUCUCUUCCUUUCUGGUUUAUUGUCUUCAGGUCUUUUAUAUUUUGUUUUCUUAUGAAUAUUAUAUUUUUUAAUUUUCUUUUUAUAUGCAGAUGGUGAUUUUAUUUUUUUUAAUUCCGAAUGCAUCACAAAAUGAACCUACUUCUUUUGUUUUUGAACCAUAUUUUAUUUGAAGUCUUAAUUCUGAACAUAACAUUAAUCCUUCCUGUUUUACAAAAGCAAAUAAUUGUCCAAAAGUAAUAUUUUCAAAUGAAAUAACAUCUGUUCCCAUUUCUUUUUGUAAACUAUCCAUUAUUCGUUGUGAAAAUAAACUUGGUAAUCCUGUUAUGAAUCUUUCUUUCCAAAAUGAAGCAUUACAGUCUGGUCUUCUUAGUACAUUAGUUAAAAACAUAUCUUUAUACCAUCUAAAGUCUGAUAAUGUUGGACAUCUUAAAUUUGUUAAAAAUAUUUUAUUAGAAUUUAAUUCUUCUUUUGGAUUUCCUAUAAAAUACAUUACUAUGGUUACAAUUAAAAAUUCUGCAGCAUCUGACUGUAUUUGAAUAUUUCCUUGAUCAUCUUCAAUUUCUUGUGUAUGAUCUAAUAUUGAUAAUUUAUCUUGAAGUGUUAAAGUAUUAUCCCACCAAUUUUUUAAUUGUCUAGUAAAUCCUGAAACUAAUAAUGUUGCAAUAUUUCGUUCUUGAAUAUUUUUAAUUUUAUAAGCUAAUCUGGCCAUUCCCAUUUCUUGCAAAUUAUUUAAUACUUCAUAUUCUGCUUUUCCAUCUAUAUUCCAUUCGUAAAUUGAAUCUCCAUCAUAUUUAGUAGUACGAAAUUUUGAUCUUUCUUCAUAUUGAAUGUCUGGAGGACUAGGUCUUGGAUAAUAAUUUCUAGAACUUAUUAUUUUCCAAUCUUUAUUAUAAACUUUUUUCCUUCUGAUUUUAUUUAUUUGAUUAUCUUCGUCUUUUUCAAAUUGAUUUUCUAAUGGUAAGAUCAUAUCUUCUUCAUUUUCUGAAUUUAUUGAUUUUUCUGUAGAAUUUUCGUCUGAAUUUUCGUCUUCUAUUAUUUUUUCUAAUGUGUUUAUCUUUAGAGUUUGGGGUGUAGUUAAAUUUUGUAAUGAUUGAGAUAUUCUAUUUAGUAUAUUAUCUGUACUAUUUGUUUUUUGAUUGUUAAUAUUUUGGAUUAAUUCUUGUUCUUUUUCUCUUGUCAAACUUCUAUGUUGAAAAUGAGGUGCUGAGAUAUCAUUAGGAAAUUUAGAUUCUGGUUUCUUUAAUGUAUCUAUUUUCGUAUUUAAUACUUCCAUAUGUUGAGAAAUUGUAUGAAGAAUUUGAUUUGUAUAAUUAUUUUGUUGAUAAAUUUUUUUAAUAUCUUCUAAAUUUGUAGUGUUAUUUGUACUGGAUUCAGCUUCUCUACCCUUUUUAAAAGGUGAUGCUAUUAUAUCUCCUUGUUCUAUAUUUCUCUUAAACUUUUCAUAUUUGGUGGCUUAAUUUUUCGUUGUUGAUGAUUAGCAGGCUUCCUACCAUUAUGACAUGCCCACACCAACUGGGCAUGCCUAAGGAAGGCAAUUUUCGUCUGCGGGUAGAAAACUCUUUAAUAGUUAGACGUGCCCACGCCAGGUGGUCACGCCUAAGGCAUGAAUUUUCGUCGUUUCGGCAAAAGACUAGGCAUUGGUUGGGCGUACCCACGUCAUGUGGUCACGCUUAAGGAAUUUAAUUUUCGAAGGUUAGUCAGAAGACUCGAGGGCAGUUAGGCGUGCCCACGUCUAAUGCAGCGGUUUAAAAAAAGGGGAUAAAAGACAAAAUUGCCCUUUCUUACUUUCUAUCAAUUAAACAACGGUUGCCUUAUUCUUUUCCUUCUUCUCUUUUUCUUUCUUUUUCUUUCUUUUCUCCCUCCAUUUUUCUUCCUUUCCUACUGCCACUGCUAUCUUUCCCUCUCUCCGCGGAUGUACGCGGCUGCCAAUCACAGCUCACGCACCAUCGCCGCUGCUUGCGCCGUUUUUGCUCAUCACCAUCGCUACCACACCAUUAGCCACCACCCAUGACCAUCUUUGUUUCCGCUAUCUAUUGGCAUCUCUGAUUUUGGUUUGGGGGUAGUAGAGGUCCACCAUAUUGGCUUUACACCACCAUUCCCACCUAUGCCAUAGCUACUCAAGACCCUCCAUUACGUGCUCAGGAAAGUUUCGUUGUCCCUUUUGUUUCGUAUUCUAUUUUUUAUUUCUUACAUUAGAGACAAUGUAAGAUUUAGGUGUGGGGGGAGUAGUAUAUUGAUAGUAUAUUGAAAAAGUGCAAGUGUACGUAUUUUUGUUGAAAUUUUUUGUUUGGCUUUGUCGAAUUUUAUCCAAUUUUUGCCAUGUCUUGUGUAUUUUUUGUGGUUGUUCCUGAUAAACGAUGGUUAGAUAUUUCAAAUUUUUUUAUUUACUAAGAUUUUAUAUUCUAAGAUGUUAAGUAUGACAUGGUUAAGUUUAAAGGUAUCUCUUUGGUGAAUAUUUGAGAUUUUGUGACUUUUGCACUUUUUGGUUAACUUCUCUAAAUAUUGUAAAUAUUUGUCCAGCAUUUUUUUAUGUAAAUUAGUUCAACUAUUAAUCUUAGUUCUCCGUGUUUAAGAAAUGAAGUGGGUUUGUGUGAUUUCUAAUUAUAAUUUGGUGCUCAUUAUGAAUAGUAUUCGGCUAUACUUCGCUAGUAUCGCUACCUAGUAACCGGAGGUCUUCACCACAAGUGUCGAUUUUCACGUCAAAAGUGGUGAUAGCUAUGAGUAUUGACGUGCGCAUGGUAUACAUAUAACAUUAACUUCAUCCUAAUCAAGUUUUACAUUUAUAAACUCCUAAAUACCCCACAUGCUAUUUAUCGCAAGUAUACGAAUCGUGAGCGAGUAUAGGGUAUUAAGGGUAGAUUGUGGCGACCCCACUUCCCUCUAAGGCGAACCAGAGGGUUGGCGGGCCGUCUGCCCAGCUCUCGCCAGGACUCACUCAAGCACACUAACCCAAAUCCUCCGAAGAAUAACCUAAACUAUUACAAUAUCGCUUCCCUCCAAAAUGGUCAAUAACUAAACCACAUUAACUUCAGAGAUAACAGUAAAUUAAAAUAGCCAGUCGACGGCUCCUAAACAUCCCACACGUUACAACCAGGGAAUAAGGUCGUACAAUUCGGAUAUACAAUUUCAUACACCCCAAUUACAAACAUACAAGCCAAAUAUUCGGGGUAGGGUUUACACAUUUUCCAGCUUCAAGUGGCAAUCCAAAACCAAAAGUACGUUAUUUAAAUUGAAGCACGAUACAACCCACAAAAGAAACCACAAUAUUCAUUUACAUCCCAAAAAGAAACAUAGAUAAGUUUCAAGACUUUCAAUGGCCAGAACCUGUCAAGGAAAACAAAUAAACAUGGGGUGAGCUAAACCUCAGUGGUGCCCCAAAACAUGCAACUAAAUAAAACAACUAACACGUAUUGAUUUCAACUGAAGUAAACAACUAGGAAAGCGCAUAACAGUACAAAGUAGGAUACGCGGGCUCUCAGGAGCCAUUUUCCGCGCUUGAUCAAAAUUUACCGUAGUUGACCCUCCGUCAACUCUCACUACUUACGGUCCAUGUAGAAUUUCUUAUUUUAUUUAACUCCGGCCACCGAUCAUACCCCAGCUCCGGGCCCGCACGACAAAAUAAAUGAGAGCGGUAGUACUCGAGUAUACCCCCUGGAUAAACUAGUCGAGAAAUUCAUCCAACAACGUCACGAAAUAAGAAAGCAGUAAUACUCGAGUAUACCCUUUGGAUAACUAGUCGAGAGAUUCACCCAACGACGUCACGAAAUAAGAAAGCAGUAAUACUCGAGUAUACCCUUUGGAUAACUAGUCGAGGGAUUCACCCAACGACAUCACGACACUUGAGGUAUUCACAAAAAUAUUUCACACAAGUCACCACUCGAAAGGCUAGUGUGAUAAAGUACACACUGCUCAUUUCGAUGGAUCAGCAACCAUUUUCCAAUUAUCACAUAUCGAGUCACGAAAGCACUUUAACCAAAUAAGCAUAAAACAAGCAGGGACACUCACCAAGAGUGGAGUUACUGAUCAAGCUGGGAAUCAAAGUCUGCGUCCUCGCUAAACCCCAAAAUACCAAAUUUUAAAACUAUAAGCUGGCUAUACUAGUUCUAGGAUUACGUAGGAAAAAUUAUUUAUAGUAUAACUAGUUUAUUUUCUUGGAAUAAGUCAACAAACUAUGUAGUAUUAAAACUAGUAAAAUACUUUGUAAAGUUUCCUUAAUAUUACUUUUCUUGUAAAAGUGUCACUAGAACUAAUUUACAUGAAAUAAUGUUUCUGGUCGAACAAGCUUUCUACGCUUUUAGCUAAAGUUAGCAAGGAUUCACAUUUUGUAACUUUUCCUAUAGACAGCUAGCCAUGGGCAAAUCUUAAAGAAAGGAAAGGAAUUAAAACAAGACUUAGGGUUUUAAAAACUAGAAAAAUUAUUUUCUAUAACUAUUAGGGCUAGUUUAAGCUAAAGGAAAAUUGUCGGUUUGGCAAAAUUUAGGCAAAAUACUAAAUACUGGAUUUUAUCGUUUAAUACUAGCGUAAAAAUAUUUUUGAUUGGCUUGAUCAAAAUAGCUCGAGAUCACAGGGUCGAAACGACUUUCACAAUUUCGAUUCCACUUCGAAAUCACAUUAUAACUCAGGUUUGCCAACACAUCAGAAUCACAUUUCAAUAGCAAGUCACUAGGGCUUCGUCAAUCAUUAGCCCUAGGUUUCAAUAGAUUCAUUUCUGAUCAAGAAUAAAAUAAAUGACCAAGGUUUCGUCAAUCAUUAGCACUUGGUUUUGGCAAGCUCAUAUCACAUCUUAACUAAAUCAAAAUGAAUGUAAGGCCUCCAAGCACUUCCAGCAAUUAAAUUUCAUCACCCUUUAAUACUUAUAAAAUCAUUCAAAUGGCCAAGGGCUUCAUCAAUCAUUAGCCCUUAGCAUCCAGCAAUUAGUUCUUAAAGCAGUAAAGCUAACAUUUCACAAUAGUCAAAUUCCAAAAGUAUCCAUUCCAAUACCGAUAAUUUCAUCACAACAUUUCAGUCAUAAUAAAAUCAAAUUGUCUCUCCAAAAUGCACAUUCAAGACCCUCUUAAUAUAGCUUAAUGUGAAAUCAAUGAACAUAGGAUAUUUAACAGCUCGAAACAGCAUUUUUAGAACUAAAAUUCGCCAAAAGAAAUCUAGAAAAUUCCUUUACUGUCUCUAUCAACUCGCUUGAAAAUUUUCCAGGUCUACCCUUCAACAUUUUUUAUUAAAUCCUCCAAAAUAUCAAAUGUUUCAUAGCUAAACAACUUGCACAGCUUAAAAUACACAUUUUUCAUGCAUUUCAAAACCAUUAUACUCCAAGGAAAAAUUCCAGAAACCAAUUAAAAUUUCCAGUUCACCCUUCUCGGAUUUCACAACAUUUUCCAGCACCUCAUUAAUCUUAGAUCAAAAUUUUCAUCGACUAAAUCAGUGUUUCAAGUACUCAAAUUUGUCAUGCAAAAACUUAUCUAGCUAAUUAACAUUCCCAGCUCGAGAUUAAAUUCAAAUAACAGCUUAACAACUUUAAAUGCAACAAUUUGGAAUCCAAAAUUUGCACAAGAGAUCUGAAAAAAAAUUCUUUUUUUUUCCCUCGGCUAAGCUGAGAAAUUCCAGCACUUUGCUCCAACAUUUUUGGUUCAAUUCAACCCACAACUCAAGUGUUUCAUAUCUGUACAUCUUAUAAGACUUUAAACAACGUAUUUCAUGCAUUUCCAAGCAUUAUGCUCCAAAGAAAAAUUUCUUAAGCAAGCUGAAAUUCCAACUCAGCUCUCGGCUAUCACCAAAAAUUUCCAGCAGUUAAUGGUUCAUAAAAAUCAAAAUUUUUCCUCCGCUGAUUCAUUGUUUAAGUAUCCAAACUAACAUGCAAGGUUACUUAAGGAAGUUACUAUCAUUUCCGGUUUAAAACAAGUUCAGACAGCAACCACAAACCUUCACAAAUCCAGAAAUUCAUGCGGCUCUUCUCGGAUGGCUUACAUGCAGCAGGGUUUUCUUUGUACAUUUUUAUUUCUUGUUUAACCGAGCUAAUGAGCUACAUGCAAAGCUUAAUCAUCUAGUCUUAAGUUAGAUAAACACAGUCGUAAGCUCAGAUUACUUCAAAUAGACAAGAUUAGAGCUGCACUUUCUAAUCAACUCUCGGCAGAAACAUUUUCUUCCAAAAUCAGAUUUUCCUCUUAUUCAAUUCAUCAUCCGAACGCCUAACCUUCACAUGCAUGGCCAUAAACAAUUUAAUCUACCUCUGAUCAACACAUCUCAGCCCAGAAAAUUACCUCAGACCGAAGCUCACUCACACGACAGAGAAACUGAAAUUUUCUCUCCUCUCGGCUCGCUUGAGGCUGGAUGGUUGGUCCUGGUGAUGUUGCAGCUGCGGGGUGUUGAGGUGGAUGGUGUAGUUGGAGGUGGAUUGAAGCUGGUUGAAGGUGCGACAGGGAAUGAAGCUCAUGCAGUGCUGCUCUCCUUUCUUCUCCCUAGCUCACGGACAAAGCAGGAAAAGAAUUGCAGCUCGCGGUUUCUUUCCUUGCUCUCGGUUGUAUGGGGCAGCUCGGCCUCUCACUCUCUCUCAGUCGAUACUCACGAGGUGGAGUUGAGGUGGUGCGAAGUGGAGGUGCGAAGUGGAGGUGAAAUGGAGUGGAGAUGGGUGCUGAAAUGAAGGUGAUUCGCGGAUGGAGGAGGUUGAGUGUUUGAGGGGAGAAAGGAAAUGUGAUCCAGCAGAAUUGAAAUGUUUGGAGUUGAAAGCUGGCCAAUGCAGCUCGGAUGAUUGCAUAGGGAAUUUCCGAAAUUGUGAAGGCCAUUUUGGUCUUUUCACAUUCCCUCCAAAUAUCCACUUACGUCCUUGAUUCCAACCAAGUUCCAAAUUUAUCCCAAAUGAAAUUUGAAUACCUACUAGAAUACUAAUCUCGCAAAAUUCAAUUAUCAAAAUUUUAACAUCCUAAGUGUACCCAAUGUACUUGUAACGUUUUCUCAAAAGUAUAUCGAUUCAUCUUAAUUCUAAGGUUCCUAUUAACACUUAACACUUUUAAUGGUUAAAGCUAGUUAUCGGAAUUCAAAGAAAUUAAUUGAUAAAUCGAUAAAAUAAUUUUACCUUCUAAAUAUGAAUUUAAUGAACAAAACUAAGAAAUUUAAUAGUUUAGCACAAUUCUUUUAUUUUGCGCAUAAAAUUUAUUUCUACGCACUUAUUGGGAAACAAGUGAAAGUGAUGCUAGAAAUUAUUAAGUAAUAAAAGAAAUGCAAAUGAAAUAUGCACUGGCUUAUAUAUAUAUAUUUUUUUUCAGGGUUCUCAUUCAUAAGCUAAUUCCAAAAUUUUUACUUCAAAUGAAAUUUGUUAGCCUACUAGUAUUUUAUUCUUGCAAAAGUUCAAUUAUCGAGAUUUUAAUGUUCUGAAUGUAAUUGUAAAGGAUUUCCGCUAACACUUAAUAUUAUUAACGCUUAGACUUGGCUAUCGGAACUCAAAGAAUUAUCCUCAAGGCAUUAAAAUAAUUUACGCCAAAAAGUAUUAAUUUAUAAUGGCAAGAAUCAAAUAAUUUAAAUAUUUUGCACAAUUAACCUGUUUGUAACAUAAAACUACUUUUACGUACUUAUUUAAAAACAAAUAGGAAUAGGGGUAGGAUUUAUUUAAGAAUCAAUAUGCAGUUGGAAUAUACCUAGGUGAAUAUAUAUAUAUGUAAGCAUUUUUUCGAGGUUCUCACAUCGAUCCCACAAGGAAGAUUGCAAUUAUCGGUACUACUAAAGUUUCUCUAUUAUUUAGACUAUCAAUAAAUUAUAACAAAUUAAACCUACUGAAAUUAUACAAAAUAACAAAUGAAAAUUCCUUAGGUUGUGGUAUCCCUAACUACUCAUGCAAGUGCUAUAAUUGGAUCAUUGAAUACUACUAUCUAGUCUAGUUAUGGUGUAAUUUCCUUAAACAUGUGAAACCUACUUUCGUAGUGAACCAACUAUACUCAUAACUAAUGCAUACCUAUUCUCAUGGUUAUGAAAUUAGCUACAAGUUCAUUUCUUCAGUGAAAUUACAUGAAAUGAAUCACUUAAAACCACAUAGGUGCACCCUCUAUUUUCGUGAGUGUACUUCCUAUACUUAGCACUUCUUGAACCAGUGUUAAAUCUCAAUUUUUAUUGCAGAAACAACACCUUAGAUAAUCACAACUAAUGGUACCAGAUUAAUCAUGAUUUAAAGAGCCAAAAUACUAAAUAACUUGCUCAAAUCAUAGCAAUCAAAUAACCAAAUAAUAAACACUAAAAAUCAUAGAAAGUUCAACUAAACUCAAGGCAUAAAAUUUAGAAACACAUAUUAAAUACAAAAUCCAAAACUUGUAUAUUAACUAAACUUAGAAUCAAAAACAAAAGAUAAAGAGUUGGAAAGAAAGGUAACCCUUGUCACAUGAGCUCUUCCGUUACCUUCUUCAUCUCCAUCUUCAUCUUUGCCUAGCUAAUAAACAAAUAGGAUUAACUAUACUAGCUAAACUAACCUACACUAAGAAGAUGAAAGAACUACAUUUUUGCAGACCAAGUUUCUCCCGUAUCUCUCUCUUCUUGGAUCCCCUCAAUCUUGCAAGUCUUGGCUAUUUUAUGAUGAAAGUUAGUCAAGAAUUGAGGUUUACACCUCCCUUUUACAGCUUGGAAUGUUUCUCACAUGUCUGGCAUUGCAUGUGACUUAAUGGAGGUGAAAUUGAGUUUUCGCAUGAAGAGCAGCCUUCUCUGACCACAAUCCGACCAGAAAUUAGGCCGGAUUGCUACAGUGACCUUUUGGUCAUUUUCUGCUCAAUUUCCAGCUCUGCUCUGAUUUUGACUCAAUUUCAACUGCAUUUUUAUUGAUGAUAAAAGCUGAUUUAGCUCUUUGACCAAAACAUAAAACUUGUAGCUCUUUGAAUUAUCUUUCCAAUGCAUCAAGAAUCACCUCAUUUGGAUUUGUGUAGGCUGAGAAAUGAUCGAAAUACCCUUGCCUAUUCACUACCCUAUUUCAGCUUCGACCAUAGAAAAUUAACCACUGUACUUCAGCUUUUUUACCUAGACAACCUUCAAACUGGAUUCAGAUGCCUUCACCAAAGUUGUAGAUCUAUCUCUUAUUUUCAAAUUGGUUUAAAAAUCAUCUCACUCCGAUCACUGUAGCUCAAGUUAUAGACGAAAUACGAAAAUGUGUCAAAACUGUCAAAAUACACAAAAUCCAAGUAAAAAGUGAUAAAAACCUCAUUUAACUACUUAAAACCAUUUUUCACUAAUUAUAGCCAAAAUGAUUCAUUUUCUUCCAAUAAUAUACCCAAAGUGACUAAAAAUAAUAUAAAAUGUCAUACAAUUAUUACGUAAAUUAGUCACUUAUCAAACUCCCCCACACUUAAAUCAUUGCUUGUCCUCAAGUAAUCCACACAUAAUCAACCACAAUGAUUCAAAAGGUAAAACAAUAUAUGCACUUUUGUUAAAUUUAAUUUCUCAAGAUUUGGAAAACAAUCAUUAUACAAUUGUUCAAAUUACACUAAAUACUCAUAAUAUCAAGUAAAGAAAAGAUAAUUAUAUCUUAAUUCAACAAGUUAAACUUAAUCUCUUACCCCAACCUAAUUUCACAAAUAAGCAAAUCACAUAGUCAAUUUGUAACAUUCCUCCUCCUAUAAUCAUCUUUUUCUCAAAAUUUUACAACUAAGAGGGAUUUAUUCAUACUAAUUUUACUUAAAUGGUGAGAAUGCCUUUUUACGCGAAAAUCGAUACUUUUAGGUGAAGAUCCCCGGUUACUUAACAUUUUACCUAUUCAAGUUGCUAUGCAUACUCUUAAUUCAAGUACCUUUUUACGCAAAAAUCGACAUUUGUAGAUGCCAACCCCCGGUUACUCAGUACAAAAAUCAUUGAGUAGAAUAAUUUUUACUUUCUUUUCUUCUCCCUUUUUUUUCUUCUUUUUUUCUUUUUUUUAGAAAUAAAGGACAAUAAAUAGAUAUUCCCUCUUAGAAAAUAUAUAAAAAUAAUCAAAGGAGGAGUAUAACCUUUUAUCAACUAUAUCAAUCACUUACUUAUAAAAUUAAGUAAAGAGAAGAAAUCUCAUUAAACAUGUAAAAUUAUAGGCAUAAUUUUCCUCACUUUAUCCAAUAUACUUUCUAAAAUGCAAAAAUUCUAAUUGCAUAAUAACCAUUUCCAAGUUAAAUGAGGACUAAAUCUUCCAAAAUACACAUAAAGUUUCAACAAUUGGAAGAAUUAAACACUUAAAGUUGGAACAAAUUAGCUCUUUUUGAAUGAAAAUGCAAAAAUUUGAAGACCUUUUGGGCUAUAGUGAAAUAUUGGAAAAGAUUUUAGAAAAAUUUUUACAGAGUUUCUCCUUAUAAAUGGAUGAAAACUCCCUGCCAACAAAUCCAAUUUCAGGCAAAUUAUCCACAUGGCAAAUAAUUCAAACACAAUUCCAAUAUUUCUAAGCAUUUAAAUCCACAAAAUAUCAUCACAUAGCAUUAGAAUGCAAGUUCAAAUAUUUCCCUCCCCCACACUUAAACUUCACAUUGUCCUCAAUAUGAGAAAAGGAAAAUAAAUAAAGAGUAAAAGAAAAUACUCCCCUUAUGACUUACGCGAUCCAAAUCCAUGUCAAUGUGAUGAAUUUUCAACUGUAUUUGAGAAAGAAUGGAGAGUUCACUUAUUGCACCCUAAAAAAGACAAAAUCAAAACAAAUAAAUUUCUUAAAAAUAAAAGGUUGCAAUCAACAAAAACAUGCAAGUCAAGGAAAAAGGAAAAAUGAUCAAGCAUCUGGAACCAAACAAUGUUCAUGGGAUGAAAACAUGAAAUAAGCUAAUCUUUGCUAAUCAAAUAUAUGCAUUAGUAUCCAAAACAAAGGGAAGCUAAUUUCACACGAAAAAUCCACAAUCAUGAACAAAAUAAGUUCCAUUAAUACAUUUUGUCAUCAGUGAUCAAAUCCCCUCAAGUACACAAAUAAUCUCAAAAUGGAGGCAAACACACCAAAUCAAAAUAUAAAUGACCUUCGUGAGAAUUCAUGAAAUACUAAAAACUAUUGAACCACAAAAAUUGUAAGUGCAUUUAUGAAUUUCAUCAAUUAAGGCCAUCUUUAAUUCAUCUCUUCUUUUAGAAUUACCUAAGAAUUCAAGAAAUCAUUCAAUCAAGCACCUUUUCAUUCAUUAGGUAAUCUAAAUUACUCACAUGAAUAUCAAAAACUCCCACUAAGCUAAUUAAAAUGCUAUAUUGGCUACUUAAUAUGCAACUUUGUUACUAAGCCAAAUUAAGCAUAAAACUAGCAAGAAUUCACCAAAUAAAUACAAUAAAUGCAAAUCAAAAAAUAUAUUUAUCACUAACAAUCACCAAUAGCAGCAAUAAUCUCAAAUAAAUACACCUAACUUCACAUAUAAAAAUUGCCUAAAAAUAGAAAAUAUUCAAUCAUGGCAAAAUUCAAAUAACAAAGUUAGGUGAAGAAUUGUUAUCUCAAAUUGGUUUGGUGAUGUUAAGUGAUGAAUAUGAUGUGAAAACCCUCAAGAAACUUACUCCAAUUUGACCUCAAUUGAGUGAUUUCAAGAAGGUAGAACACUAACUAAUGGUAAGAUUGAAACCACUUUAGAGUUGUUUUUGAAAGAAUAUGAACUAUGAAAUUCACUCUAAAAGAUGGGAGGAAGUGAUUUGGUGAAGGUUAUUUGAAGAUUAAAUGGUGAAAAAGUGGUAUUUUAGUGAGUAGUGUGUGUUUUAGGUGUUAGUGUGUGAGUUAGGUCGAAGAAAAAGGAGAAAAAUUGUGAGAAAUCCGUGAAACGGAUUCAUCUUACGCUGGUUACUGUUCACAAUCCGGCCAGAAAUUGGAGGGAUUCGAGGAGGGAUUGCUAGAGGGAUUUUGGUCAGAUCUUUUUUUUUUUUUUUACUGUUGCAUAUCCGGCCAGUUUCUGGCCGGAUUGCUACAGUAUGUUUUUUUUUCUUUUUUUUACAAUCCUACCAGUUUUGGCCGGAUUUUCGGCCCGAUUCUGGCCAGAAUGUCCGAAAAAAUUUUUCUUUCUCCCCUGACUAUCCGGCCUUCAAUCCGGCCAAUUUAUGGCCGGAUUUGCUGCAGAAAAAGCUGUUUUCUGUAGUUUUUCCUCCAAAUUUGCUUGGCCAACCUUCCACAUUCAACUUACUUCAUGUUCUUUGAAUAAAAUUCAAAUUUAGCAUGAUCAUGCAUGAAUAUAACUUAAACAUGAAACACUUAAAAUGCAUGAAAUGCAGCAAUUGAACAUGAAAACUCCCUUUUUGUCUCAAUAUAAACACCUUUGCAAUUGAGAUCAUUUGCAUGAACUCUUGACAUUGCCACUUACAAAACACACAAAAAUAUUAAUCGAACAACUUAAACUUACUAAAAAUGAGAAAUCGUUGGGUUGUCUCCCAACAAGCGCUUCUUUAUAGUCAUUAACUUGACUAUAUCACCUCAUUAUCAAAGAGGUUUAGUUAACGAAUAAUCCACCAUUUUAGGCCUUAGUGGAUCAUUAAAUGGUGAUUUUAUAGCAAAAGUCACAUGAUCUAAGAAUGUGAGAUAUGAAAGUGACUUACCUAUGCCAAAUGUUUCAUAGAUAUUACCUUGAAUAUGCACCACUUGAGAAUUUACCAAAGGAAAUAUCAUGAGAGUAUCUUAGGCAGGAAUACCUUUAAAACAUGUACUUUUUAUACACUCCUCAAGAGGGGUGAAAAAUGAGUCAUUAAAACUCAUCUCUUGAGAUUCAAAGUUAGCUCCAAAGAUAUUAUUAUAUGAAAUAGACAUUUCUUCAUUGAAAUACAAGUUAGAAUCAUCAUUUUGAUCAAAAUGCAACCCAUUUUCACAUACAACAUUCCCACCAUUCAUGCUAGGAUCUUUUUGCAAAUUAUUAGAGGAAAUAACUUCACACAAUGCAUUCAAUUGCUCAUGUAUUCCACCAAAGUGAGAAGUUAAUUCAUCUAUUCUUUUCUCAAUCCUAUCAAAACGGUCGGAAGUUGCAUUUGCUAGCUUUUCUAUUACUGAAUCAAAUUGAUUAGAAAAAUUUUCUACAGCUAGCUCCCAAGAUGCAUUAGAAUCAUUAGCUAAUGGUUCAUUCUCUAACUCCCAAGAUAGAGGUGCAUUAGCUAACCUUUCUAUUGCCAACUCUCAAGAUGGUUUAGACUCAUAUUGGACACAUUCAGAUUGGUAAUCAUAAAAAUAAGGAGACUCACUAUACGUACGUUGAUUAUCCCAACCAUAAGCAGGGGAAUUGCUCCAAUUAGCACUAUAUUGAUCAAAACAAGGAUUGUAAUGCUCUAAUUCAUCAUAAUAAUCCACAUGUUGUGCUUGCAUACAAGUAUAAGUAGCAUGAUAACCUCCACACAAGUCACAAAUCACAUGAUUAGAAUUAAAAGCAUUAACAUUCCUCACUUGCUCAAUUUCCUGCAUCAUGGUGUCCAUUUGAACUUGUAACUUAAUUACAUCAAAUUUUGCCUUUAAGCACCUUAAACCAUCUUCAAAAGACAUAUAUUCAGUAAAUUCUUGGUUACCUCUGUUGAAGGAGCUUUGCACUUGGUAACCAUCCAUUACCAAUCUUCCACUUCUCAAGCAUUGUCCUCCCCUGUUUUCUACUCUUCUUGAUCCCCUAAACAUGCUCUCAAAAUAGCUCAAAAACAAGUUUAGCCAAGAAGAAUAGAUGACUUUAAAUAUACAAAAACAAAACACUAAACAUAAAAGACUCAACAAGACUCAAAACAAACAAGACACUUAACCAACAAAAACAAGUGAAUUGUCUAAAUUAAUAAAGUAGCUCUUCACACCGAUAUUGCCAAAUCUUCUCCGGCAACGGCACCAAAAAACUUGAUGUGUGCAAGGUAUACAAAUAACAUUAACCUCAUCCUAAUCAAGUUUUACAUUUAUAAACUCCUAAAUACCCCACAUGCGAUUUAUCGCAAGUAUACGAAUCGUGAGCGAGUAUAGGGUAUUAAAAGUCGAUCCCACAAGGAAGAUUGCAAUUACCGAUACUACUAAAGCUUUUCUAUUAUUUAGACUAUCAAUGUGAAGAUUGUGAAAAUUGUGAAGAAUUGUGAAGAUUGGGAAGAUUGCUUUGGUCAUUUGUUUUAUUUUUGAUCAGCAAUGAAUCUGUUGAAACCUAGGGCUAAUGAUCGACGAAACCCUAGUGAUAUUGCCGUUUGAAAUGUGAUUUUGCUAUAUUGGUAAAUCUGAGAUAUAAUGUGCUUGUGAAUCGGAAUCUGAAAAGUUCGUUUGGACCCUGUGAACUUGAGUAUUUUCAAAUCGGGCCACAUGAAUAUAUUUUACUCUAUGUAUUAAAUUACAAAAAUUCGUCUUGUACGAUCACGUGAGAAAUUCGAGAUUUGAAAUACAUUGUCAACUAGUUAUCUCUUUUCCUAGCUUAAAUCGGCUUUAUUAUUUUUGGAAAAUGAUUUCAUUUGUUUUUAAAACCCUAGGUAUUAUUUUAUUUUCUUUUCUUUCCUUAAAAUUUGUCCCUGGCUAGUUGUUUUUGAGAAAUUUAUUACAAACGCGAGAUUUUAAUAGUUUUAAAUAAAAGGUGUAGAAAACUUGUUCGGCAAGAAAACUCACUUGACAUAAAUAAGUUCUAUUUGCACCUCUAGAAAGAAAAGUAUUUCUCUUAAAAGAAAUCAUACGGAAUGCUUUAUCACUCUUACUAGUUUUAAUUUCAAAAGAACGGUUAAGGUACUUCAAGAAAAUAAUCUAGUUAUACAACUCGAUAAUUUUAUAUAUUGUAUAGUAAAACUUAUAGUUUUAAAAACCUGGUUUUCUAGGGUAUAGCGAGGACGUGAAAUUUUGAAUCCCAACUUGACCUUUGAACUUCACUCUUGGUGAGUGUCCCUGCUUGUUCUAUGCCUACUUGAUUAAAGUGCUUUUCUUGACUUGAUAUGUGAAAACUGGAAAAUGGUUUCUGAUCCAUCGAAGUGAGCAGUGUGUACUUUAUCACACUAGCCUUUCGAGUGGUGACUUGUGUGAAAUGUUUUCGUGAACAUCCUGCUUGCACUUGCUAAGCACUGAGUAGGGGAAUGUACCACACCUGAGGGUGGGAGGGCCUCUUAUCCUAUCUCAUGUGUUAAGUACUGAGUAGGGGAAUGUACCACACCUGAGGGUGGGAGGGCCUCUUAUCCUAUCUCAAAUACUAAAUCACUAGGCAGGGGAAUGUACCACACCUUAAGGGUGGGAGGGCCUCUUAUCCUGACCUAGUAACCACGUGUUGGACGUGACGUCGUUGGGUGAAUCCCUCAACUAGUUUAUCCAGGGGGUAUACUCGAGUACUACCGCUCUCAUUCAUUUUGUCGUGCGGGCCCGGAGCUGGGGUAUGUCUGGUGGCCGGAGUUAAGUAAAAUAAGAAAUUCUACAUGGACCAUAAGUAGUGAGAGUUGACGGAGGGUCAACUACGGUAAAUGUUGAUCAAGCGCGGAACAUGGCUCUUGAGAGCCCCUGUAUCCUACCUUGGGUUGUUAUCGGCUUUCUUACUUGGUUACUUUAGUCCAUAUUAAUUCUUGCUGUUUAUUUGUUUAGAUGCAUGUUUUGGGGCACCACUGAGCUUUAGCUCACCCCACGUUUAUUUGUUUUCCUUGACAGGCUUUGAAGCUUGAGAAAUCUGAACUGAGUUGGUUUCUUUUAAAUUGUACUUGAACUUUACGACUUCAACUUACAGCUUGUAAUGUAUUCUGAAUUGAACUAUGUAGUUGUUACUUUGGAUUGCCACUUGAAGCUGGAAAAUGGGUAAACUCUGAUUCGGAUAUUUGGCUUGUAUUUUUGUAAUUGUGGUGUAUGUAUUUAUGUAACCGGAGUUAUACGAUCUUACUCCUCGGAUUUAGUGCGUGAGAUGUUUAGGUGCCGUCGUCUGGUUGUUUUAAUUUACUGUUAUCCCUGAAGUUAAUGUAGUUUGGUUGUUGAUCAUUUUAGAGAGAAGCGUUAUUGUAAUAGUUAGGUUAUUAUUCGAAAGGAUUUGGGUUACUGUGCUUGCGUGAGUCCUGACGAGAGUCGGGCAGGCGGCCCGCCAACCCUCUGGUUCGCCUUAGGGGGAAGUGGGGUCGCCACAGGUGGUAUCAGAGCUCUUAUUGAGCUCGUGCUGGGAGAGGAUUCUCGGACUGUGGGCAUUGGCUUGUUAAGAGUGGAACAAAAGUCUAUAGUUGGGGAAUAUUAGAUAUACAUGUCGGGUAAGAAUCUAUAUUAUGGAUGAGUUACUCUUGGGACCGGCCGGCUCGAGUUGUAAAUUAUCUUAUUGUGGAUUCUUGUGGAGAGCGCGAUAUAAGGGGCUAUAUCUUGAUUAAAUUUACGGUAUGUCUGGAUGACAAAGGCUAGUAAUAGCAAUUGAGAGAGUUCAUAUUAGAAUGUAAGAAAUGAGGAAAACCAUAAGGAUGUGACGUGACAGGAAUUCUAGAGUUAGAAACUAAUAUGAUGAAGGAACUGAAAGAACGAGUGGGGUCUAGUGGGAUCGUCUAGGACUAAACUAAUGAAGGUUAACUUAAAUCUAAACUAAAGGUUGAGCUAUUAGCCAUGUGGUUAUAAUAAUUUGCGUAUUAUUGAAUUGCUUUCUUUCAUGUUUAUAAAGAUCGAAGUUUGAGUUAUGUAUGAAAAUAUUAAAUGUACCAUGAAUUGUUUGGUUUUUAAAGUUGUAUGAACUUUGGCAUGUGAAUAUACGCUUUAUGUGUUUCAUCUUCUUUCUCUUGGUAUUCAUGUUGACGUCAUUUAAUAAUAACAAGUAAAUAAAUAGUAACAUCUUCACUUGAUCACUUUAUUUUUAUCAAUAGGCAUAACUAGGCUAUGGAUCUUCGAGUUAGAGGUAGAGGACGUGGGAGAUCAACUAGGUAACACCCCGAGGGUAGUGGUGAUAGGGAACCUGAGGUCAAUCAAGACCAUGGUCAGGGCAACGUGGCCGGAGAUCCAGUGGCCACCGCAAUCAAUAGAAUCACUGAUGUGUUAGAACGUAUGACUGAGCACCAAGCCCCGGGAGCAGUGCAUUACCAAGGAGGUCCAAUCGAUACUGAGGACCGGGCACUAGAGAGGUUCCUGAAGUUUGGACCACCUAAGUUCUACGGAGGUCCAGAACCUGAGGUAGCUGAAGGUUGGUGGGAGAGGAUCUCUGAUAUUUUCGCCGCUUUAAAUUAUACGGAAGAAAGGCAAGUGACUUUUGCGGCAUUCCAGUUUGAGGGAGUUGCUCGUUCCUGGUGGAACUUGAUUAGGGUUAAUUGGGACAGGAAUCAUACACCCAGGACCUGGGCGAACUUCACAAGGGAGUUCAAUGCCAAGUUUUUACCUCCUCUCAUCCAAGAAAAAAGAGAGGAUGAUUUCAUCAAGUGUAAGCAGGGGGCGAUGAGUGUCGCCGAAUAUGAAAUUCAAUUCAUGAAAUUGUCCCGUUAUGUCUCGGAAUUGGUAGCUACGGAGCAAAGGCGUGUAAGAAGGUUUGUGCAAGGACUGAACGUGGAAAAUCAGGAGGGAUUAGCUGCUGUUCGGAUAGACACAUUUGCUGAUACUAUAGAGAAAGCUCAAAGGGUUGAAGUUGCUAGAGCUCAAGUAAAAACUUUCCAGGCCAAGAAAAGAUUUGCACCUAGCAGCAGUCGGGAGCCGACUUAUGCAAAUGCUCCACCAGCCAAAGUGGGUCGAGGAACGAGUGGAGUAAAUAGUCAUGGAGCACCACGAGGGGCUCUAGCGAGAGGAGCUGGUGCCAGAGGUGCCGGAGAAAGAGAUAAUGGAGCUAACGGAGGACCAAAUGGAAGAGGUCAACCUAGGAACGCCUCGCAAGGAGGUCGUGUGACCACUCCCCAGGCAACUUGUGGGUAUUGUAGGAAAACUGACCAUACUGAAGACGGAUGCUGGAGGAAACAAGGAAAGUGGUUGAGGUGCGGAAGUAACGAGCACCAAAUUGCCGGUUGCCCAAAAAUGCAAGAAGGUGAGAAUUUUGAGAACAAAAUUCAUUUUAGGGAGGGGAGGAUGUGAGAACCCUGAAAAAAUAUAUAUAAAUAUCAGUGCAUAUUUCAUUUGCAUUUCUAAUUCUUUAAUAAACUUUAGCAUUAAAUCUAAUUAUUUUGAAAUAAGUGCGUAGAAAUAAAUUUUAUGUGCAAAAUAAAAGAACUGUGCUAAACUAUUAAAUUUUCUAGUUUUGUUACAUUAAAUUCAUAUUUCGAAGGUAAAUUAUUUCAUUGAUUUAACAAUUAAUUUCUUUGAAUUCUGAUAGCUAAUCUUAAGCGUUAAUAAUGAUUAAGUUAAUAAGUUUUGAUAUAAAAGGAUAAACGAAUAUUAAGAAUGUUAAAUUUAUAUAUUAAGGUCAAACUUGAUUUUAAUAGUUUAAAUAAUAAAGUAAUAAUGUUAAGUGUUAGUAGGAACCUUAGAAUUAAGAUGUAGUAGAUAAAUUGUAGACAAAAUCGAUACAAGUAUACUAAGUAUGUUUAGGACGGAAAAACUUCGAUAAUUAAACUCUCGUAAGAUUAGUAUAUUAUUAGGCAUUCAAAUUAUAUUUGGGGGUAAUUUUGGAUUUGGUUUAGAAUUGAGGGAUUAAGUAGAAAUUCGGGGAAAAUAGGAAAAGACUAAAAUAUCCUCCACUAUUUCAAAAAAAAAAAUUUCCAUGCGAUCCCAAAGUUUGGUCGGCCAACUCUUGAAAACACUAGCAUAUCAUUUUUGCCGAAGUGUAAUCUUUUCUCUCUACAUAUAUACCCAACCUCCACUACCGUAAAGCACUUCACUAUCUUAGCCUCUACCACAACUAUUCCACACCAUCCUUCCUUACCUCGUGAUCAUCGACCAAGUGUGAGAGGGAGAGAGAGAGAGAGCUUCCAUUUCCUUUCUGAUCAGAAGCCGGAACAGGAAAGGAAAUCGCGAGCUGUAGCUUUGCUGCUCUGCCGUGAGAGCCGAGCCUACUUCACUCUCUGACCGUUUCAUUCUUCACCCUUUUCUUCAACCUCAACCAGCUGCGAUCAUCCUCCAUUUCAUCCCACGUGCAAGCUUGAGCAAGAGAAAGUUGGCAGGCUGCAAUUCUGUGCUGAUCGAGAGUGAGCCGAGAAAGAAGAAAAAUUUUGCAGUCUCUUGUUGCGUGAGCUAAGCUUCAAAUUGAGAUAAACUCUGGUCUUAGACUAGUUAAUUAGAGAUAGAUGAGUUUGUUUAAGGGCCUGCAUGUGAUGGUUGAGUACUUAGACGAUGAAACCAAAGGAUAAGAAAUCUGAUUUUUACAGAGAUGGGUUUGGCGAGAGCUUAACCUGGAAAUGCAGUGUUAAAUUUGUUCAUCGGGAGUAACCUGAGCUCAGAAAUGUGUUUAGCUAAUUGAAAACAAGGUGAUUAAGCCGUGCAUGAAGUCAAUCUGCCCAGAUUGUGCUAGAAAAUAAAAACGAAACAGAAAUCUGUUGCAUGCAAGCUCAUCCGAGAGUAGUGAACAAAAAUUCUGGAAUUGGGGGAUGAAUGUUGAGUUGUCCGAACCUGAUUUGGAUUAGAACUGAUAGUAAUUUCAUUAACUAGUCAUGCAUGUUAGUUUUGAACACAUAAUACAAGGUUUUAGCCGAGGGAAAACUUGAAUUAAUGACUGACUAAGUGGGGAAAUUCUGUGAUAGCCGAGGGAGUGGAGAUGGAAUCACAGCUUGUAUCUGGAAUUUCUUUGUUUUCUUUGGAACUCAAUGUUUGGAAAUGCAGGAAUCAUGUUUGUCUUAAGCCUUGUAGGCUAUUUAGCUGUGAAACUCUUAAUAUGUGGUAGACUUGACCGGACAUGUUGAUUUUAGGCUGCUGGAAUUUUUUUUUCCAGAUUAGCCGAGAGAGGAAGGAAAGAAUCUUUCAAUUUUCUUUUGCGAAUUUUGGGUUCUAAAAUUUUGUCAUAAGCUGAAAAUUUUAUGUUAAACUAUCAUAUACACUGAAUCUUAACUUGGUUUGGACAUGCAUGAAUGAUUUGAAUAUGAGUUGUGGAUAAAAAAAAAAAGAGAGAAAAGAAAUCUGAAUUUGCGGCCUUGAAAAGGAAUUGAACAUUUAAUUAGUUUCUUUCGAAUUUUAGCUAAGACCCUUGUAUUGGAUGUUAAGAGUAGGUUAUAGCUGGUUAAUCGGCUUUUGAAUGAUAAGUGUUCAGUGAUUAAAGCAAGCUAAGGAUGGAAACCUUGUUGAAUUUUAUUUUGAAGUAUCUUUGCUAGAAACUCGUACUUGGAUGCUAGCUGUACUAGUUCAAGCUUUUAGCGAGUUUAUUUUCUGGAUUCGUGUAUUGUUCGCUUUGGUUUAAUUUGAGCGGACUAUAAACUAUAUGCUUAGUGAUUCUAGCAAGUAAAAAAAAAAAGGAAGGUAAUGGAUAUUUUGAAUUCCUAGAAUUGUUUGGAACUCAAGUUGGCUGGAUUUUUCUUCUUGUUUUGAAUGGAUUAGUGAUUGAACGUGAUUAAUUAUUGUCAAGAGCUAAUGAUUGAUGAAGCUCUUGACCAUUUGAAUAGUUUUUGCAAGAAUUUAAUUUUAAUAAAUUUGUUCAAAUGGUUGGCUGAAAUGUACUUGGGAGGUCCAUGGUUUGCAUUUUUGAUUGUUUUGAUACCUUGGACUUCCUUUAUUGAAUUUUGUUUAGAAUUGAAUUUUUCUUGAAACUUAGGGCUAAUGAUUGAUGAAGCCCUAGUGGAAUUGAUAUUUGGUUUGUAAUGUUUCUAUAUUGGUGACUUGGAAUCCAUUGUGCAAGUGAGCCAGAAUUGUGAAGAUUGUUUUGGUCAUUUGUUUUAUUUUUGAUCAGCAAUGAAUCUGUUGAAACCUAGGGCUAAUGAUCGACGAAGCCCUAGUGAUAUUGCCGUUUGAAAUGUGAUUUUGCUAUAUUGGUAAAUCUGAGAUAUAAUGUGCUUAUGAAUCGGAAUCUGAAAAGUUCGUUUGGACCCUGUGAACUUGAGUAUUUUCAAAUCGGGCCACAUGAAUAUAUUUUACUCUAUGUAUUAAAUUACAAAAAUUCGUCUUGUACGAUCACGUGAGAAAUUCGGGAUUUGAAAUACAUUGUCAAAUAGUUAUCUCUUUUCCUAGCUUAAAUCGGCUUUAUUAUUUUUGGAAAAUGAUUUCAUUUGUUUUUAAAACCCUAGGUAUUAUUUUAUUUUCUUUUCUUUCCUUAAAAUUUGUCCCUGGCUAGUUGUUUUUGAGAAAUUCAUUACAAAUGCGAGAUUUUAAUAGUUUUAAACAAAAGGCGUAGAAAACUUGUUCGGCAAGAAAACUCACUUGACAUAAAUAAGUUCUAUUUGCACCUCUAGAAAGAAAAGUAUUUCUCUUAAAAGAAAUCAUACGGAAUGCUUUAUCACUCUUACUAGUUUUAAUUUCAAAAGAACGGUUAAGUUACUUCGAGAAAAUAAUCUAGUUAUACAACCCGAUAAUUUUAUAUAUUGUAUAGUAAAACUUAUAGUUUUAAAAACCUGGUUUUCUAGGGUAUAGCGAGGACGUGGAAUUUUGAAUCCCAGCUUGACCUUUGAACUUCACUCUUGGUGAGUGUCCCUGGUUGUUCUAUGCCUACUUGAUUAAAGUGCUUUUCUUGACUUGAUAUGUGAAAACUGGAAAAUGGUUUCUGAUCCAUCGAAGUGAGCAGUGUGUACUUUAUCACACUAGCCUUUCGAGUGGUGACUUGUGUGAAAUGUUUUCGUGAACAUCCUGCUUGCACUUGCUAAGCACUGAGUAGGGGAAUGUACCACACCUGACGGUGAGAAGGCCUCUUAUCCUAUCUCAUGUGUUAAGUACUGAGUAGGGGAAUGUACCACACCUGAGGGUGGGAGGGCCUCUUAUCCUAUCUCAAAUACUAAAUCACUAGGCAGGGGAAUGUACCACACCUUAAGGGUGGGAGGGCCUCUUAUCCUGACCUAGUAACCACGUGUUGGACGUGACGUCGUUGGAUGAAUCCCUCGACUAGUUUAUCCAGGGGGUAUACUCGACUACUACCGCUCUCAUUCAUUUUGUCGUACGGGCCCGGAGCUGGGGUAUGUCUGGUGGUCGGAGUUAAGUAAAAUAAGUAAUUCUACAUGGACCGUAAGUAGUGAGAGUUGACGGAGGGUCAACUACGGUAAAUGUUGAUCAAGCACGGAACUUGGCUCUUGAGAGCCCCUGUAUCCUACCUUGGGUUGUUAUCCGCUUUCCUACUUGGUUACUUUAGUCCAUAUUAAUUCUUGCUGUUUAUUUGUUUAGAUGCAUGUUUUGGGGCACCACUGAGAUUUAGCACACCCCACGUUUAUUUGUUUUCCUUGACAGGCUUUGAAGCUUGAGAAAUCUGAACUGAGUUGGUUUCUUUUAAAUUGUACUUGAACUUUACGACUUCAACUUACAGCUUGUAAUGUAUUCUGAAUUGAACUACGCAGUUGUUACUUUGGAUUGCCACUUGAAGCUGGAAAAUGGGUAAACUCUGAUUCGGAUAUUUGGCUUGUAUGUUUGUAAUUGUGGUGUAUGUAUUUAUGUAAUCGGAGUUAUACGAUCUUACUCCUCGGAUUUAGUGCGUGAGAUGUUUAGGUGCCGUCGUCUGGUUGUUUUACUUUACUGUUAUCCUUGAAGUUAAUGUAGUUUGGUUGUUGAUCGUUUUAGAGAGAAGCGUUAUUGUAAUAGUUAGAUUAUUAUUCGAAAGGAUUUGGGUUAGUGUGCUUGCGUGAGUCCUGGCGAGAAUUGGGUAGACGGCCCGCCAACCCUCUGGUUCCCCUUAGGGGGAAAUGGGGUCGCCACAGUGAAAUUACAUGAAAUGAAUCACUUAAAAUCACAUAGGUGCACCUCACUUUCGUGAGUGUACACCCUAUGCUUAGCACUUCUUGAACCAGUGUUAAAUCUCAAUUUUCACUGCAGAAACAACAUCUUAGAUAAUCACAACUAAUGGUACCAGAUUAAUCAUGAUUUAAAGAACCAAAAUACUAAAUAACUUGCUCAAAUCAUAGCAAUCAAAUAACCAAAUAAUAAACACUAAAAAUCAUAGAAAGUUCAACCAAACCCAAGGCAUAAACUUUAGAAAUACAUAUUAAACACAAAAUCCAGAACUUGUAUAUUAACUAAACUUAGAAUAAAAACAAAAGAUAAAGAGUUGGAAAGAAAGGUAACCCUUGUCACAUGAGCUCUUCCCUUGCCUUUUUCAUCUCCAUCUUCAUCUUUGCCUAACUAAUAAACAAGUAGAAUGAACUAUACUAGCUAAACUAACCUACACUAAGAAGAUGAAAGAACUACAUUUUUGCAGACCAAGUUUCUCCCGUAUCUCUCUCUUCUUGGAUCCCCUCAAUCUUGCAAGUCUUGGUUAUUUUACGAUGAAAGUUAGUCAAGAAUUGAGGUUUACACCUUCCUUUUACAGCUGGGAAUGUUUCUCACAUGUAUGGCAUUGAAUGUGACUUAGUGGAGGUGAAAUUGAGUUUUUCGCGUAAAGAGCAGCCUUCUCUGACCACAAUCUGGCUAGAAAUCCGGCCAGAUUCUUACCGGAUUGCUACAGUGACCUUUUGGUCACUUUCUGCUCAAUUUCCAGCUCUGCUCUAAUUUUGACUCAAUUUUAACUGCAUUUUUCUUGAUGAUAAAAGUUGAUUUAGCUCUGGACCAAAACAUGAAACUUAUAAUCCUUUGCGUUAGCUUUCCAAUGCAUCAAUAAUCACCUCAUUUGGAUUUGUGUAGGCUAAAAAUGACUGAAAUACCCUUGCCUGUUCACUGCCCUGUUUCAGCUUCGACCGUAGAAAAUUAACCACUGUACUUCAGCUUUUUGACCUAGACAACCUUUAAAUGGGAUUCCGAUGUCUUCACCAAAGUUGUAGAUAUCUCUUAUCUUCAAAUUGAUUUAAGAAUUAUCUCAAUCCGAUCUCUGUAACUCAAGUUAUAGCCGAAAUACGAAAAUGUGUCAACUCUUUUUGUUCCCCUUUUCUUAAAUUUCUUUAAUUUUACAUUGCUUGUAGAGUGCAGUAGGUGGAGCUGAAUUAUGGGUUGGACCCAAUCCUGUCCUAAACUUGUUUUCAUGGUGAGACCAGUAUGUUGUGCUACAAAUGUGCAAAAAUGAUCGUAAUUUCUCAAGACGACGUCAAUGUUGAAGGAAUUGGACAGAAAAUUUUCUAAGCGAGCAUUAACCUCGCGGAUUGCUGCGCAUGUUCUUUGGCCCAUUUUUCUCCUCUUAAACAGAAAAGAUUGAGGAUUACAGAAUAGUAGACUUCAUAAGAGUUUAGCGGACUCUAACUUUCUCAAAACGGGAGUCCAUUUUUAACCAUUCAAACACAGUAUGAUCCUUGGUAUAUGAUUUGAACGACCUCAUAAUUGUCUAAUAGUUCCAAAUAAUAUAGACAAUCUGCAGAAACAAAAAA
This 116681-nucleotide long non-coding RNA is filed under the name Coffea arabica (coffee). Its description in RNAcentral is "long non-coding RNA (CARA_LNC006355)". The stretch from base 90033 to 90149 matches the Rfam family "mir-395 microRNA precursor family". The record is from RNAcentral. Lineage: Eukaryota; Viridiplantae; Streptophyta; Magnoliopsida; Gentianales; Rubiaceae.